This 135993-nucleotide long non-coding RNA is filed under the name Cucumis sativus (cucumber). Its description in RNAcentral is "long non-coding RNA (CSAT_LNC000178)". The record is from RNAcentral. Lineage: Eukaryota; Viridiplantae; Streptophyta; Magnoliopsida; Cucurbitales; Cucurbitaceae.
CCCAGACUCGGUUUCUUGGUUCCGUCCCAAAACGCCGAAGAAAGGCACAAUGGCCUAGAAAGGGACGGUCGGACUUGGAACGGGGUCCGAGGCCUCGAAAGUCCACAUCUAGCUAGUGGGUGGUCCGAUUCUGAGUGAUCUCGAAGUUUCUUGCCCACAAAAGCCGAACGGUGACGCCCAAGACUCGGUUUCUUGGUUCCGUCCCAAAACGCCGAAGAAAGGCACAAUGGCCUAGAAAGGGACGGUCGGACUUGGAACGGGGUCCGAGGCCUCGAAAGUCCACAUCUAGCUACUGGGUGGUCCGAUUCUGAGUGAUCUCGAAGUUUCUUGCCCACAAAAGCCGAACGGUGACGCCCCAGACUCGGUUUCUUGGUUCCGUCCCAAAACGCCGAAGAAAGGCACAAUGGCCUAGAAAGGGACGGUCGGACUUGGAACGGGGUCCGAGGCCUCGAAAGUCCACAUCUAGCUACUGGGUGGUCCGAUUCUGAGUGAUCUCGAAGUUUCUUGCCCACAAAAGCCGAACGGUGACGCCCCAGACUCGGUUUCUUGGUUCCGUCCCAAAACGCCGAAGAAAGGCACAAUGGCCUAGAAAGGGACGGUCGGACUUGGAACGGGGUCCGAGGCCUCGAAAGUCCACAUCUAGCUACUGGGUGGUCCGAUUCUGAGUGAUCUCGAAGUUUCUUGCCCACAAAAGCCGAACGGUGACGCCCCAGACUCGGUUUCUUGGUUCCGUCCCAAAACGCCGAAGAAAGGCACAAUGGCCUAGAAAGGGACGGUCGGACUUGGAACGGGGUCCGAGGCCUCGAAAGUCCACAUCUAGCUACUGGGUGGUCCGAUUCUGAGUGAUCUCGAAGUUUCUUGCCCACAAAAGCCGAACGGUGACGCCCCAGACUCGGUUUCUUGGUUCCGUCCCAAAACGCCGAAGAAAGGCACAAUGGCCUAGAAAGGGACGGUCGGACUUGGAACGGGGUCCGAGGCCUCGAAAGUCCACAUCUAGCUACUGGGUGGUCCGAUUCUGAGUGAUCUCGAAGUUUCUUGCCCACAAAAGCCGAACGGUGACGCCCCAGACUCGGUUUCUUGGUUCCGUCCCAAAACGCCGAAGAAAAGCACAAUGGCCUAGAAAGGGACGGUCGGACUUGGAACGGGGUCCGAGGCCUCGAAAGUCCACAUCUAGCUACUGGGUGGUCCGAUUCUGAGUGAUCUCGAAGUUUCUUGCCCACAAAAGCCGAACGGUGACGCGCCCAGACUCGGUUUCUUGGUUCCGUCCCAAAACGCCGAAGAAAGGCACAAUGGCCUAGAAAGGGACGGUCGGACUUGGAACGGGGUCCGAGGCCUCGAAAGUCCACAUCUAGCUACUGGGUGGUCCGAUUCUGAGUGAUCUCGAAGUUUCUUGCCCACAAAAGCCGAACGGUGACGCCCCAGACUCGGUUUCUUGGUUCCGUCCCAAAACGCCGAAGAAAGGCACAAUGGCCUAGAAAGGGACGGUCGGACUUGGAACGGGGUCCGAGGCCUCGAAAGUCCACAUCUAGCUACUGGGUGGUCCGAUUCUGAGUGAUCUCGAAGUUUCUUGCCCACAAAAGCCGAACGGUGACGCCCCAGACUCGGUUUCUUGGUUCCGUCCCAAAACGCCGAAGAAAGGCACAAUGGCCUAGAAAGGGACGGUCGGACUUGGAACGGGGUCCGAGGCCUCGAAAGUCCACAUCUAGCUACUGGGUGGUCCGAUUCUGAGUGAUCUCGAAGUUUCUUGCCCACAAAAGCCGAACGGUGACGCCCCAGACUCGGUUUCUUGGUUCCGUCCCAAAACGCCGAAGAAAGGCACAAUGGCCUAGAAAGGGACGGUCGGACUUGGAACGGGGUCCGAGGCCUCGAAAGUCCACAUCUAGCUACUGGGUGGUCCGAUUCUGAGUGAUCUCGAAGUUUCUUGCCCACAAAAAGCCGAACGGUGACGCCCCAGACUCGGUUUCUUGGUUCCGUCCCAAAACGCCGAAGAAAGGCACAAUGGCCUAGAAAGGGACGGUCGGACUUGGAACGGGGUCCGAGGCCUCGAAAGUCCACAUCUAGCUACUGGGUGGUCCGAUUCUGAGUGAUCUCGAAGUUUCUUGCCCACAAAAGCCGAACGGUGACGCCCCAGACUCGGUUUCUUGGUUCCGUCCCAAAACGCCGAAGAAAGGCACAAUGGCCUAGAAAGGGACGGUCGGACUUGGAACGGGGUCCGAGGCCUCGAAAGUCCACAUCUAGCUACUGGGUGGUCCGAUUCUGAGUGAUCUCGAAGUUUCUUGCCCACAAAAGCCGAACGGUGACGCCCCAGACUCGGUUUCUUGGUUCCGUCCCAAAACGCCGAAGAAAGGCACAAUGGCCUAGAAAGGGACGGUCGGACUUGGAACGGGGUCCGAGGCCUCGAAAGUCCACAUCUAGCUACUGGGUGGUCCGAUUCUGAGUGAUCUCGAAGUUUCUUGCCCACAAAAGCCGAACGGUGACGCCCCCGACUCGGUUUCUUGGUUCCGUCCCAAAACGCCGAAGAAAGGCACAAUGGCCUAGAAAAGGACGGUCGGACUUGGAACGGGGUCCGAGGCCUCGAAAGUCCACAUCUAGCUACUGGGUGGUCCGAUUCUGAGUGAUCUCGAAGUUUCUUGCCCACAAAAGCCGAACGGUGACGCCCCAGACUCGGUUUCUUGGUUCCGUCCCAAAACGCCGAAGAAAGGCACAAUGGCCUAGAAAGGGACGGUCGGACUUGGAACGGGGUCCGAGGCCUCGAAAGUCCACAUCUAGCUACUGGGUGGUCCGAUUCUGAGUGAUCUCGAAGUUUCUUGCCCACAAAAGCCGAACGGUGACGCCCCAGACUCGGUUUCUUGGUUCCGUCCCAAAACGCCGAAGAAAGGCACAAUGGCCUAGAAAGGGACGGUCGGACUUGGAACGGGGUCCGAGGCCUCGAAAGUCCACAUCUAGCUACUGGGUGGUCCGAUUCUGAGUGAUCUCGAAGUUUCUUGCCCACAAAAGCCGAACGGUGACGCCCCAGACUCGGUUUCUUGGUUCCGUCCCAAAACGCCGAAGAAAGGCACAAUGGCCUAGAAAGGGACGGUCGGACUUGGAACGGGGUCCGAGGCCUCGAAAGUCCACAUCUAGCUACUGGGUGGUCCGAUUCUGAGUGAUCUCGAAGUUUCUUGCCCACAAAAGCCGAACGGUGACGCCCCAGACUCGGUUUCUUGGUUCCGUCCCAAAACGCCGAAGAAAGGCACAAUGGCCUAGAAAGGGACGGUCGGACUUGGAACGGGGUCCGAGGCCUCGAAAGUCCACAUCUAGCUACUGGGUGGUCCGAUUCUGAGUGAUCUCGAAGUUUCUUGCCCACAAAAGCCGAACGGUGACGCCCCAGACUCGGUUUCUUGGUUCCGUCCCAAAACGCCCGAAGAAAGGCACAAUGGCCUAGAAAGGGACGGUCGGACUUGGAACGGGGUCCGAGGCCUCGAAAGUCCACAUCUAGCUACUGGGUGGUCCGAUUCUGAGUGAUCUCGAAGUUUCUUGCCCACAAAAGCCGAACGGUGACGCCCCAGACUCGGUUUCUUGGUUCCGUCCCAAAACGCCGAAGAAAGGCACAAUGGCCUAGAAAGGGACGGUCGGACUUGGAACGGGGUCCGAGGCCUCGAAAGUCCACAUCUAGCUACUGGGGUGGUCCGAUUCUGAGUGAUCUCGAAGUUUCUUGCCCACAAAAGCCGAACGGUGACGCCCCAGACUCGGUUUCUUGGUUCCGUCCCAAAACGCCGAAGAAAGGCACAAUGGCCUAGAAAGGGACGGUCGGACUUGGAACGGGGUCCGAGGCCUCGAAAGUCCACAUCUAGCUACUGGGUGGUCCGAUUCUGAGUGAUCUCGAAGUUUCUUGCCCACAAAAGCCGAACGGUGACGCCCCAGACUCGGUUUCUUGGUUCCGUCCCAAAACGCCGAAGAAAGGCACAAUGGCCUAGAAAGGGACGGUCGGACUUGGAACGGGGUCCGAGGCCUCGAAAGUCCACAUCUAGCUACUGGGUGGUCCGAUUCUGAGUGAUCUCGAAGUUUCUUGCCCACAAAAGCCGAACGGUGACGCCCCAGACUCGGUUUCUUGGUUCCGUCCCAAAACGCCGAAGAAAGGCACAAUGGCCUAGAAAGGGACGGUCGGACUUGGAACGGGGUCCGAGGCCUCGAAAGUCCACAUCUAGCUACUGGGUGGUCCGAUUCUGAGUGAUCUCGAAGUUUCUUGCCCACAAAAGCCGAACGGUGACGCCCCAGACUCGGUUUCUUGGUUCCGUCCCAAAACGCCGAAGAAAGGCACAAUGGCCUAGAAAGGGACGGUCGGACUUGGAACGGGGUCCGAGGCCUCGAAAGUCCACAUCUAGCUACUGGGUGGUCCGAUUCUGAGUGAUCUCGAAGUUUCUUGCCCACAAAAGCCGAACGGUGACGCCCCAGACUCGGUUUCUUGGUUUCGUCCCAAAACGCCGAAGAAAGGCACAAUGGCCUAGAAAGGGACGGUCGGACUUGGAACGGGGUCCGAGGCCUCGAAAGUCCACAUCUAGCUACUGGGUGGUCCGAUUCUGAGUGAUCUCGAAGUUUCUUGCCCACAAAAGCCGAACGGUGACGCCCCAGACUCGGUUUCUUGGUUCCGUCCCAAAACGCCGAAGAAAGGCACAAUGGCCUAGAAAGGGACGGUCGGACUUGGAACGGGGUCCGAGGCCUCGAAAGUCCACAUCUAGCUACUGGGUGGUCCGAUUCUGAGUGAUCUCGAAGUUUCUUGCCCACAAAAGCCGAACGGUGACGCCCCAGACUCGGUUUCUUGGUUCCGUCCCAAAACGCCGAAGAAAGGCACAAUGGCCUAGAAAGGGACGGUCGGACUUGGAACGGGGUCCGAGGCCUCGAAAGUCCACAUCUAGCUACUGGGUGGUCCGAUUCUGAGUGAUCUCGAAGUUUCUUGCCCACAAAAGCCGAACGGUGACGCCCCAGACUCGGUUUCUUGGUUCCGUCCCAAAACGCCGAAGAAAGGCACAAUGGCCUAGAAAGGGACGGUCGGACUUGGAACGGGGUCCGAGGCCUCGAAAGUCCACAUCUAGCUACUGGGUGGUCCGAUUCUGAGUGAUCUCGAAGUUUCUUGCCCACAAAAGCCGAACGGUGACGCCCCAGACUCGGUUUCUUGGUUCCGUCCCAAAACGCCGAAGAAAGGCACAAUGGCCUAGAAAGGGACGGUCGGACUUGGAACGGGGUCCGAGGCCUCGAAAGUCCACAUCUAGCUACUGGGUGGUCCGAUUCUGAGUGAUCUCGAAGUUUCUUGCCCACAAAAGCCGAACGGUGACGCCCCAGACUCGGUUUCUUGGUUCCGUCCCAAAACGCCGAAGAAAGGCACAAUGGCCUAGAAAGGGACGGUCGGGACUUGGAACGGGGUCCGAGGCCUCGAAAGUCCACAUCUAGCUACUGGGUGGUCCGAUUCUGAGUGAUCUCGAAGUUUCUUGCCCACAAAAGCCGAACGGUGACGCCCCAGACUCGGUUUCUUGGUUCCGUCCCAAAACGCCGAAGAAAGGCACAAUGGCCUAGAAAGGGACGGUCGGACUUGGAACGGGGUCCGAGGCCUCGAAAGUCCACAUCUAGCUACUGGGUGGUCCGAUUCUGAGUGAUCUCGAAGUUUCUUGCCCACAAAAGCCGAACGGUGACGCCCCAGACUCGGUUUCUUGGUUCCGUCCCAAAACGCCGAAGAAAGGCACAAUGGCCUAGAAAGGGACGGUCGGACUUGGAACGGGGUCCGAGGCCUCGAAAGUCCACAUCUAGCUACUGGGUGGUCCGAUUCUGAGUGAUCUCGAAGUUUCUUGCCCACAAAAGCCGAACGGUGACGCCCCAGACUCGGUUUCUUGGUUCCGUCCCAAAACGCCGAAGAAAGGCACAAUGGCCUAGAAAGGGACGGUCGGACUUGGAACGGGGUCCGAGGCCUCGAAAGUCCACAUCUAGCUACUGGGUGGUCCGAUUCUGAGUGAUCUCGAAGUUUCUUGCCCACAAAAGCCGAACGGUGACGCCCCAGACUCGGUUUCUUGGUUCCGUCCCAAAACGCCGAAGAAAGGCACAAUGGCCUAGAAAGGGACGGUCGGACUUGGAACGGGUCCGAGGCCUCGAAAGUCCACAUCUAGCUACUGGGUGGUCCGAUUCUGAGUGAUCUCGAAGUUUCUUGCCCACAAAAGCCGAACGGUGACGCCCCAGACUCGGUUUCUUGGUUCCGUCCCAAAACGCCGAAGAAAGGCACAAUGGCCUAGAAAGGGACGGUCGGACUUGGAACGGGGUCCGAGGCCUCGAAAGUCCACAUCUAGCUACUGGGUGGUCCGAUUCUGAGUGAUCUCGAAGUUUCUUGCCCACAAAAGCCGAACGGUGACGCCCCAGACUCGGUUUCUUGGUUCCGUCCCAAAACGCCGAGAAAAGGCACAAUGGCCUAGAAAGGGACGGUCGGACUUGGAACGGGGUCCGAGGCCUCGAAAGUCCACAUCUAGCUACUGGGUGGUCCGAUUCUGAGUGAUCUCGAAGUUUCUUGCCCACAAAAGCCGAACGGUGACGCCCCAGACUCGGUUUCUUGGUUCCGUCCCAAAACGCCGAAGAAAGGCACAAUGGCCUAGAAAGGGACGGUCGGACUUGGAACGGGGUCCGAGGCCUCGAAAGUCCACAUCUAGCUACUGGGUGGUCCGAUUCUGAGUGAUCUCGAAGUUUCUUGCCCACAAAAGCCGAACGGUGACGCCCCAGACUCGGUUUCUUGGUUCCGUCCCAAAACGCCGAAGAAAGGCACAAUGGUCCUAGAAAGGGACGGUCGGACUUGGAACGGGGUCCGAGGCCUCGAAAGUCCACAUCUAGCUACUGGGUGGUCCGAUUCUGAGUGAUCUCGAAGUUUCUUGCCCACAAAAGCCGAACGGUGACGCCCCAGACUCGGUUUCUUGGUUCCGUCCCAAAACGCCGAAGAAAGACACAAUGGCCUAGAAAGGGACGGUCGGACUUGGAACGGGGUCCGAGGCCUCGAAAGUCCACAUCUAGCUACUGGGUGGUCCGAUUCUGAGUGAUCUCGAAGUUUCUUGCCCACAAAAAGCCGAACGGUGACGCCCAGACUCGGUUUCUUGGUUCCGUCCCAAAACGCCGAAGAAAGGCACAAUGGCCUAGAAAGGGACGGUCGGACUUGGAACGGGGUCCGAGGCCUCGAAAGUCCACAUCUAGCUACUGGGUGGUCCGAUUCUGAGUGAUCUCGAAGUUUCUUGCCCACAAAAGCCGAACGGUGACGCCCCAGACUCGGUUUCUUGGUUCCGUCCCAAAACGCCGAAGAAAGGCACAAUGGCCUAGAAAGGGACGGUCGGACUUGGAACGGGGUCCGAGGCCUCGAAAGUCCACAUCUAGCUACUGGGUGGUCCGAUUCUGAGUGAUCUCGAAGUUUCUUGCCCACAAAAGCCGAACGGUGACGCCCCAGACUCGGUUUCUUGGUUCCGUCCCAAAACGCCGAAGAAAGGCACAAUGGCCUAGAAAGGGACGGUCGGACUUGGAACGGGGUCCGAGGCCUCGAAAGUCCACAUCUAGCUACUGGGUGGUCCGAUUCUUUGUGAUCUCGAAGUUUCUUGCCCACAAAAGCCGAACGGUGACGCCCCAGACUCGGUUUCUUGGUUCCGUCCCAAAACGCCGAAGAAAGGCACAAUGGCCUAGAAAGGGACGGUCGGACUUGGAACGGGGUCCGAGGCCUCGAAAGUCCACAUCUAGCUACUGGGUGGUCCGAUUCUGAGUGAUCUCGAAGUUUCUUGCCCACAAAAGCCGAACGGUGACGCCCCAGACUCGGUUUCUUGGUUCCGUCCCAAAACGCCGAAGAAAGGCACAAUGGCCUAGAAAGGGACGGUCGGACUUGGAACGGGGUCCGAGGCCUCGAAAGUCCACAUCUAGCUACUGGGUGGUCCGAUUCUGAGUGAUCUCGAAGUUUCUUGCCCACAAAAGCCGAACGGUGACGCCCCAGACUCGGUUUCUUGGUUCCGUCCCAAAACGCCGAAGAAAGGCACAAUGGCCUAGAAAGGGACGGUCGGACUUGGAACGGGGUCCGAGGCCUCGAAAGUCCACAUCUAGCUACUGGGUGGUCCGAUUCUGAGUGAUCUCGAAGUUUCUUGCCCACAAAAGCCGAACGGUGACGCCCCAGACUCGGUUUCUUGGUUCCGUCCCAAAAACGCCGAAGAAAGGCCCAAUGGCCUAGAAAGGGACGGUCGGACGUGGAACGGGGUCCGAGGCGUCGAAAGUCAACAUCUAGCUACUGGGUGGUCCGAUUCUGAGUGAUCUCGAAGUUUAUUGCCCACAAAAGCCGAACGGUGACGCCCCAGACUCGGUUUCUUGGUUCCGUCCCAAAACGCCGAAGAAAGGCACAAUGGCCUAGAAAGGGACGGUCGGACUUGGAACGGGGUCCGAGGCCUCGAAAGUCCACAUCUAGCUACUGGGUGGUCCGAUUCUGAGUGAUCUCGAAGUUUCUUGCCCACAAAAGCCGAACGGUGACGCCCCAGACUCGGUUUCUUGGUUCCGUCCCAAAACGCCGAAGAAAGGCACAAUGGCCUAGAAAGGGACGGUCGGACUUGGAACGGGGUCCGAGGCCUCGAAAGUCCACAUCUAGCUACUGGGUGGUCCGAUUCUUUGUGAUCUCGAAGUUUCUUGCCCACAAAAGCCGAACGGUGACGCCCCAGACUCGGUUUCUUGGUUCCGUCCCAAAACGCCGAAGAAAGGCACAAUGGCCUAGAAAGGGACGGUCGGACUUGGAACGGGGUCCGAGGCCUCGAAAGUCCACAUCUAGCUACUGGGUGGUCCGAUUCUGAGUGAUCUCGAAGUUUCUUGCCCACAAAAGCCGAACGGUGACGCCCCAGACUCGGUUUCUUGGUUCCGUCCCAAAACGCCGAAGAAAGGCACAAUGGCCUAGAAAGGGACGGUCGGACUUGGAACGGGGUCCGAGGCCUCGAAAGUCCACAUCUAGCUACUGGGUGGUCCGAUUCUGAGUGAUCUCGAAGUUUCUUGCCCACAAAAGCCGAACGGUGACGCCCCAGACUCGGUUUCUUGGUUCCGUCCCAAAACGCCGAAGAAAGGCACAAUGGCCUAGAAAGGGACGGUCGGACUUGGAACGGGGUCCGAGGCCUCGAAAGUCCACAUCUAGCUACUGGGUGGUCCGAUUCUUUGUGAUCUCGAAGUUUCUUGCCCACAAAAGCCGAACGGUGACGCCCCAGACUCGGUUUCUUGGUUCCGUCCCAAAACGCCGAAGAAAGGCACAAUGGCCUAGAAAGGGACGGUCGGACUUGGAACGGGGUCCGAGGCCUCGAAAGUCCACAUCUAGCUACUGGGUGGUCCGAUUCUGAGUGAUCUCGAAGUUUCUUGCCCACAAAAGCCGAACGGUGACGCCCCAGACUCGGUUUCUUGGUUCCGUCCCAAAACGCCGAAGAAAGGCACAAUGGCCUAGAAAGGGAAGGUCGGACUUGGAACGGGGUCCGAGGCCUCGAAAGUCAACAUCUAGCUACUGGGUGGUCCGAUUCUGAGUGAUCUCGAAGUUUCUUGCCCACAAAAGCCGAACGGUGACGCCCCAGACUCGGUUUCUUGGUUCCGUCCCAAAACGCCGAAGAAAGGCACAAUGGCCUAGAAAGGGACGGUCGGACUUGGAACGGGGUCCGAGGCCUCGAAAGUCCACAUCUAGCUACUGGGUGGUCCGAUUCUUUGUGAUCUCGAAGUUUCUUGCCCACAAAAGCCGAACGGUGACGCCCCAGACUCGGUUUCUUGGUUCCGUCCCAAAACGCCGAAGAAAGGCACAAUGGCCUAGAAAGGGACGGUCGGACUUGGAACGGGGUUCGAGGCCUCGAAAGUCCACAUCUAGCUACUGGGUGGUCCGAUUCUUUGUGAUCUCGAAGUUUCUUGCCCACAAAAGCCGAACGGUGACGCCCCAGACUCGGUUUCUUGGUUCCGUCCCAAAACGCCGAAGAAAGGCACAAUGGCCUAGAAAGGGACGGUCGGACUUGGAACGGGGUCCGAGGCCUCGAAAGUCCACAUCUAGCUACUGGGUGGUUCGAUUCUGAGUGAUCUCGAAGUUUCUUGCCCACAAAAGCCGAACGGUGACGCCCCAGACUCGGUUUCUUGGUUCCGUCCCAAAACGCCGAAGAAAGGCACAAUGGCCUAGAAGAAAGGACGGUCGUACUUGGAACGGGGUCCGAGGCCUCGAAAGUCCACAUCUAGCGACUGGGUGGUUCGAUUCUGAGUGAUCUCGAAGUUUCUUGCCCACAAAAGCCGAACGGUGACGCCCCAGACUCGGUUUCUUGGUUCCGUCCCAAAACGCCGAAGAAAGGCAAAAUGGCCUAGAAAGGGACGGUCGGACUCGAAACGGGGUCCGAGGCCUCGAAAGUCCACAUCUAGCGACUGGGUGGUCCGAUUCUGAGUGAUCUCGAAGUUUCUUGCCCACAAAAGCAGAACGGUGACGCCCUAGACUCGGUUUCUUGGUUCCGUCCCAAAACGCCAAAGAAAGGCACAAUGACCAAGAAAGGGAUGGUCGGACUUGGAACGGGGUCUGAGGCCUCGAAAGUCCACAUCUAGCUACUGGGUGGUCCGAUUCUUUGUGAUCUCGAAGUUUCUUGCCCACAAAAGCCGAACGGUGACGCCCCAGACUCGGUUUCUUGGUUCCGUCCCAAACAGCCGAAGAAAGGCACAAUGGCCUAGAAAGGGACAGUCGGACUCGAAACGGGGUCCGAGGCCUCGAAAGACCACAUCUAGCUACUGGGUGGUCCGAUUUUGAGUGAUCUCGAAGUUGCUUGCCCACAAAAGCCGAACGGUGACGCCCCAGACUCGGUUUCUUGGUUUUGUCCCAAAACGCCAAAGAAAGGCACAAUGGCCUAGAAACGGACGGUCGAACUUGGAACGGGGUCUGAGGCCUCGAAAGUCCACAUCUAGCUACUGGGUGGUCCGAUUCUGAGUGACCUCGAAGUUUCUUGCCCACAAAAGCCGAACGGUGACGCCCCAGACUCGGUUUCUUGGUUCCGUCCCAAAACGCCGAAGAAAGGCACAAUGGCCUAGAAAGGGACGGUCGAACUUGGAAUGGGGUCCGAGGCCUCGAAAGUCCACAUCUAGCUACUGGGUGGUCCGAUUCUUUGUGAUCUCGAAGUUUCUUACCCACAAAAGCCUAACGGUGACGCCCCAGACUCGGUUUCUUGGUUCCGUCCCAAAACGCCGAAGAAAGGUUGGGAACCAUUCUAAUUGGAAAUCUAUUGGGGUUGACAUGAACAUACUUCCUCCAGUUUUCAAGCGUCGAGCUGGAUGACCACGAAAACAGAGAACAUUAUCAAUUGGCGAGAAGAAAAGUCAACCAAAAUGCAAUCAUUGUCGUCGUGCUGGUCACAAUCGUAGAAAUUGCAAAUUUUCACCAUUUUUACAAUGAUAUGACAUUAUGUUUUUUAUAAUACUCUUUUAGCUUGAGCAUAGAGAACAUUCUUUUUUUUUUUUUUUUUAAGUAGUCAAUAAUAAUCUACCUUUUGUAAAGUACUAAUACAUAUAAAAAUCUAUCUCUAAUAGUUUCUACAAGUGUUAGAGACCAUAAAAUGCACCAAUUAGUUGAACAUGUGAUAAAAACCAUUAUUGUGAGUCUAUUGUCAAUAGUUUCUAUCACUGAUAGAAACCAUAAAAUGCACCAAUUAGUUCAACCUGUGAUAAAAACCAUUAUUGUGUAGUCUAUCGUCAAUAGUUUCUAUCACUGAUAGAAACCAUAAAAUGCUCCAACACUUUAUUCUUGGAGACUGUCUUGUUGCUUUUGGAGAUUCUUUCUUCUUAUCUUUUGGAUUCUUUUGGUCUUUUUCUUUUCUUUUGAUCUUUCAGAUUCUCCAACACUUUCUUUGACGGUUUAGGUCGUCUCUUCGAUCUAGCAUUUUCAAUGUUCUUCACUAUUUCCAUAGUUUUCGCUUUUGUCUUUUCUUGAACAAUCUGAAAAAAAUAAUUGAAUUAGAGUUUAUAUAUAGACACGUUGAGUCUAUCAUAAAACAAAAAUUGUGAUUAUUAUAAUACCUUCACUUUCUUUGAUAUGUCAUGCACCGUUUUUGACUUAUUUUCACGAUGAUUAUCAUCAUCUUCCUCAAUUUCGUUGUUAUCUACAGUCUUUUGUAGAAAUUAAUAUUAGUAUUGCAAUGAAAAAAAUUACAGAAACUAUUAAUAUUCAAUCAAAGAAAAAACAGUCUAUCACUGAUACAGAUCUAUCAUUGAUAGACUUUUCACUCACAAACAUACUCUAGUAAUAGUCUUGGAAAAAAUAAAAGUAAAAGAACUAGAAGCUUUAAUAGUGUUACCUCUUUGUCUUUUGCGCAAGAAGUUGCAUAAGCAACUGCUUGAUCAAUGUUAGUAUCAAUAUCAGCAUCUAUCAUUUCUAGACUCAUUGAUGGAGGAUGAUUCUUUUCCAAGGACUCUUCAGAUUGUUUUUCACUUUCACAUUUGUGUGGAAGUCUUUGAUUCACAACUUAUGUUAGGGAAAGUAACAAAUGAACGAUCUCCUCUUGUCCUUUUUUCAGGUGGUCUAAAUCUUCUUUGUGCUGUUUUUUUAAAUCUUCAAUAUCUUCAUGUAAAGAAGAUAUUCUUUCUACAAUAUUUUUUAUCAUUUACAACAUAUGCUUCUUCAACCAAUCUAUCGUUUUCUAACUCCACGAAAAUAUCGAAAGUACUCAGAUGACAUUUCUUCUUUAGAUGCAACAAUGGGGACCAUAGAUAGCUAGAAAAAAUAUUCAAUCAGUAUUAAAUAAAAAAAAAACUUAUGCACAUAUGUUUGUAGAGAGCAGUCUAUCAUUGAUAUGGAUCUAUCACUGAUAGAUCAAUAUCAGUGAUAUUGGUGACAAAAAGAAAACAAAUUAAAAACUUACAUUUUUUUCCAGAAACACGUUGGCUUCAAGAUCUUGCCAAUCUACUUGUACACUGGAUUCCCAAUUUAAUAUUCUGGGAGAGCCUUUUCCUAUUCUCGUCACAUAUUCGUUAGCAAGUUGAGAGAAGUAUUUCGUAUGCCCAAUAAGCAAGAACUAUAGGGAAGCCUUGUAGAAAGGCACAUGAUUUAGAUUCUAAUUAUGAGUUUUUCGACUUCCUUUUGGAUUUUACAGCAUUUUGAAUGAAUUGCUUUGUCAAACUAUAGCACAACCUUCCCCAAGGAUAACUCCUAAACUUCUCUUUAUCAUCCAACAUUUUUACAUGUUUCAAAUCCAAAAUAUUGUGAUUUUGUCUAGGAAUCAAAACAUUGUAUAGGAAGUAAAGAUUGGCUAACUUUGCUAGUUCUUGUUCAUCACUACAGGUUUUACAGUGAUAGUUAAAAGCAGUCUUCAAUUCUUGUCUACUAAUAGAAGUAUUGUUUCUAAAAAACAAUUGUUUAACCAUCGACUCAUUUUCUUCUGUUGUAUCCAAAACAUCCUCAAUACGGUAUUCACCACAAUUUAACCCUGUAAUCAAACAAAAAUCUUGCAAACCAAAUCCCACAGUUUUACCUUCAAUGUUGAAAAGAAUAGCAUUGUUGUCUGUUGAGACACAUUGUCUUCUAAUCAAUUGUGCUAAAAGUUGUAAAGGUAUUUUGGUCAUUUUCAUAUUUAGUAAGUGUGCAAAUGGACAUUCUUUAAACAAAUCUAGACAACUAGGUGAUAGACUUUCAAUAAUAUGGUCGAUAGUUUGUAGACUACAGUACACGGUGAUUCUCAAGGUAGACUUCCACAAUUCUUUAGGAAUAAUUAGUUGUUUUCCCUGUUUAAAGCAAAAUAAUAGUUACAACUAUGCAGUCUAACAAUUUAGAGAGAAAUAUAUAUAUAUAGUGGGAUGCCUUUUCUUUUUUAAUCUUUUUUUUGCUUGAUUCACCUUCAUGUAUUGAUGCUCUUUUUAUCCCUUUUUCAUUUGGUUCCUUUUCCAUAGUUUUUUUCUUACCCAUCUAUUAAAAUUACAAUAAAUACAUCAACACAAUCAAAACAUAUUAGCAUGCCAAAGAAACAAGUUCAGCAUUCUUCAAAUCCAUUAAUCACUGACAAGAACGUAUCAUUGAUAGAUCAUAAGCAACAUCCCACACAAAAUAUGCAUAUUAGACUAAAGUAUUUACUAAACAUAUUUCAGGUCUAUCAAUGAUAGAAUCUAUCAUUGAUAGAUUAAGAAAACAACACUUAAUCUAAAACAUCCACCAACACACCUUACCACAAGCAAACCAAACAUCCUCAAGGUCUAUCAUGUCUAUCAAUAAUAGAAACAUAUCACUGAUAAAUCAUGAGCAACAACAUACAUACAGAAAAAUACACAUCACUGAACUAACGCAUCUACUAACGCCUCAAUGCAAACAAACUAAACACCCAUCAAGUCUAUCACUAAUACGAACAUAUCACUGAUAGACCAUAUCCUUAAGCAACAAAAAACAAACUGAAAACAAAUUAGCAUGCCAAAGAAACAAGUUUAGCAUCCUCCAAAUCCAUUAAUCACUGACAAGAACGUAUCAUUGAUAGACCAUAAGCAAAUCUAUCAAUCACUGACAAUAACAUAUCAUUGAUAGACUAUAAGCAACAUCUCACCCAAAAUAUGCACAUUAAACUAAAUUAAAGAAACCAAACAAACAAGUUCAAUAUCCCAACACAUAAAUGUAUUUCAAGUCUAUUACAACAAACAGAAAAAAAAAGUCCCUGAAGUGAAGCCGAAUUCGAAGAACAGAGAAGAAAGCCGAAGACGGAAGAAAUACGAAGUGAAGUCGGAGAAAAGAGAAGUGGAAGACAAAAGUUAUACGAAGUGAAGCCAAAGAAAAGAGAAGAACACGAAAGACAGAAGAAAUACGAACUGAAGCCAAACUGAAGCCGAAGAAAAGAGACGAAAAGAGAAGAAAGGGGAAGACUGGAAUAAUUUUGGGGGGCAUUUUCGUCUUUUAUCUUAUAAUUUAAUUAAAAUCUGCCAUAUUUGCAAUUGUAUUAAAUAUUUGCUACAUCCUUAAUUAAUUUACAGUAAAUUGCUACAUUCCCACUCAGCCCUUUAGAUUUUGGUUAAAACAUAAAAGCCCACAAAAUCUCACACAAUUUCGAAACAAAAAUUUAUUCUUAAAACAUACUAAAAAAAUAAUUAGGUAAACAAAAAAAAUUCUCACACUGAUAGUUCUCUUAAACUAUCAUUUUGUGUUAAUAAUCAAAUACAUUUUUAUUUGAUAAUUAACUAACUGAACAAUAAGUAUAAAAAUUGGUUGUGUUCGUGAUCUAUCACUGUGUAUUAAUAGUCAAAUAAAAUUAAGACUAUGAUUUUAACUUAAAAUUUUGGUUUUUAUUUUAGUUAGUGAGAAAAUUAGUAUAAAAUUUGGAUUAAUCGAAGUUUUUUCUUAAAUAUUACUAGGAAUGGGGCCAUCCAGCAUUUAGAUGUGAACUUUCGGGACAUCUGACAUUGUUCUAAGCUGGGUGGUUUCUUUCUAGGCCAUAACAUCGAACCUUUUUUCGAUGUUUCGGGACGAAACUAAAAUACCGAGUCCGGGGAAUCGGCGUUCGGCUUUUGUGGACAAGAAACUUUAAUAUUACUCAGAAUGGAGCCAUCUAGCAGUUAGAUGUGAACUUUCGGGACCUCUGACAUUGUUCUAAGCCGGGUGGUUUCUUUCUAGGUCAUAGCAUCUACCCUUUUAUCGACGUUUCGAGACAGAACUAAAAAAACGAGUCUGGGGCAUCGUCGUUCGGCUUUUGUGGGCAAGAAACUUUAAUAUUACUCGGAAUGGGGCCACCCAGCAAUUAGAUGUGAACUUUCAGGACCUUUGACAUUGUUCUAAGCUGGGAGGUUUCUUUUUAGGGCAUCGACCCUUUUUUCUACGUUUCGGGACGAAACUAGAAACCGAGUCCAGGUCAUCGCCGUUCGGCUUUUGUGGGCAUGAAACUUUAAUAUUACUCGGAAUGGGGCCACCCAGUAGUUAGAUGUGAACUUUUGGGACCUCUGACAUUAAUCAAAGUUGAGUGGUUUCUUUCUAGGCCAUUGUGCCUUUGUUCAACGUUUUGGGACGGAACCAAGAAAUCGAGUCUGGGGCAUCACCGUUCGGCUUUUGUGGGCAAGGAACUUCAAGAUCACUCAGAAUCACACCACCUUAGCUAGAUGUGAACUUUCGAGGCCUUCCACACCGUUCUAAGUCCGGCCGUUCCUUUCUAGGCACUGGUGCCUUUCUUCGGCAUUUUGGGACGGAACCAAGCAACCGAGUCUGUGGCAUCACCGUUCGGCUCGACAUUUGUAGGCAAGGAACUUCGAGAUCACUCAGAAUCGGACCACCCAAUAGCUAGAUGUGAACUUUCGAGGCCUCCGACCCCGUUCUAAGUCCGACCGUUUCUUUCUAGGCCACCAUUGUGCCUUUCUUCGGCGUUUUGGGUCAGAACCAAGAAAUCGAGUCUGGGCAUCACCGUUCGCCUUUUGUGGGCAAGAAACUUCAAGAUCACUCAGAAUCUGACCACCCAGUAGUUAAAUGUGAACUUUCGAGGCCUCCGACCCCGUUCUAAGUUCGGCCGUUCCUUUCCUUUCUAAGCCACCAUUGUGCCUUUCUUCGGCGUUUUGGGACGGAACAAAGAAACCGAGUCUGGCGCAUCACCGUUCCGCUUUUGUGGGCAAGAAACUUCGAGAUCACUCAGAAUCGGACCACCCAUUAGUUAGAUGUGAACUUUCGAGGCCUCCGACCACUUUCUAAGUUCGGCCGCUCCUUUCCUUUCUAGGCCACCGUUGUGCCUUUCUUCGGCGUUUUGGGACAAAACCAAAAAACCGAGUCGGGGCAUCACCGUUCGCAUUUUGUGGGCAAGAAACUUCGAGAUCACUCAGAAUCGGACCACCCAUUAGUUAGAUGUGAACUUUCGAGGCCUCCGACCCCCUUCUAAGUUCGGCCGUUCCUUUCCUUUCUAGGCCACCAUUGUGCCUUUCUUCGGCGUUUUGGGACGAAACCAAGAAACCGAGUCUGGGGCAUCACUGUUCGCAUUUUGUGGGCAAGAAACUUCGAGAUCACUCAGAAUCGGACCACCCAGUAGUUAGAUGUGAACUUUCGAGGCCUACGACACCGUUCUAAGUUUGGCCGUUCCUUUCCUUUCUAGGCCACCAUUGUGCCUUUCUUCGGUGUUUUGGGACGGAACCAAGAAACCGAGUCUGGAGCAUCACCGUUCGCAUUUUGUGGGCAAGAAACUUUGAGAUCACUCAGAAUCGGACCACCCAGUAGUUAGAUGUGAACUUUCGAGGCCUACGACACCGUUCUAAGUUCGGUCGUUCCUUUCCUUUCUAGGCCACCAUUGUGCCUUUCUUCGGCGUUUUGGGACGGAACGAAGAAACCGAGAAUGGGGCAUCAACGUUCGACUCGGCUUUUGUGGGCAAGAAACUUCGAGAUCACUCAGAAUCGGACCACUCAGUAGUUAGAUGUGAACUUUCGAGUCCUCUGACCCCGUUCUAAGUUCGGCCGUUGCUUUCCUUUCUAGGCCACCAUUGGGCCUUUCUUCGGCGUUUUGGGACGGAACCAAGAAACCGAGUCUGGGGCAUCACCGUUCGGCGUUUUGGGACAGAAUCAAGGGUCCUCUGUUAGAGAACAUGUUCUGGACAUGAUGAUGCACUUCAACAUCGCUGAAGUGAAUGGUGGUCCCAUCGAAGAGGUUAAUCAAGUUAGUUUUAUCUUAGAGUCUCUUCCGAAGGGCUUUAUUCCAUUCCAAACGAAUGCGUCUUUGAAUAAGAUAGAAUUUAACUUGACAACCCUUCUGAAUGAACUCCAGCGAUUCUAAAACCUUACUAUGGGUAAAGGAAAACAAGUGGAAGCAAAUGUUGCUAUCACAAAAAGAAAAUUUAUAUUUUGAAUAAUGUUCCCUCUAAAAGUGUUUCAGAAACACCUUAUGAGCUAUGGAAAGGGCGUAAAGGAAGUUUACGUCAUUUUAGAAUUUGGGGUUGUCCGGCACACGUGUUGGUACAAAAUCCUAAGAAAUUGGAACAUCGUUCAAAAUUAUGCUUUUUUAUAGGUUAUCCAAAAGAAUCAAGAGGUGGUUUGUUUUAUGAUCCUCAAGAAAAUAAAAUAUUUGUGUCAACAAAUGCCACAUUCUUAGAGGAAGACCACAUCAGGGAUCAUCAACCUCGUAGUAAACUAGUAUUAAAAGAAAUUUCCAAAAGUGCUAUAGAUAAACCUAGUUCAUCCACUAAGGUAGUUGAUAAGACUAGGAAAUCUGGACAAUCACAUCCUUCUCAACAGUUGAGAGAGCCUCGACGUAGUGGGAGGGUUGUUCAUCAGCCUGAUCGCUAUUUGGGUUUAAUUGAAACUCAAGUCGUCAUACCUGACGAUGGCAUAGAGGAUCCAUUAACCUAUAAACAGGCAAUGAAAGAUGUAGAUCGUGACCAAUGGAUCAAAGCCAUGGACCUCGAAAUGGAGUCUAUGUACUUUAAUUCUGUCUGGACUCUAGUAGAUCAACCAAAUGACGUAAAACCUAUUGGUUGUAAAUGGAUCUACAAGAGAAAACGAGACCAUGCCGGUAAAGUACAGACUUUCAAGGCUCGACUUGUGGCAAAGGGUUAUACCCAGAGAGAGGGAGUAGACUAUGAGGAAACUUUCUCUCCUGUUGCCAUGUUAAAGUCAAUUAGAAUACUCUUAUCCAUCGCCACUUUUUAUGAUUAUGAAAUUUGGCAGAUGGAUGUCAAGACAGCUUUUUUGAAUGGUAAUCUUGAAAGAGAGUAUCUAUAUGUCUCAACCAGAGGGGUUUAUAGAACAAGAUCAAGAACAAAAGGUUUGUAAGCUUAAAAAAAUCCAUUUAUGGAUUAAAACAAGCUUCUAGAUCCUGGAAUAUAAGAUUUGAUACUGCGAUCAAAUCUUAUGGCUUUGAACAAAAUGUUGACGAGCCUUGUGUUUACAAAAAGGUCGUCAAUUCCAUUAUAGCAUUUUUAGUCUUAUAUGUAGAUGAUAUUCUACUUAUUGGAAAUGACGUAGGAUAUCUUACUGAUAUCAAGAAAUGGCUAGCUAUGCAAUUUCAAAUGAAAGAUCUGGGAGAUGCACAAUACGUUCUCGGAAUCCAAAUUGUUCGAAACCGUAAGAACAAAACACUAGCCAUGUCUCAAGCAUCUUACAUAGACAAAAUGUUGUCUAGAUAUAAAAUGCAGAAUUCCAAAAAGGGUCUGCUGCCGUACAGAUAUGGAAUUCAUUUGUCAAAGGAACAAUGUCCUAAGACACCUCAAGAAGUUGAGGAUAUGAGAAAUAUUCCCUAUGCUUCCGCUGUUGGAAGUUUAAUGUAUGCAAUGUUAUGUACUAGACCUGACAUUUGCUACUCAGUAGGGAUGGUCAGUAGGUAUCAAUCCAAUCCUGGACGUGAUCACUGGACAGCCGUUAAAAACAUUCUAAAAUAUCUUCGAAGAACAAAAGACUACAUGCUCAUGUAUGGUACAAAGGAUCUGAUCCUUACUGGAUACACUGAUUCAGAUUUCCAAACUGAUAAAGAUGCUAGAAAGUCUACAUCAGGAUCAGUAUUUACUCUAAAUGGAGGAGCAGUAGUUUGGAGAAGCAUAAAGCAAACUUGUAUAGCUGAUUCCACAAUGGAAGCUGAAUACGUAGCGGCUUGUGAAGCAGCAAAAGAAGCAGUAUGGCUAAGAAAAUUCUUGACAGAUUUGGAAGUCGUUCCAAAUAUGCAUCUACCAAUCACUUUAUACUGUGACAACAGUGGUGCAGUUGCAAAUUCAAGAGAACCUAGAAGCCAUAAAAGAGGAAAGCAUAUUGAACGCAAGUACCAUCUUAUCAGGGAAAUUGUACAUCGUGGUGACGUUGUAGUAACCCAGAUUUCUUCUCAGCAAAACAUUGCUGAUCCUUUUACAAAAGCUCUCACGGCUAAAGUGUUUGAGGGUCACCUACACAGUUUAGGUCUACGAUGUUUGUAAACUAGGACAAGUGGGAGACUUAUUGGCCAUGUGCCCUAGUUUCAUAUAUAUUCUCUCACACCACAUCUCUCAUCCCACUAGGAAUUUUAGUCCAAGUGGGAGUUUGUUGGAAUUUUUUGUCCUAAAACUCGUAGUUUGUAAAUCAUAUUCUGUUCAAUAAAGUUGUUAUUGAGAAAUUAAAUAUUAUAAUCUUAAAUCCAAUAAAUCAAGUUCCAAGGCUAUUUUUUGAAUAAACUUGAACUUUAUGUGUAAACAUAAACGUGGAUCAAGUUCGAGUACAUAGCCUAAAUAGUCUAUAGUAUAUGAAAUAAAGGUUGGGCGCCUUAUUUAGAGAAACUAUGGAUGCGGCCCACUUUGUAAAACAAACGAGGUGAUCCUAAUCGUUCAUGUAGACACAUGAAAGCGGGGCAUCCUAUGUAAAAUGUUUACAUAAGACUGAACCAUGAAUUAGUCAUUUUUACGUUAUAACACCGUUUACUGUUUAAAACUGACUAUCUCAAUUAUUGAUGACCUAGGUAACUUAGUCUUAAUCCUGAGUUAACUAUGAACUCCUGUUCACACGAGAUUAUCCUUAGAUCUGCAUAGGUGAGGGCAGCUCAUCAGCGUUGGCCCAAUAAGCCUCCCAUUUCAGGGGUAAGAUCGGGUGGAUAGCUGGGAACAUAGGGUACAAGAUGGAAUUCACUCCUACCCGCUUUAGGGUUAGUAGAUAGGUUGCUCUCUUAAGCACUGAAUCCAAGUCUUGAACAAGGGGCCCCACCCUCUCAUUGGCCCGAGAGGGAUUAAGUUUAUAGGUUGAACCUUAAACCAAUUGUUCAAUAGUGGAUUAGUGGGACUUAAGGAGCAAGAUGUAAUCUUGGGGGUAAAACGGUAUUUUGACCCAGCCAAGGUUACGAGCAACCUGUGAAGGAUUAACUUACUGAUUAUGGUUUUAUCAAAUGGACACAAAUAUAUCUAUAGUGAGGGGAGUGCAACUACGGGACUUUAGUGGAAUGACCCGUUAGUUAACGAAUGUUGAUUAACUCGGUUUAAAAGAGUUUAGCUAGUUAAUCUUGAAUCGUUGGAGCCCAUGAUCUAUAGGUCCAUUAGGUUCCUCUGCUAGCUCAUAUGGAUUAAACUUAGAACAGUGUGAUGAAAUAAGUCGAAUUGUUCGAAUUGGGAGAAGAAAGGGAAACCGACAAAUAUAGUGAUAUAGUCGUCGGUCUUCUAAUUAGAAAUAGAGCUUUAUGUUUUACAUACUAUAAGUAUGAAUGCGGAUUCAUACUAAGAAGCUCGGAAUUGAUGGAAUUGGUCAAAAAUAGUAAAAAGUCAAAAUGUUGACUUUUGACUUUGAAAAGUCAAACUUUGACCGGCCUUAUAUUCAAAUGUGAUUUGAAUUUUGGAAAAAUGAAUGCGGAUUCAUGCUCGGAAGGAUGGAGUUAGUCAAGACGGACAAAAUGGUAAAAAGUCAAAAUAUUGACUUUUGACUAAGAAAAGUCAAAGUUUGACUUUUGACUAAGAAAAGUCAAAGUUUGACUUUUGACUAGAAAUAUCUAAUGACCAUUUUACCCUUGGACUAAGUUAGUGGGAAAAUCCAACAUUUUGUUGGAUAAUCCCACUAACUCUUAGUGGGAUAUGUGGCUAUAUGAGAUAUAGACACCUAGCCCACUAAGUUCCACUAAUUGUUAGUGGAACAUUAGGUGUUGAGAUUUGGCAAAUGAAUUGCAUGCAUUUUUGCAUGUAAUUAGGUUAUAAAUAGAGGUGUUUUCAAAUGUUGAAGGACUUUUGCCUCUUUUAUCAUUUUCAUCAUCUCAACAAAAGAAAAAAGAAAGCUUCCAAUCUCAUUUUAUCUCCAUUACUUUCUACACCAAAAUUGGGUCUCACAACCCGGUUCUUUGUCUAGAGGAUAGCAGUUGAGUACUAGUGGUGGUCUCGGUUAGAAUUGGUAAGAAUAUAUCGAACCUUUUGAAAGCUUCAAAGGUAAUAUUUCUUAAAACCCUAAUUUGAUUAGUUUAUGGUUAUAUGUUAAUUGUGGCAAUUAGGGUAGAAAUUCAAUUCUUUUUCCGCUGUGCAUGACUUAGUUCUAUCACGUUCGCCUUUUGUGGGCAAGAAACUUCGAGAUCACUCAGAAUCGGACCACGCAGUAGUUAGAUGUGAACUUUCGAGGCCUCUGACUCCGUUCUAUGUCCGACUGUUCCUUUCUAGGCCACCAUUGUGCCUUUCUUCGGCGUUUUGGGACGAAACCAAGAAACCGAGUCUGGGGCAUCACCGUUCGCCUUUUGUGGGCAAGAAACUUGGAGAUCACUCAGAAUCGGACCACCCAUGAGUUAGAUGUGAACUUUCGAGUCCUCCAACCCCGUUCUAAGUCCGACCGUUCCUUUCCUUUCUAGGCAACCAUUGGGCCUUUCUUCGACGUUUUGGGACAGAACCAAGAAACCGAGUCUGAGGCAUCACCCUUCGGCUUUUGUGGGUAAGAAACUUCGAGAUCACUCAGAAUCUGACCACCCAGUAGUUAGAUGUGAACUUUCGAGGCCUCCGACCCCGUUCUAAGUCCGGCCGUUCCUUUCUAGGCCACCAUUGUGCCUUUCUUCGGCGUUUUGGGACGGAACCAAGAAACCGAGUUUGGGGCAUCACCGUUCGCAUUUUGUGGGCAAGAAACUUCGAGAUAACUCAGAAUCGGACCACCUAGUAGUUAGAUGUGAACUUUCGAGGGCUCCACCCCGUUCUAAGUCCGGCCGUUCCUUUCAUUUCUAGGCCACCAUUGUGCCUUUCUUCGGCGUUUUGGGACGGAACCAAGAAACCGAGUCUGGGGCAUCACCGUUCGCAUUUUGUGGGCAAGAAACUUCGAGAUAACUCAGAAUCGGACCACCCAGUAGUUAGAUGUGAACUUUCGAGGGCUCCACCCCGUUCUAAGUCCGGCCGUUCCUUUCCUUUCUAGGCCACCAUUGUGCCUUUCUUCGGCGUUUUGGGACGGAACCAAGAAACCGAGUUCGGGGCAUCACCGUUCGCAUUUUGUGGGCAAGAAACUUCGAGAUAACUCAGAAUCGGACGACCCAGUAGUUAGAUGUGAACUUUCGAGGGCUCCACCCCGUUCUAAGUUCGGCCGUUCCUUUCCUUUCUAGGCCACCAUUGUUCCUUUCUUCGGCGUUUUGGGACGUAACCAAGAAACCGAGUCUGGGGCAUCACCGUUCAGCUUUUAUGGACAAGAAACUUCGAGAUCACUCAGAAUCGGACCACCCAGUAGUUAGAUGUCACAGAACCAUCUAUUGAUGCACCUAGAGAUCCAUUAUACAAGUCUGAAAAGGAGGUUCUUAAGGUAAGGUUGGACUUAAGAAUUUGAUGAUUGUUCACUCUAUUUUUCUAUUUCUAGUGAAAGUGAUGAUAAUUUAAUGGACUAUUCGAUUUCUUUGUAAAUCCGAGUAUAGGUUUCGCUGCGAUACGUUAGAAUAGAAGUAACUAGCAUAUACAUACAAAGUGACGUUCAUUGACUCAACGACGUUUGAAAUUUAAGAAUAUUAUGGCUGUUGGAGCAUCCAUUGAAGGAUGGAAAUAUUGUAGACCCAACAUAUCGGUUGACGACACUUUUUUGAAAUCUAAAUAUGGUGGAACUCUUUUGACGGCUUCAACAAUUGAUGGUAAUAAUCAAAUUUUUCCAUUGGCCUUCAGUAUUGUAGAUUCCGAAAAUGAUGAAUCCUGGAGAUGGUUUUUUGAGAAUAUAAAGAAAAGUUUAGGGGAUCGGGAAGGUUUAGUUGUAAUAUCUGAUCGACAUUUAAGUAUUCCAAAAAGUGUUCAUAACGUUUUUCCAAAUGCUGAAUAUUGUGUUUGUUUGCAACAGCUUCUAAAAAGUUUGAAGUUGAUGUAUAAGGACCCUAUAAUUGAUAAGCUCUUUUUUAGAUGUGGAAAAGCAUAUACUGUUGUUGAUUUUGAGACUAAUAUGAAAUGGAUGGAGUCUAUGUAUCCUAGUAUACGAGACUAUCUUAGUAAGGUUGGUUUUGAAAAGUGGGCUCGAGUAUAUUUUACAAAGAAAAGAUAUCAAAUGAUGACUACAAACAUUUCAGAAAGCUUAAAUUCAGUUCUAAAAGAAUCUAGAGAUUUGCCUGUUGCAACAUUACUCGAUUCUAUCAGGCAAAUACUUCAAAAUUGGUUUUAUGAUCGAAGAAAAGUUGCAUGUUGUAUGAGAACUAUUUUAACUAGUUGGGCUGAGGGAGAAUUACGUAUGCAACAUCAAAACUCAAGAAGCUUCACAGUAAGUUUUUGUGUUUUAAUGUUUAUUUACUUAAUUAGUGAGUAAUAUAACAAGACCUAUCAAUGAUAGAUUUUAUCACCGAUAGAUUCUUAUUAUGCAUCAGUGAUAGAUUCUAUCAAUGAUAGAUCAUAUGUGUUGACUAAGUUUGUUCUUUUUUUCUUUUCAGGUUAAUGCUAUUAAUGAUGUUGAAUUUCAAGUGAUUGAUGGAAGAAAACAAUUUAUGGUACAUUUAAAUUGCAAAUCAUGUACCUGUCGCGUUUGGGAUCUUGAUGAAAUUCCAUGCGCUCAUGCACUUGCUGUUCUUCGUGGAUGCAAUAUGAAUACUUACUCUUUUGUUUCCAAUUAUUUUUUGUCAAGCACUUUGGUUUUAGCUUAUACUGGAUUAGUUCGUCCAGUUGGGAACCAUUCUAAUUAGAAAUCUAUUGGGGUUGACAUGAACAUACUUCCUCUAGUUUUCAAGAGUCGAGCUGGAUGACCACGAAAACAGAGAACAUUAUCAAUUGGCGAGAAGAAAAGUCAACCAAAAUGCAAUCAUUGUCGUCGUGCUGGUCACAAUCGUAGAAAUUGCAAAUUUUCACCAUUUUUACAAUGAUAUGACAUUAUGUUUUUUAUAAUACUCUUUUAGCUUGAGCAUAGAGAACAUUCUUUUUUUUUUUUUUAAGUAGUCAAUAAUAAUCUACCUUUUGUAAAGUACUAAUACAUAUAAAAAUCUAUCUCUAAUAGUUUCUACAAGUGUUAGAGACCAUAAAAUGCACCAAUUAGUUGAACAUGUGAUAAAAACCAUUAUUGUGAGUCUAUUGUCAAUAGUUUCUAUCACUGAUAGAAACCAUAAAAUGCACCAAUUAGUUCAACCUGUGAUAAAAACCAUUAUUGUGUAGUCUAUCGUCAAUAGUUUCUAUCACUGAUAGAAACCAUAAAAUGCUCCAACACUUUAUUCUUGGAGACUGUCUUGUUGCUUUUGGAGAUUCUUUCUUCUUAUCUUUUGGAUUCUUUUGGUCUUUUUCUUUCUUUUGAUCUUUCAGAUUCUCCAACACUUUCUUUGACGGUUUAGGUCGUCUCUUCGAUCUAGCAUUUUCAAUGUUCUUCACUAUUUCCAUAGUUUUCGCUUUUGCCUUUUCUUGAACAAUCUGAAAAAAAUAAUUGAAUUAGAGUUUAUAUAUAGACACGUUGAGUCUAUCAUAAAACAAAAAUUGUGAUUAUUAUAAUACCUUCACUUUCUUUGAUAUGUCAUGCACCGUUUUUGACUUAUUUUCACGAUGAUUAUCAUCAUCUUCCUCAAUUUCGUUGUUAUCUACAGUCUUUUGUAGAAAUUAAUAUUAGUAUUGCAAUGAAAAAAAUUACAGAAACUAUUAAUAUUCAAUCAAAGAAAAAACAGUCUAUCACUGAUACAGAUCUAUCAUUGAUAGACUUUUCACUCACAAACAUACUCUAGUAAUAGUCUUGGAAAAAAUAAAAGUAAAAGAACUAGAAGCUUUAAUAGUGUUACCUCUUUGUCUUUUGCGCAAGAAGUUGCAUAAGCAACUGCUUGAUCAAUGUUAGUAUCAAUAUCAGCAUCUAUCAUUUCUAGACUCAUUGAUGGAGGAUGAUUCUUUUCCAAGGACUCUUCAGAUUGUUUUUCACUUUCACAUUUGUGUGGAAAUCUUUGAUUCACAUCUUAUGUUAGGGAAAGUAACAAAUGAACGAUCUCCUCUUGUCCUUUUUUCAGGUGGUCUAAAUCUUCUUUGUGCUGUUUUUUUAAAUCUUCAAUAUCUUCAUGUACAGAAGAUAUUCUUUCUACAAUAUUUUUUAUCAUUUACAACAUAUGCUUCUUCAACCAAUCUAUCGUUUUCUAACUCCACGAAAUAUCGAAAGUACUCAGAUGACAUUUCUUCUUUAGAUGCAACAAUGGGGACCAUAGAUAGCUAGAAAAAAUAUUCAAUCAGUAUUAAAUAAAAAAAAAACUUAUGCACAUAUGUUUGUAGAGAGCAGUCUAUCAUUGAUAUGGAUCUAUCACCGAUACGAAUCUAUCACUGAUAGAUCAAUAUCAGUGAUAUUGGUGACAAAAAGAAAACAAAUUAAAAACUUACAUUUUUUUCCAGAAACACGUUGGCUUCAAGAUCUUGCCAAUCUACUUGUACACUGGAUUCCCAAUUUAAUAUUCUGGGAGAGCCUUUUCCUAUCAUAUUCGUUAGCAAGUUGAGGAAGUAUUUCGUAUGCCCAAUAAGCAAGAACUAUAGGGAAGCCUUGUAGAAAGGCACAUGAUUUAGAUUCUAAUUAUGAGUUUUUCGACUUCCUUUUGGAUUUUACAGCAUUUUGAAUGAAUUGCUUUGUCAAACUAUAGCACAACGUUCCCCGUUCGGCUUUUGUGGGCAAGAAACUUCGAGAUCACUCAGAAUCGGACCACCCAGUAGCCGGAUGUGGAAUUUCGAGGCCUCGGACCCCGUUCCAAGUCUGACCGUCCCUUUCCAGGCCAUUGUGCCUUUCUUCGGCGUUUUGGGACGGAACCAAGAAACCGAGUCUGGGGCGUCACCGUUCGGCUUUUGGGGGCAAGAAACUUCGAGAUCACUCAGAAUCGGACAACCCAGUAGCCGGAUGUGGACUUUCGAGGCCUCGGACCCCGUUCCAAGUCCGAUCGUCCCUUUCCAGGCCAUUGUGCCUUUCUUCGGCGUUUUGGGACGGAACCAAGAAACCGAGUCUGGGGCGUCACCGUUCGGCUUUUGUGGGCAAGAAACUUCGAGAUCACUCAGAAUCGGACCACUCAAUAGCCGGAUGUGGACUUUCUGAGGCCUCGGACCCCGUUCCAAGUCCGACCGUCCCGUUGCAGGCCAUUGUGCCUUUCUUCGGCGUUUUGGGACGGAACUAAGAAACCGAGUCUGGGCGUCACCGUUCGGCUUUUGUGGGCAAGAAACUUCGAGAUCACUCAGAAUCGGACCACCCAGUAGCUAGAUGUGGACUUUCGAGGCCUCGGACCCCGUUCCAAGUCCGAUCGUCCCUUUCUAGGCCAUUGUGCCUUUCUUCGGCGUUUUGGGACGGAACCAAGAAACCGAGUCUGGGGCGUCACCGUUCGGCUUUUGUGGGCAAGAAACUUCGAGAUCACUCAGAAUCGGACCACCCAGUAGCCGGAUGUGGACUUUCGAGGCCUCGGACCCCGUUCCAAGUCCGACCGUUCCUUUCCAGGCCAUUGUGCCUUUCUUCGGCGUUUUGGGACGGAACAAAGAAACCGAGUUCUGGGCGUCACCGUUCGGCUUUUGUGGGCAAGAAACUUCGAGAUCACUCAGAAUCGGACCACCCAGUAGCAGCCGGAUGUGGACUUUCGAGGCCUCGGACCCCCGUUCCAAGUUCGACCGUCUCGUUGCAGGCCAUUGUGCCUUUCUUCGGCGUUUUGGGACGGAACCAAGAAACCGAUUCUGGGGCGUCACCGUUCGGCUUUUGUGGGCAAGAAACUUCGAGAUCACUCAGAAUCGGACCACCCAGUAGCCGGAUGUGGACUUUCGAGGCCUCGGACCCCAUUCCAAGUCCGACCGUCCCUUUCCAGGCCAUUGUGCCUUUCUUCGGCGUUUUGGGACGGAACCAAGAAACCGAGUCUAAGGCGUCACCGUUCGGCUUUUGUGGGCAAGAAACUUCGAGAUCACUCAGAAUCGGACCACCCAGUAGCCGGAUGUGGACUUUCGAGGCCUCGGACCCCGUUCCAAGUCCGACCGUCCCUUUCAGGCCAUUGUGCCUUUCUUCGGCGUUUUGGGACGGAACCAAGAAACCGAGUCUGCGGCGUCACCGUUCGGCUUUUGUGGGCAAGAAACUUCGAGAUCACUCAGAAUCGGACCACCCAGUAGCUAGAUGUGGACUUUCGAGGCCUCGGACCCCGUUCCAAGUCCGACCGUCCCUUUCGAGGCCAUUGUGCCUUUCUUCGGCGUUUUGGGACGGAACCAAGAAACCGAGUCUGGCGCGCGUCACCGUUCGGCUUUUUGGGCAAGAAACUUCGAGAUCACUCAGAACUCGGACCACCCAGUAGCUAGAUGUGGACUUUCGAGGCCUCGGACCCCGUUCCAAGUCCGACCGUCCCUUUCCAGGCCAUUGUGCCUUUCUUCGGCGUUUUGGGACGGAACCAAGAAACCGAGUCUGGGGCGUCACCGCUCGGCUUUUGUGGGCAAGAAACUUCGAGAUCACUCAGAAUCGGACCACCCAGUAGCUAGAUGUGGACUUUCGAGGCCUCGGACCCCGUUCCAAGUCCGACCGUCCCUUUCUAGGCCAUUGUGCCUUUCUUCGGCGUUUUGGAACGGAACCAAGAAACCGAGUCUGGGGCGUCACCGUUCGGCUUUUGUGGGCAAGAAACUUUGAGAUCACUCAGAAUCGGACCACCCAGUAGCUAGAUGUGGACUUUCGAGGCCUCGGGACCCCCGUUCCAAAGUCCGACCGUCCCUUUCCAGGCCAUUGUGCCUUUUUCGGCGUUUUGGGACGGAACCAAGAAACCGAGUCUGGGCGUCACCGUUCGGCUUUUGUGGGCAAGAAACUUCGAGAUCACUCAGAAUCGGACCACCCAGUAGCUAGAUGUCGACUUUCGAGGCCUCGGACCCCGUUCCAAGUCCGACCGUCCCUUUCUAGGCCAUUGUGCCUUUCUUCGGCGUUUUGGGACGGAACCAAGAAACCGAGUCUGGGGCGUCACCGUUCGGCUUUUGUGGGCAAGAAACUUCGAGAUCACUCAGAAUAGGACCACCCAGUAGCUAGAUGUGGACUUUCGAGGCCUCGGACCCCGUUCCAAGUCCGACCGUCCCUUUCCAGGCCAUUGUGCCUUUCUUCGGCGUUUUGGGACGGAACCAAGAAACCGAGUCUGCGGCGUCACCGUUCGGCGUUUUGUGGGCAAGAAACUUCGAGAUCACUCAGAAUCGGACCACCCAGUAGCUAGAUGUGGACUUUCGAGGCCUCGGACCCCGUUCCAAGUCCGACCGUCCCUUUCCAGGCCAUUGUGCCUUUCUUCGGCGUUUUAGGACGGAACCAAGAAACCGAGUCUGCGGCGUCACCGUUCGGCUUUUUGUGCGGCAAGAAACUUCGAGAUCACUCAGAAUCGGACACCCCAGUAGCUAGAUGUGGACUUUCGAGGCCUCGGACCCCGUUCCAAGUCCGACCGUCCCUUUCUAGGCCAUUGUGCCUUUCUUCGGCGUUUUGGGACGGAACCAAGAAACCGAGUCUGCGGCGUCACCGUUCGGCUUUUGUGGGCAAGAAACUUCGAGAUCACUAAGAAUGGAUCGGACCACCCAGUAGCUAGAUGUGGACUUUCGAGGCCUCGGACCCCGUUCCAAGUCCGACCGUCCCUUUCUAGGCCAUUGUGCCUUUCUUUCGGCGUUUUGGGACGGAACCAAAGAAACCGAGUCUGGCGGCGUCACCGUUCGGCUUUUGUGGGCAAGAAACUUCGAGAUCACUCAGAAAUCGGACCACCCAGUAGCUAGAUGUGGACUUUCGAGGCCUCGGACCCCGUUCCAAGUCCGACCGUCCCUCUUCAGGCCAUUGUGCCUUUCUUCGGCGUUUUGGGACGGAACCAAGAAACCGAGUCUGGGGCGUCACCGUUCGGCUUUUGUGGGCAAGAAACUUCGAGAUCACUCAGAAUCGGACCACCCAGUAGCUAGAUGUGGACUUUCGAGGCCUCGAACCCCGUUCCAAGUUCCGACCGUCCCUUUCCAGGCCAUUGUGCCUUUCUUCGGCGUUUUGGGACGGAACAAGAAACCGAGUCUGGGCGUCACCGUUCGGCUUUUGUGGGCAAGAAACUUCGAGAUCACUCAGAAUCGGACCACCCAGUAGCUAUUAGUGGACUUUCGAGGCCUCGGACCCCGUUCCAAGUCCGACCGUCCCUUUCUAGGCCAUUGUGCCUUUCUUCGGCGUUUUGGGACGGAACCAAGAAACCGAGUCGGGGCGUCACCGUUCGGCUUUUGUGGGCAAGAAACUUCGAGAUCACUCAGAAUCGGACCACCCAGUAGCUAGAUGUGGACUUUCGAGGCCUCGGACCCCCGUUCCAAGUCCGACCGUCCCUUUCUAGGCCAUUGUGCCUUUCUUCGGCGCUUUGGGACGAACCAAGAAACCGAGUCUGGGGCGUCACCGUUCGGCUUUUGUGGGCAAGAAACUUCGAGAUCACUCAGAAUCGGACCACCCAGUAGCUAGAUGUGGACUUUCGAGGCCUCGGACCCGUUCCAAGUCCGACCGUCCCUUUCCAGGCCAUUGUGCCUUUCUUCGGCGUUUUGGGACGGAACCAAGAAACCGAGUCUGCGGCGUCACCGUUCGGCUUUUGUGGGCAAGAAACUUCGAGAUCACUAAGAAUCGGACUCGGACCACCCAGUAGCUAGAUGUGGACUUUCGAGGCCUCGGACCCCGUUCCAAGUCCGACCGUCCCUUUCUAGGCCAUUGUGCCUUUUCUUUGCGUUUUGGGACGGAACCAAGAAACCGAGUCUGGGCCGUCACCGUUCGGCUUUUGUGGGCAAGAAACUUCGAGAUCACUCAGAAUCGGACCACCCAGUAGCUAGAUGUGGACUUUCGAGGCCUCGGACCCCGUUCCAAGUCCGACCGUCCCUUUCUAGGCCAUUGUGCCUUUCUUCGGCGUUUUGGGACGGAACCAAGAAACCGAGUCUGGGGCGUCACCGUUCGGCUUUUGUGGGCAAGAAACUUCGAGAUCACUCAGAAUCGGACCACCCAGUAGCUAGAUGUGGACUUUCGAGGCCUCGGACCCCGUUCCAAGUUCGACCGUCCCUUUCCAGGCCAUUGUGCCUUUCUUCGGCGUUUUGGGACGGAACCAAGAAACCGAGUCUGGGCGUCACCGUUCGGCUUUUGUGGGCAAGAAACUUCGAGAUCACUCAGAAUCGGACCACCCAGUAGCUAGAUGUGGACUUUCGAGGCCUCGGACCCGUUCCAAGUCCGACCGUCCCUUUCUAGGCCAUUGUGCCUUUCUUCGGGUUUGGGACGGAACCAAGAAACCGAGUCUGGGCGUCACCGUUCGGCUUUUGUGGGCAAGAAACUUCGAGAUCACUCAGAAUCGGACCACCCAGUAGCUAGAUGUGGACUUUCGAGGCCUCGGACCCCGUUCCAAGUCCGACCGUCCCUUUCCAGGCCAUUGUGCCUUUCUUCGGCGUUUUGGGACGGAACCAAGAAACCGAGUCUGGGGCGUCACCGUUCGGCUUUUGUGGGCAAGAAACUUCGAGAUCACUCAGAAUCGGACCACCCAGUAGCUAGAUGUGGACUUUCGAGGCUCGGCCGGACCCCGUUCCAAGUCCGACCGGUCCCUUUCUAGGCCAUUGUGCCUUUCUUCGCGGCUUUGGGACGGAACCAAGAAACCGAGUCUGGGCGUCACCGUUCGGCUUUUGUGGGCAAGAAACUUCGAGAUCACUCUGAAUCGGACCACCCAGUAGCCGGAUGUGGACUUUCGAGGCCUCGGACCCCGUUCCAAGUCCGACCGUCCCUUCUAGGCCAUUGUGCCUUUCUUCGGCGUUUUGGGACGGAACCAAGAAACCGAGUCUGGCGUCACCCGUUCGGCUUUUGUGGGCAAGAAACUUCGAGAUCACUCAGAAAUCGGACCCACCCAGUAGCUAGAUGUGGACUUUCGAGGCCUCGGACCCCGUUCCAAGUCCGACCGUCCCUUUCAGGCCAUUGUGCCUUUCUUCGGCGUUUUGGGACGGAACCAAGAAACCGAGUCUGGGGCGUCCCGUUCGGCUUUUGUGGGCAAGAAACUUCGAGAUCACUCAGAAUCGAACCACCCAGUAGCUAGAUGUGGACUUUCGAGGCCUCGGACCCCGUUCCAAGUCCGGACCGUCCCUUUCUUGGCCAUUGUGCCUUUCUUCGGCGUUUUGGGACGGAACCAAGAAACCGAGUCUGGCGUCACCGUUCGGCUUUUGUGGGCAAGAAACUUCGAGAUCACUCUGAAUUCGGACCACCCAGUAGCUAGAUGUGGACUUUCGAGGCCUCGGACCCCCGUUCCAAGUCCGACCGUCCCUUUCCAGGCCAUUGUGCCUUUCUUCGGCGUUUUGGGGACGGAACCAAGAAACCGAGUCUGGCGUCACCGUUCGGCUUUUGUGGGCAAGAAACUUCGAGAUCACUGUGAAUCGGACCACCCCAGUAGCUAGAUGUGGACUUUCGAGGCCUCGGACCCCGUUCCAAGUCCGACCGUCCUUUUCUAGGCCAUUGUGCCUUUCUUCGGCGUUUUGGGACGGAACCAAGAAACCGAGUCUGGGCGUCACCGUUCGGCUUUUGUGGGCAAGAAACUUCGAGAUCACUCAGAAUCGGACCACCCAGUAGCUAGAUGUGGACUUUCGAGGCCUCGGACCCCGUUCCAAGUCCGACCGUCCCUAAUUGCCAUAAUUAACAUGUAACCAUAAACUAAUCAAAUUAGGGUUUUAAGAAGUAUUACCUUUGAAGCUUUCAAAAGGGUUUGAUGUCUUCUUACCAAUUUCUACCCGAGACCACCACUAGUACUCAACUGCUAUCCUCUAGACAAAGAACCGGGUUGUGGGACCCAAUUUUGGUGUAGAAAAGUAAUGGAGAUAAAAUGAGAUUGGAAGCUUUCUUUUUUCUUUUGUUGAGAUGAUGAAAAUGAUAAAAGAGGCAAAAGUCCUUCAACAUUUGAAAACAUCUCUAUUUAUAGCCUAAUUACAUGCAAAAAUGCAUGCAAUUCAAUUGCCAAAUCUCAACACCUAAUAUUCCACUAACAAUUAGUGGAACUUAGUGGGCUAGGUGUCUAUAUCUCAUAUAGCCACAUAUCCACUAAGAGUUAGUGGGAUUAUCCAACAAAAUGUUGGAUUUUCCCACUAACUUAGUCCAAGGGUAAAAUGGUCAUUAGAUUUUUCUAGUCAAAAGUCAAACUUUGACUUUUCUAAGUCAAAAGUCAAUAUUUUGACUUUUUACCAUUUUGUCCGUCUUGACUAAUUCCAACCUCCCGAGCAUGAAUCCGCAUUCAUUUUUCCAAAAUUCAAAUCACAUUUGAAUAUAAGGCCGGUCAAAGUUUGACUUUUCAAAGUCAAAAGUCAACAUUUUGACUUUUUACUAUUUUUGACCAAUUCCGAGCUUCUUAGUAUGAAUCCGCAUUCAUACUUAUAGUAUGUAAAACAUAAAGCUCUAUUUCUAAUUAGAAGACCGACGAUUAUAUCACUGUAUAUGUCGGUUUUCCUUUCUUCUCCCUAUUCGAACAAUUCGACUUAUUUCAUCACACUGUUCUAAGUUUAAUCCAUAUGAGCUAGCAGAGGAACCUAAUGGACCUAUAGAUCAUGGGCUCCAACGAUUCAAGAUUAACUAGCUAAACUCUUUUAAACCGAGUUAAUCAACAUUCGUUAACUAACGGGUCAUUCCACUAAAGUCCCGUAGUUGCACUCCCCUCACUAUAGAUAUAUUUGUGUCCAUUUGAUAAAACCAUAAUCAGUAAGUUAAUCCUUCACAGGUUGCUCGUAACCUUGGCUGGGUCAAAAUACCGUUUUACCCCCAAGAUUACAUCUUGCUUCCUUAAGUCCCACUAAUCCACUAUUGAACAAUUGGUUUAAGGUUCAACCUAUAAACUUAAAUCCCUCUCGGCCAAUGAGAGGGUGGGGCCCCUUGUUCCAAGACUUUGGAUUCAGUGCUUAAGAGAGCAACCUAUCUACUAACCCUAAAGCGGGUAGGAGUGAAUUCCAUCUUGUACCCUAUGUUCCCAGCUAUCCACCCGAUCUUACCCCUGAAAUGGGAGGCUUAUUGGGCCAACGCUGAUGAGCUGCCCUCACCUAUGCAGAUCUAAGGAUAAUCUCGUAUGAACAGGAGUUCAUAGUUAACUCAGGAUUAAGACUAAGUUACCUAGGUCAUCAAAUAAUUGAGAUAGUCAGUUUUAAACAGUAAACGGUGUUAUAACGUAAAAAUGACUAAUUCAUGGUUCAGUCUUAUGUAAACAUUUUACAUAGGAUGCCCCCACUUUCAUGUCUCUACAUGAACGAUUAGGAUCACAUCGUUUGUACUACAAAGUGGGCCGCAUCCAUAGUCUCUCAAAAUAAGGCGCCCAACCUUUAUUUCAUAAUACUAUAGACUAUUUAGGCUAUAUACUCGAACUUGAUCCACGUUUAUGUUUACACAUAAAGUUCAAGUUUAUUCAAAAAAUAGCCUUGGAACUUGAUUUAUUGGAUUUAAGAUUAUAAUAUUUAAUUUCUCAAUAACAACUUUAUUGAAUAGAAAUAUGAUUUACCAAAACUACGAGUUUUAGGACAAAAAAUUCCAACAAACUCCCACUUGGACUAAAAUUCCUAGUGGUAUGAGAGAUGUGGUGUGAGAGAAUAUAUAUGAAACUAGGGCACAUGGCCAAUUAAGUCUCCCACUUUGUCCUAGUUUACAAACAUCGUACACCUAAACUGUGUAGGUGACCCUCAAACACUUUAGCCAUGAGGGCUUUUGUAAAAUGAUGAGCUUCCAUUGUGGAAUCAGCUAUACAAGUUUGCUUUAUGCUUCUCCAAACUACUGCUCCUCCAUUUAGAGUAAAUACUGAUCCUGAUGUAGACUUUCUAACAUCUUUAUCAGUUUGGAAAUCUGAAUCAGUGUAUCCAGUAAGGAUCAGAUCCUUUGUACGAUACAUGAGCAUGUAGAAUGUUUUUAACGGCUGUCCAGUGAUCACGUCCAUGAUUGGAUUGAUACCUACUGACCAUCCCUACUGAGUAGCAAAUGUCAGGUCUAGUACAUAACAUUGCAUACAUUAAACUUCCAACAGCGGAAGCAUAGGGAAUAUUUCUCAUAUCCUCAACUUCUUGAGGUGUCUUAGGACAUUGUUCCUUUGACAAAUGAAUUCCAUAUCUGUAACGGCAGCAGACCCUUUUUGGAAUUCUGCAUUUUAUAUCUAGACAACAUUUUGUCUAUGUAAGAUGCUUGAGACAUGGCUAGUGUUUUGUUCUUACGGUUUCGAACAAUUUGGAUUCCGAGAACGUAUUGUGCAUCUCCCAGAUCUUUCAUUUGAAAUUGCAUAGCUAGCCAUUUCUUGAUAUCAGUAAGAUAUCCUAGUCAUUUCCAAUAAGUAGAAUAUCAUCUACAUAUAAGACUAAAAAAUGCUAUAAUGGAAUUGACGACCUUUUGUAAACACAAGGCUCGUCAACAUUUUGUUCAAAGCCAUAAGAUUUUGAUCGCAAUAUCAAAUCUUAUAUUCCAGGAUCUAGAAGCUUGUUUUAAUCCAUAAAUGGAUUUUUUAAGCUUACAAACCUUUUGUUCUUGAUCUUGUUUUAUAAACCCCUCUGGUUGAGACAUAUAGAUGCUCUCUUCAAGAUUACCGUUCAAAAAAAGCUGUCUUGACAUCCAUCUGCCAAAUUUCAUAAUCAUAAAAAGUGGCGAUGGAUAAGAGUAUUCUAAUUGACUUUAACAUGGCAACAGGGAGAGAAAGUUUCCUCAUAGUCUACUCCCUCUCUCUAGGUAUAACCCUUUGCCACAAGUCGAGCCUUGAAAGUCUGUACUUUACCGGCAUGGUCUCGUUUUCUCUUGUAGAUCCAUUUACAACCAAUAGGUUUUACGUCAUUUGGUUGAUCUACUAGAGUCCAGACAGAAUUAAAGUACAUAGACUCCAUUUCGAGGUCCAUGGCUUUGAUCCAUUGGUCACAAUCUACAUCUUUCAUUGCCUGUUUAUAGGUUAAUGGAUCCUCUAUGCCAUCGUCAGGUAUGAUGACUUGAGUUUCAAUUAAACCCAAAUAGCGAUCAGGCUGAUGAACAACCCUCCCACUACGUCGAGGCUCUCUCAACUGUUGAGAAGGAUGUGAUUGACCAGAUUUCCUAGUCUUAUCAACUACCUUAGUGGCAUGAACUAGGUUUAUCUAUAGCACUUUUGGAAAUUUCUUUUAAUACUAGUUUACUACGAGGUUGAUGAUCCCUGAUGUGGUCUUCCUCUAAGAAUGUGGCAUUUGUUGACACAAAUAUUUUAUUUCUUGAGGAUCAUAAAACAAACCACCUCUUGAUUCUUUUGGAUAACCUAUGAAAAAGCAUAAUUUGAACGAUGUUUCAAUUUCUUAGGAUUUUGUACCAACACGUGUGCUGGACAACCCCAAAUUCUAAAAUGACGUAAACUCCUUUACGCCCUUUCCAUAGCUCAUAUGUGUUUCUGAAACACUUUUAGAGGGAACAUUAUUCAAAAUAUAACAGCUUUCUAAAGCAUAUCCCAAAAAGAAUCUGACAUCUGAGAAAAACUCAUCAUAGAGCGAACCAUGUCUAACAAGGUCCAGUUUCUUCUUUCUGAUACACCGUUCUGUUGAGGUGUACUAGGUGCAGAGAGUUGUGACUGGAUUCCAUUUUCUAUUAAAUAGUCUCGGAAUCGUAAGUCCAUAUACUCUCCACCUCGAUCUGAUCGAAGUAUUUUUAUUGUUUUACCUAAUUGUUUUCUACUUCAGCCUUAUAUUCUUUGAACUUUUCAAGACUAUUAGACUUAUGAUGUAUUAGGUAAAUAUGACCAUACCUUGAAUAAUCAUCAAUGAAGCUAAUGAAAUAUUCAUAUCCACCUCGAGCUUUGACAUUCAUUGGUCCACAAAGGUCCGAAUGUACGAGCUCUAAGGGUCUUUUGGCUCUUAGACCUUUUCCAGUAAAAGAUCUCUUGGUCAUUUUUUUCAAGACAAGAUUCACAAAGAGGUAAAGUAUUAUUUUCUAACUGAUUUAGAAGCCCACUUUUAACUAAUCUCCCAAUCCUAUUGAGAUUUAUGUGACCAAGUCUUAAGUGCCAUAAAUAGGCAUUAGAAGAAACUUUUUGUCUUUUAUUCUGAGUUUCAGCUGUUCUGAAUAUUUCAGUAUUUAAGACAAAAUUUGCUCUGGUUGGUCUUAACUUAUAUAAGUUGUCUUCAAGUAUAGCAGAACAAACUAGAAUACCUUUAUAGAAAACGAACGCUUCAUUAAUUUCAAAAGAUAUUCUAUACAUUUGUUCCAAAAUACAAGAGAUAGAUAUUAAAUUUCUUUUCAUUUGAGGUACAUAUAAGACAUUCUUAAGUAUGACAUAUCUAUCUCUAAAAAACAACUUUAAAUCUCCCACUGCUGAAGUUGAGACCAUCUCUCCUGUUCCAACCUUGAGAGUGAUCUCGCCUUCUGAAAGCUUUUUCAAGAACUAUUUUCCUGAAAUGAGAAGCAAAUAUGGUUUAGUGGCUCCUGAAUCUAGUAUCCAGGUACAAUUUUCAUAUUCCACUAAACAUGUUUCUACAACUAGUAAAUCAUAUUUACCUUGUGUUUCCUUCUCUGCCUUUUUUUCUGCAAGGUAUUUUGGGCAGUUUCUUAACCAGUGCCCGUUUUGGCCACAAUGGUAACACUUACCUUUUUCUGCACCUUUCUUACCCUUGUUCUGUUUGGGAGUCUUUCCCUUUCCCUUCUUUUUUAUUUGAGCAUUAGGUUUUGAGGGUCCAGCUUUGGUUUUAGAGGACGAUCCUCUUAUAAAUUUUCUUUUUGUGGUAGCAACAUUUGCUUCCACUUGUUUUCCUUUACCCAUAGUAAGGUUUUGGAAUCGCUGGAGUUCAUUCAGAAGGGUUGUCAAGUUAAAUUCUAUCUUGUUCAAAGACGCAUUCGUUUGGAAUGGAAUGAAGCUCUUCGGAAGAGACUCUAAGAUAAAACUAACUUGAUUAACCUCUUCGAUGGGACCACCAUUCACUUCAGCGAUGUUGAAGUGCAUCAUCAUGUCCAGAACAUGUUCUCUAACAGAGGUCCCUUCCUUCAUACGCUUAGUGUAAAUGUAUUUGACUGCCUCGUGUCUUAAGGACAAUUCUGGUUGCCCAAACAUUCCCCUUAAUGAAUUCAUAAUCUCUUUAGCCGUGGCUAAGGAUUCAUGUUUCUUUGCCAAUACAUCAGACAUGCUGGCAAGAAUGUAGACACGGCUUUUUCAUUAGCUUUUAUCCAUCGAUCAUAUGCAUCCCGACUAGUUCGGUUAUCAUUAGAGGCAGGGUUUUGAGGACAUUCCUCAGUUAAGACAAAUCUUAAAUCACCAACCACUAGUAUUGUGUUAAGAUUUGAUUUCCAAGCCGCAUAAUUAUCGCCAUUAAGUUUUUCGGAAGCUAAAAGUCGAACUAUUGAGCUAUUCAUGCUGAAAAACAAACAUAUUCCUUUUAGGAAAAAACUAUAAUCAUAAAAAAUAUCCAAUCUAAUUUAGCAAUUACUAAUAAUGUACCCUUUCAUUAUUUGUAUUUUGCAACAAUAUUUCAAAGGUUUAGAACAACCUUCUCCGAAGGGUAGUUGAUUAUUCCUCCUUUGAACCAAGACAAUCUUGACUAGAUGCUAUCUCUAGAAUAACUCUUUAUUCUUUAUAGCACUUAGUUAUCGCUACUUUAGUCAAGAAUAUACUAACAACUUAGUAAUUCUUGUAAGUGUUACCCACCAUUUUCAGAUUUCAUAGAUUAGAAUCAUUUAUGAAAACUAAUCUAAGAAAUCCUAUCCAGUUUUGGAGUUCGCGGUGUUCCGAAUCCUAUAAUACAACCCUCCGAAGGGAACGUCGCUCCAGGGCAGACAAGCAGGCAUAUUAUAGAAAUCUCACGGUGCGACCUAAUGGAAGAGACCGUGGGAUGUGCUGCCACAAAUCCCUCACCCACUUACUAUGAACUACUUCCCCUAUUCACCUUGAUUUUGAUCCAUGCAAACACUCUCCGAAGGGAGGCCGCUCCUAUGCACGGCACAAAGCCCUGCAUGGACCUCACGGUGUGAACUCUUAGGGACACUAGAGCUAAAAUACAUUAUUUUUCUCUAGUUGAAGUGUUCUAAAAGAAAAAAAUAGGGUAAUCCAAACUUCAAGAUUUAUAUUUAGGCUAACUUAAACAAAUCUUAAGUCUAGAUAAAACAUCCAAGUAUAACCAUUAUACAGGAUUUUAACCUAUGAUGUCUAGGUGAAAAACCAUUUUUAUUACCUCACACCUCUCACGAAUGCUCAUAAAACUAGGUUAACUAGGCUCAAGAACUGAUUACGAUCUCCAGGUAGGAGGUGUUCCGUAAACCGUCAACUUAAGAACCUCCAACCUUAGUCAUCUUAUCUGACUUGUUGACAAGAUUGAACCAGGUGAGCCUUUUGUAACCAGUUUUACAAGAUAUCGACCUAUUUCUAUGAAAAAUGGAAGAUAUGUUUAACCUAAGUGAGCAUGCAUUUAAUCUUUGUUAUUGAUUUUAAAAGUCUAAUUUAUUUUAUAACACUUAUAAAAACUUUUAAACUUAAUCAAUCAUUUUAUCAAUAUAUCUUAUAAAAACAAUCAAUUAAUAUGGAUUUUAAUUUAUUUAACUUUAAUUAAAUCAUAUUUAAUUAAAUUAAAUCAAACAAUAAUUAAUUAAUUUGAUUAAAUCAUAUUUAAUCAAGAAUAACUUAAUUAAUUAAAUAAUUAAUUAAUCAUAUUAAUUAAUUUCCAUAUUAAUCAAUUAACAUGCAUACAAUACAAUAUAACCUUUAUAUCAUACAUUUUAAUGCAUGAACAUGUUAACCUAUGGUGGGAUUUUAAAUCUAUAUGACAUUCAAAAUGCACAUACAAAUUUAAAGUAAUUUAAUCAUACAUCACAUGCAUAAAUAAAAAAAACACCCUAAAAUGGACUGAUUUUUGGCUCCUAAAUUAAGCUAAGUGCUAAAUUAUUACAUAAUUAAUUUGGUGUAGUACAGAACCACUCCCAAAAACUUCGAACCGGCUAAAAAACCAACCGAAACCGCUUGAACCGGCCCAAAAACCAAAUUUAUUGGCUUGAACCGGCCAGGCGCACACGGUCGUGCGAAGGCGGCGCGAGGCAGCGCGGGCAGCGGGCGCGCAGCGCAUGCGGAUGCGGCGCGCGGCACAGCGGCGCAGGGCGCAUGCAGGCGCGCGCGCGCAGGCGGCGCAUGCGCAGGCGCGGGNNNNNNNNNNNNNNNNNNNNNNNNNNNNNNNNNNNNNNNNNNNNNNNNNNNNNNNNNNNNNNNNNNNNNNNNNNNNNNNNNNNNNNNNNNNNNNNNNNNNNNNNNNNNNNNNNNNNNNNNNNNNNNNNNNNNNNNNNNNNNNNNNNNNNNNNNNNNNNNNNNNNNNNNNNNNNNNNNNNNNNNNNNNNNNNNNNNNNNNNNNNNNNNNNNNNNNNNNNNNNNNNNNNNNNNNNNNNNNNNNNNNNNNNNNNNNNNNNNNNNNNNNNNNNNNNNNNNNNNNNNNNNNNNNNNNNNNNNNNNNNNNNNNNNNNNNNNNNNNNNNNNNNNNNNNNNNNNNNNNNNNNNNNNNNNNNNNNNNNNNNNNNNNNNNNNNNNNNNNNNNNNNNNNNNNNNNNNNNNNNNNNNNNNNNNNNNNNNNNNNNNNNNNNNNNNNNNNNNNNNNNNNNNNNNNNNNNNNNNNNNNNNNNNNNNNNNNNNNNNNNNNNNNNNNNNNNNNNNNNAAAGGGAUAUGCAUCCAAGGAUGACUUAAGCAAUAUGAGGUAAGAUGUGCGGUAGAGUACAAGUGGACAACAUACAAGAUACCUAAGUUUUGCCAAAUAAGUGUCUUGCAUGAGGUGGAAAGUGCAAGUAUGGGCGUAAGAGGUGAGAAUAAAAGUGUCAACCAAAGAGCAUGCAAGGAUCACUAUAUGUACAACUUUGGACGAAUUAUGUUAACAAGCAACUUGUGUUAAUUGGGUAACUCUACUUCGAAAAUCUCCUAAAUUGAGUGUAGUAUCAGGAGAAAGGCUACCAGGAAGAAAGGCAUUGAAGUGAAGAAAGACUCAAAGGUCAUUUUCAGAAAAAAAAAAAAAAAAUUGAACAAUGUAGAGUAUUUUGGAAUUUUGUUUGUUAGUGACACUUUGUGGUAAGCUAGUGAAGACAUUCUAAGUAAGUUUGUAGAAGGAAUCUUAUUGAUUUAAGCUUCAAAGUCGAGUUAAGUUUCUGGUAGAAAAAUCAUAUUUCUAGGCAAGGCCAAGGGUGGGUUGAUUGCCAGGAUGACAAGGUGAGAUGAGCGUGUGUUUUGAGCGAAAGAGGUUAUUUAGGCUUGGGACAUGCAAGAAGCAUGUCCUGGCAUGAUCAAGCAGCCUGAGCCACGCGUCAUUACACACUCUAUUAUGAAAGUUGAGUAUAUUGUACUUGUGAAGCAGCAAAAGAAGCAGUUUUGCUGAGGAAGUUCUUGCAUAAUUUGGAAGUUGUUCCAAACAUGAACAUGCCCCAUCACUUUAUAUUGUGAUAAUAGUGGGGCAUAUUACUAAUCCAUUUACAAAGACUCUCAUGGCUAAAGUGUUCGAGGGUCUUCUAGAAAGUCUAGAUCUGCGAGUUAUGUACAUUAGGUAAUCUAGGAAAAGUGGCAGAUGUGUAAUGGGUAUGAGGAUGCCCUAGUUUAUUGUAUUUGUAUAUACACAUUUUAUGUAAUACACUUGUACAUUUUACCAUUUUCAAUGUUAGAGGAUUACUUUAUUAUGAACAUCCCAAAGAGACUAGAGUUUUAGUCCAAGUGGGAGUUUGUUGGAAUUUAUGUCCUAAAACUCGUAGAUUGUAAAUAUAAUCCAUUGACCAUUGUUAAUAAAGUGUUAUUAUUGUAAUAAUUGUUAUUGAUUAUAUUAUUAGUUUUGUCUUAAUAACUCAAAUCCAAUAAACUAACAUCCUAAACUGUUUAAUAAGUAUUGAAUAGUAUGUAGAGACAUACAUGGAUCAAUGUUCGAGAUUAGCUUAAAGGGUCUAUAGUAUAGGGAUAAGACUGGGUACCUUUAUCCUGGUAACAUUAUGAAUACGACUCACUUUGUAUUUGAUACAAAUACAAUGAUCCAAUGUGCUGUAGUUGACAUGCGAGUGAAGGUAUCCUAUGCAAUGAGAUUGCAAUAGACCAGACCGUGAAAUAGUAACCACUUGGUGUUACUACAUUAACUAGUUAGGUUUCUAUUUCACUAGGAUGACCUAUAUAACUUAGUCUUAAUCUUGAGUGUAUUAUGAACUCUUGUUCGCGAGAGAUUGUCCUUUGAUUUGUACGAGUGAGAGUGGCUAGAUCGCCGACUCAAUAAGCUUAUCAUUCACUACUACAAAAACAGACUCUCUUGACGUUUUUAAACUGUCAAGAAUCACUAUUCUUGACGGUUUUAAAACCGUCAUUGAAGCCAGCGUCAAGAAAGUCAAAGUUCUUGACGGUUAAUAAAACGUCAAGAAUAGCGAUUCUUAACAGUUUAUAAACGUCAAGUAUACAAAUAUUCAUGACAGUUAAAAAUCGUCAAGUGAAUGAGUAUUCAUGACAUUUAAAAACUAUCAAGAAUGUAAUUUAUGACAUUUAAAAACGGUCAAGAACACAAUUGUUUAUGACGUUUAAAAAACGUCAAGAAUUUACUUGUUAAUGACAUUGAAAAACCGUCAAGAAUGUAUUUGUUUAUGACAUUUAAAAAACGUCAAGCUUGUUUCAUUUUUUUUCUAAAUUAUAAUUUAUUUAUAUUUUUUUCCUGUAUUGUCUCUAUAAUUCCUGUAGUGUGGCCCAACAAUCUCAUAAAUAUGCACGAGUACAAUUCCAAAACUUUAACAUAUAUUAACAUUUAAUCAUAUAUGUAUGAACAUUUCGAAAACUUUACAUGUUUGUUCGAUAUUGUCAUAUACAAAACACUACUUCAGUCAACCCCAACCUAAUAUGAUAAUCCCAAAAUUACAAAACCAAUCCAACUAUGCUAUUCCAAAAAUCACAAGACUACAAUUCUAGUUCAAGAAACAAAAUCUUAAUUAAAGAAGCUUUGAAACUCAAUGAUCUUGGAUGAAUUUGACUUCAAAUACAAACUUGGAUUCCACAACCUAAACCAAAAUAAAAUAAUAUAUCAAGUUAAGAUGGAUUCACAUAGCAACAUUUUAUCAAAUGGUUGCAAUGUUUCAAAUAAGCAACAAUUAAAAUUCACAUAUCGAUUUGGCAUCUAUAAAUAUACAAACUAAAAAGUACCUAAAUGUCAAUUAUUUACCCAAUAAGGCUAACUAAGUAACCAACCUCUAAUAUGUUUUGCAAUGAAAAAGGUUGCCAUAUUGUUAAUUUGGCCAUAUUGUGAAGGCAACCUCUUAGAUGUGUUUGUGAGAAAUGAAAGAAAUACCAAAAUAAGUAUGGACUAAGAUAGUAUCAAAUAAAGUUAAAGUUGAAUUUUAAAGCUCUAUUUUUUUCAAGAUAGAGAAAUUUCAGCUAAAGAGGAAAACACUAAGGACAACAAGCAAAAAAGUCUAACAAAUAUCAAAAGAGAACAUGCAGGAAAGAAAGAAUGUAAAUAAGGUUUUAUCCGCACCAAGCAAAAAAGUCUAACAAGUAUCAAAAGCUUUAUAAGUUGUACUAGAAUUCAAAGCUCUAAACUCUAAAGAAUGUAAAUUUCUUUGAAGAAAUUUGUGUAUAAAGGUCACACAGUUGAAAAUUCAAUACCUUUUCAAGAAUGUUGUUGAGAAGAUUAUUGUGAUGAAUCUUUGAAUCCAAAUUAUGGAGACAAGAUAAAUAAAUGAGUUUGAUUCUAACUGACUGAAUGGGAGUUAAGAAAAUAAGAACAUUGGAGUUGAAUUAUCAGCAUUUAUUUUAAUCAAACUUACGAUAGCAAACCAAAUUAUAGAGAGAGAUCAAAUGCUAGGAUAAAGGAAUAGUCUUACAUUUGGUGAGUUCCCAAAUGUUGUGGUAGUCACGAGAGUUAUUCCACUCGAAUUGUCUUAGACAAGAGGCUUCCAUUCAGCAAGUACUGGUGAGAAUUAAAGUGGAAUGACAAACUUAAAAACACCUAAUCUUUAACAAACUUUUUCGACUUUUUGCAAUUAUUUUUUAACACAAGAUAUCAAAACACACUUAAAAACCAUAACAACCAAUUACCAUAAAACGGUGUCCAAUAACAAUAAUUGGGUCAACCCAAACAUCAUUAAAUUCUUGGGAAAGGUUGUGGACUAGACCUUCACCAUCUUGCCCCUAAAACAAGUUAAAGCUUAAGGAAAGAACACAGUAGAAACAAAAAUCAUAAACUCAUCAGUUAGAUAGUAUUGGUGGUCAAAACCUCAAGGUCUCACUUCUUCCAUUUUAUAUUACCAAAUUUGAAAAUGAUUUUUAAUAUAUGAUCAUUACUUGAAACAUGUUGGUGUACAAGUGUGAAUGAAACUAAAUCAAGUUUGUGUUUUAUGUUAUUGUUUUUCAGUAUGCGUAUAUUUAUGUGCUAUGCAAUCCAGAAGGGGGAAUGCAACUAUACCUAAUUCAUAAUUGUAUUUGGAACACUAAUGAUUUUAGCACAAAUUCCAUCUUUCCAUUCUCUAAGACAUAUAAACCUUAUCUCCCUCACUCUAUACCUUGGCUAUAGUGCUCUUGCAACAUAUUAAAAUUCUCGUAAUUAAAAAUUCAUACACAAUUUAAAUUAAAUUAAACAUCAAGACCCCUGACGAAGAUGAAUCUCUGUUCAUUUUUCUUUUUAUUAACAAACAAAAGUUUUUAGGUCCACUUCUUUCAACAACCUCAAGGAUCCUUAAUUAUCUCUUUCCAAGUUCAUAACCACUCUAGUCAUGCAAAGAUUAAGGUUCAUGGCCAAUCAACAAUUAAUCUGUGAUUAAGAUAUUAUGAACGUUAUUCACAUAAAAACAUGAAAAGAUUAAGAGCAAAUAAUCAGAUGCAUUACAAAGAAAAUUCAUAAACUUUGUCUACAUCUAUCCCUAGGAUUAAGAGUUUAGCUACCCCAUACUUCACAAUCUAAAACACAAAACUCAAUACAAUACCCAUAACAAAAAUUCAAGAGAAAGAAAAAGAAGAAGAAAAGCUAGUGAUUCGUAUUAUUAUAAUACUGUGUAUAACAGUAUGUGUUUUUUAAUAUUCUCUGUUUCCAGCUCCAGUGUACCAAAAUAUUAUCACAAACUCCACAAUCCUUCUCUUUCCAAUCCCUAAACUAACCAAUGAAUCAUAUUCGCACGCUUGGUAGCCUUGUUCAAAAUAUUAUAUAUUACAAUUAUAAUAACUUGUAUCCCCCUUUUCAAGCCUAAAAUGCAAAACCUUUCUUCCAUUCUCUAAGGCAUAUUUCCUCUUCUUUAAUUUUGCAUUCCAAUUUUAAAUUACAAAUUACAAAUUUUAAUCACAAAGGAAAAAAGGAAAAUUAUUACCUUUAGAAAGGGAAGAAAAUGAAUGAGUAACCAUGAAGGAUUUGGAAACGAAUAGAGGUUUAGCGAAAGUGGAAUGCGACAGAAGGACGGUGAACGUGUUUACUCGUUUUCGAACAGAGAAUGUGUUUACGCAUUUCAAACGGUGAACAGACGGACGCAAAUCAACGAAGGUGAAGGAACGCAAAGCAGACGAACGGUGAGACGGUGAAUGCAAAUGAAUGAAGGUGAACGCUGAUGAACGCGAAGGGAAGUCUUUUUCGGAUGAACGCAGAUGAAUGCACAAUGAACGCGAAGGGAAGGUUAGGUGAACGACACUUUUGAUUUCGGGUGAGAAGGGACAAGUCGCGGCGAAUUAGGUUUAAUUAAGAAAAGGGAAGUGAUCUAAUUGAAACGUUGCGUUUUGUAAAAGAAUAUUAACACAAUAAUUUUUUAGAAAUUUCUUGACGUUUUUAAAACGUCAAAAACAAAUUAAAAUUUCUUGAAGUUUUUAAAAACCAAUGAUUUUUUAGAAUUAUCUUGACGUUUUAAAAACGUCAAGAAUUUUUUAUAAAUUUCUUGACGUUUUUAAAAAUGUCAAGAACUUUUUAGAAUUAUCUCGACAUUUUAAAAACGUUAAGAAUUUUUUAAAAUUACUUGACGUUUUUAAAACGUCGAGGAAAACUAUAUAUUAUUGACGUUUAAAAAACGUCAAGAAUGUUGAAUUCAUAAACAUUCUUGACGUUUUUUAAACGUCAAAAAAUUAUUAGAUAUUUCUUGAUGUUUAAAAAACGUCAAGAAAAAAUACAUCUUACUUGACAUUUAAUAAACGUCAAAAAGUUGAAAAUUGGCCUUUCAUAAAAAAAAUUUAACGUUUUUUUAUUUGAAAUCACAUAUUUCUUGACGUUUUUGGGAUUAUAAUUGCACAAAAUGGAAUUCACUCAUUUCCUACUUUAGGGUAAGUAGAUGAAUGUUAGCUUAAAUGGUGUCUCUAAAACUUGAACAAAGGGCCUUACCCUCUCUAUGACAUGAGAGGGGUUUCUGUUUACUAGUAGGAUCAUAAAUAAGUUGUUCAUUAGAGGAGCACUGGUUUUUAAGGAUUAGAGGUAACAUAGGGGUAAAGCGGUAAAUUGAUCCAACUGGUGUUACAAACACUCGUGAAGGACUAACUUACUAUUAUUGGUCUAUAUCCGUGGACACAUAAAUAUAUUUAUAGUGAGAAGAGUUCAGUUGUGAGUCUUUAGUGGAGUGUACACACAGCUAAUGAAUAUUGAUUAAGGUGGUUAAUGAGUUUAGUCAAUUAAUCUUAGAUCGUUGUAGCUUUUGAUCUGUAGGUCCAUUAGGUCCCUUCCUAGCUCGUAAAGGGUAAUGAGAUUUAUUUAUAUUGGUUGUAAUUUAAAAUAUUUAAAUUUAACUUGGGAAUUAGUAUAAUGUAUAGUAAUACAUUAUAAUAUAAAGUUUAUCAAACUUUACUAUAUAAAUUUAACUUUGGGGAUGAUUCAAAAUUAAUUUAUGAGAGAUAAAAUAUUUGAAUGAGUUCAAAUAUUAAUUUAAUGUGAAUUGGAUUCAUAUUAAAAUUAUUGAGAGAAACUUAUAUUUGAAUAUGAUUCAAAUUUAAUUUAAGUUAAAUAUAAGAUAAAUAAUUUAGUGUUAUUAAUUAAUUGGAGAAUUAAUUAAUAGUUUAGUUUAAUAUUAUUUAAUUAAAUUUGAUUUCAUUAAUUAUUAACUAAUUGAUUAAUGCUUAAUUAAUUAGUAGAUUUGAAAUAUAUUUUAAUUUAAUUAUUUGUAAAUUAAUAGAAUCUCAUGGUUCUCUUCUACUUCAUUUUCUAUUCCAAGAAGGAAAGAGAGUUAUAAUAUCUAGAAGAAAACAAUUUUCUUAAAAAAAUGAAUUAAUAAAAAAAGAAAAAUAAGGCUAACACUAUUGCUCUUUGCAAAAAGAAAAAAGUUUCUCUCUCAAAUAUCUCUAAACUUUUUCCCAUCCCAAUUGGUUCCACAAACCAAUCUCAUCACAGAGGUACUCUUUGCAAUUUAAGUUGUCUUUGCAAUGGACAGUCUUCAAAGUUUUUUUUAACGAUGUUUCCAAUGCUUUCCUUUUUCUCUCAUGUGUAAUAAAACCAAUUUCUCUUAAAACCUGUAGGGAGGCUACAUCAUGUAUCGAACUUCAUACAACUGACGUGUUCAUCGAGUUACAACAAGUGCCGCACAAUAGUCUGUUUCGUGUUUGAAAAGUUGUAAUUGUGACACACUGCACAUGAGGUUAGCACGAGACAUGGCAAGGCAAGCCCUACGCGCGCAUGCCAACUCCUGCCCACAUAUUUUGUACGAAGCUAAUGUCUUUGGGCUGUUUUUGUGGUUUUUGGAAAUUUUAAGCAAAGUUUUGAUAUUUUUAUAAUCAAUGAGAAUUAAAUGGAAUUAUUUCCCAUUAUUUUCAUUAUUUUAGAUCUGAAGGAGAUCGAACAAGUUUAUAGCCAAGGGUCUAAGCUACUCUCUAUAAGUGACAAAAAUGAGUUUAAAAUUGAUUUCUAAACAUAAAUUUAUUAUCAAAUGUUUCAAGCAUGCUUUUAUGUUUGAAUAUUUGAGGAUACUGACUUAUAAACUAUUUCCAAAGCAUGAAUUUAGAAACAUUUUGGUAAACAUGUUUUUUAUUGAUGAAUUUACUAAUGAAAAUUAUAAGCAAUCAUGAUUGUGCUAAGUUUUCAAAAUGUUUAAGCUUGAAAAUAAUAUUAGCAUGUUUUAGUCUAUACCUAAAAUAUUCUAAGAUAUAUAGCAACCCUUCGGAGAGAUUUUCUUGUGCAUAGAGGUCAUUUGAUUUGGAUAUUCGGUAAAUACCUAGCUUUCCAUCAUUGGUACUAGAUAAGAGUUGAAGACUUCUAAAGAUGCUUUAGUUCCUAUCUCAAGGAACGAGAGCCUGUACGAAUGCCUAGUUUUCCAUCUCUUUAUUAUAACGAGAUAGGGCACAAUUGGCCUAGAGUUUCAUCUCGUAAGUAUCGUAUCACGGGAUAGGCUUCUAUGCCUAGUUUAUUGUUUUUCAUCUCGACGAUUCUAGGUAUAGCAACUGAAAGGGAAAGUUUGAGAUAAGUUGUUUGAGUUUGAUUUCAUUUAUGUUAAGAGUUAAUUGUUAAAUACUUAUUGUUUCAAAAUGAUGUUUUAUAAAACCAUCACUCAUUGGGCUAUUUGGCUCACUCUUUGGAUAAAUAUGCCCAUAUGGAUUAUGUUGUUUGGAAAAUUAAACUGUGCUUUAGUACUUCAAAGAAAACUUCCCUCCCAUGUCCUCUCACCUCAUGUCUGCCCCAUUUGUGUUGAUAACAUGAAAAAUAUUUAGCACUUUUUAUUGCCUAUCUUUGUAUCGAAAUAUUGGUUCCGUCUUCUCCAAACAUUCAAUAUUUGUUGGGAUUUUUUUCUCAAUCAAGGCUUAUUCUUCUUUGUUCUCGACCUGCUACCUAUGAUAUAUGAUUUUGUUUUGGACAUAUUAUUUUAUCAUUUUGUUUGGUUUUAUAUUUGUGGCUUUUGUUUUGUUUUAUUUUUAUUUUUUUUUUUUUGAAAAGGAGACAACCUCUUUAUUAAUAUUAAAAUAUUAAUAAUAAUUAGACAAAAGCUCAUAGUACAAGAGAGUUAUACAAUGAACAUGUAACCAUGGAUCAGGGGGUGCACCUUGGCAUCUCAACUAGGUUGACACCCCCAUAGCACCCUCAUCAUAUCCAACCAAGCUAAAACCCAUAACAAAGAGAGUAAUGUCCAAAGGCAAAACAAACACAAAAAAGCCUUCUAUUUGUGGCUUUUGGUUUUGAUCUUGUGUUGUCGCUUUUUGGAUGUGAUGAGGGCGCUAAGGGGUGUCAACCUAGUUGAGAUGUCCAGGUGCGUCUGUUGAUCCUCCAUCAUAUUGCUCUUUGUAUAAUCCUCAUGGCAUUGAGCUUUGUCUCUUCAUUUUUCAAUAUUAAUAAUAGUGAGACUCAUAUCCUCUUUUUUUUUUAAAAAAAAAAUAUGGGUUAAUUUGAUAAAAGUGUUGCUAGCAGAGAUUUGGUUUGAGCACAACCAACACAUUUUCCAUGAUAAGAAAAAGGAUUUGCGUGGUGAAAAUAGAUCUAUUAGAUCUCUUGGAGCAAUAAAAAAGAAAUCAGAUCUUUAUGUGAAAGUCGAACUUUUUUUAUGGAGCAUUGUGAAGAAAAGACUUUACUUUUGGGCAACAUUGAAGUUGAGGCAUGGUUGUGCGCUUAUUAUCAAAAGUUGUCCCCUAACGAUCAAACUGGUUCACUGUUGCGAAAUGGUGGGUUAGUUUAGGACAUGUCAUUAUUCUCGAACCUUCAGAUAAAUCUCCUUAUCUUAGGGGAUUAAAAGUUGUUCAACACAGGCUUGAAACAGACAUGUAUAGGGCUUCUAUAUUUUCCCAUAAAGAGCCAAUGAUUGAUUAUAUAUUGGUCUGUUUUGCAAAGGGAAAGAUUUCCCUAACACGUAUUGUAAAAAAAUAUGUAGUUGGCUAGUAGUGAAAAGUUAGCAAGGCUAUUCAUGUUUCUCUUGGUGUUCCCUCUCACUCAUCUUGAAGCUUAUUGUGGACAUUUUGUCAACUUACUUUGGGUUUCUUUUGUCUUCUGUUUUAAUUAAUUACUUCGUACUUAUUUUACAUUUUAGUUUUCAUCAGUGCGUCCUGGAUAGAGGAUUUUGUUUAGCUCGUUGUUAUUGUUAAUAAAAUUGAAAUGCCAACAAUUACAAUUCUUGAGAACGGACUCAUCUGUUUCCAAUUCAGAUGCCCAAAAUUUGUUGAAUGGAUCCUAUCUCGUGGAUCGCGACAUCUUGUUGGCAAAAGUAUGCUCCUCCGUAAUCAUUGAGUUCAGGUUUGUGGAUAUAUUUGUGAUAUAAUUGAUGAAUAUGUGCUUAGCUUUUAAGUGGGGGGUGGUGAAUAGCUUACUUAGCUUGCAUGUUUAAGUCUAACUUUGUCAAAAUGACUCAUUUUUAAAUUAAACCUUUGAAGAUGUAUUCGAAACUUACUCUAGUUCUAAAAUUAGGAUUUUUAAAAUUAAAAUGAAUUUGGUUGAGAAGUACAAAUAAUAUAAAGAAAUUAAAACAUUAAAAGAAAAAGACUAAUUGCAUCAAAUGACAAAAAAAAAAAACAUUUAGAAAAAAUAGUUCAUGACACCUAUUUUUUGCAUAUUACGAAUAUGACAAAAUUAGUGAUAUUAGAUGACUAUCGGACAAUAAUCAUAGGGUUAUCAACUUUUAAAUUUACUACUUUUAAAAUUUAGAAAAUGUAGUGACAUGAGUCAUGUGAUUAUAAAUGUUUUUGUUAUUUUUGCAGGUUCCAAAGAAAAAGGAAAAAUGUAAGAUGUGAUUGAUAAUAUGUGAAAAAAGGAAAAAAAUUGAAGAAAUAAACUAAAAGUAGAAGGGAUUAAAAAAAAGAGAAAGGUUGAUUCCCUCACCUCAAAAAAAAAAAAAAAAAAAAAAAAAAAAAAAAAAAAAAAGAGAGAGAUAGAGUAUAGACUCUGCUAAAAGAAUAUAUAACUUGAUAUAUCUAAUUUGUUUAAAAACGACCCCGCUUGUAAUUUUUCUUUUCAAAAAUCACACGACAUCUUUUUGGAAAGAUUUUUUAGAGAAGCAUGCCAAUACCUUCAUCCUAAGUAUGUAGAUGUAUUUAUGAAUAAUUUUUAAAAGUUGAAAACAAUUGUUUUUAACUUUUCAAAGUUUAAGGUUAUUUUUUUACACAAACUACAAAAUUCAAAAGAUUUUUUUUAAUUUAACUAAAUACUGUUGUAUGUGUAUAUAUAUAUAUAUAUAUAUAUUAGUUAUCUUUUUUAGUCCUAUAUUGUAAAAAAAUAUGAUUGUUUGUUGAAAAAAAAAUGACAAAACAAUGGACCAAUGGACAGCUAAUAAGUCGGUGAACCGAAUACACAAAAUUCUCUAAAUCCAAUUAAGCAAGAUUUCAAAAAAAAAAUCUAAUAAAAACCCUACAUGUACAGUCUCUCUCAUUUAAAUUUCUUUCUCCUCUUCUCUAACGGCCAAGUCUCCCUCUCCUCCCUCUCCUCCCCCUUCUCUCUUGCUCUCUUGUCUUCUUUGGCCUAUCUCUCAAUUUCCGUUUCUGUAAGGAAGAAACCCUAUCAUACCCAUUUCGCGGAUCCAUCUCCAUCUUCGUCGGAUCCAUCUCCAUCUUCUUCUCUUAGUCGGAUCCAAUCUCCAUCUUCUUCUCUUAGUGCGUCCUUUCCAUUUCUUCGUACACUCCAUUUUUCCUUUCUCUUCUCAAAACCCUAAGGCCUAUCUCUCAAUUUCCGUUUCUUUAAGGAAGAAACCCUAUCAUACCCAUUUCACCGAUCCAUCUCCAUCUUCUUCUCUUAGCGCGUCCUUUCCAUUUCUUCUUCUUCUUCUUUGUUCGUACACUCCAUUUUCCCUUUCUCUUCUCAAACCCUAAUUCUCUUUAAUUAAUUAAUUCCCUCUCCUUUCUCUCUCACUUCCUCCCUCUUCCAUUAAUGGCAGGUUCUCCUCAUCUUCCUCCUUUCUCCAGUGUUGAUUCCUCCUCUACUUCGACUGUGAUGCUCUUUUCUUCUUCCCUCGCAAUUUCGAUUCCACCAUCGUCACCGAUUUUGGUUGCAAUUUCUACUCUCUUCAACCUCAACCUUCUGGAUUCCCUCACUCUCACCGGAUUGACUUCAAUGUCCUUGGAACCUCCACUACUACUACUAGUACUCCACUCAUCAAAGAAUCCGCUGGAUUAUCAGACGCUCCUCUUCCUUUCCUUUCUAAUCCUUGUCUCUCUUCCAACUCCAGUGGUGAGCCCCCGAACAAAUCGCAUUACUCCGUGAGUUCCCAAUUAAUUCCAUCUUUAUUUAAUAUUCAAUUCCUCUUUCCAUUUGUUUCAAUUAUUGAAUAGAAAGUUAAUUGAAUGAACUAUGUUCCAAUAAUUUCAUGUGGUUCUGGUAAAGCACAGUGCAUCCGGUCGAACUUCCCCCAUUAUGUAAUUUUAUGGAGGUAGUUUUGUAAAUUGGAUUGAAACAGGGGCUAUUCAAUGUGUAUGCAUUAAAAUAUAGGGAUUGUUUUUCAAUUAAAUAUAAAUCGAUUGAGCCUCUGAUGUGCUAGUAAGCAUCAGAUCUCCUCUGUGUAUAUAUAGUUAGGUACUCUUCUUUUUUUUAUAGGUUCCGUCAUAUAUAUCACGGUCUGAAGUUGUAGCUAAACUUGCUUUCAUCUUCAGUUUCUAUCACUAUUUAAAGGUCAGAUUUUGUUCGAUUAGAAGAAUGUAAAUUUGUCAAGGACAAUAGCAUGCUUAGUUUAAUUGUACUCAAAUAUUGUUACUAAAAAAUUGCUUUAUUUGUGUUGAUACCAUUAUUUGUGUGGUAGAUCUCUUGAUUCAUUUUGAUGUUUGUAUUUUGAAGACAUACAAAGGUCAUAAUACUAGUUGCUAUUCUUUUUAUCUUGGUACGUUUCAUUUUUUUUUAAUAUUUCACUGUCUCUAUAAUUGAUUGUACAAACAUAUCUCAUCAUUCAAUCACUUUUCAAGUUUUAGAUUCUGAAAUUUGUACAUAUUGGGGUUUUCCUUUUUCUUUAUUUUGGAUUAUUUCAAAUCUCCAAAGAUCUUUCUUGUAACAUUUGCAUAUUUUAGUUUGUUAAAAUCUUCGAAAGUAGAGGAGAAGGCUCCAAAAGCAUUCUGUCUCUCAUUGCCUUGCCCUAACAUUAUCAUCUGUGUAAGAUGUGCCAAUGAGUAGACCAUUUUCUUUUUUUUUUUUCCAUAGCUUUUGAACCACUUUCCCUUUCUCUCCUUCUCUUUCAUUCUUCUUUUAUGUUAAUUGGAAGAAGCUUUGAGGCCUCUCUUGAAAAUAAUGAGGUUUUGAAGGGGAUAGAAAGAGAGUGAUGGUGGGAUCCAUCAAAGGUUUGGGAUUUCACACAAUGUUCGCAUCACUCUUUUAAAUGUAAUUAGAGGUUGAGGAGUUGAUCGCGCGAUCAUAGAUAAGGAGGGGCUGGUUAGUGGCUUGGAAAAAAUUCAGACAACAUUAAUUUUUUCUAAAAAAUAAAACCAACCUUCCGACGGUUGGUUAACACUCCUCGACAGUCGAGAUAGGGUAAGACUUGUAUUCUGGUUCUGUUGAUACCUAUAUUUGUGCUUCAUCACUUUAUAAUUGUACUUUUAUUUAUCCCCUUUGUAUAUUUCCAUGUGUUUCAUGUUUGUCUUUUAUGUUUUUCUAUUUAUAUAUUUCUUCAUGUUCUUCUCCAUUCGGGUUUGCUCUUGCGGAGGUUACACAUUCAUUGUUGUGCUGGUACUUUAGUUAAUGAUGUCUAGUAAUUUUUGUUUUGCAAAUUUUCUUGUUAGUGCUCAAGUUUGAUUUCAUACUGCCUUUAGCAUAGCUUUACGACUGCAGAAUUCAAUUGCACAUUGCCCUUUUUUAUUUUGUUAUUACUGAUGGACUUAUUUGUGAUACCUUUAAAGAAGAAAAUUUAUGGCUAUUUGUGUUGAAGUUUAUUUGUUGAUUAUUGGUUGGUUUUUUCCCUCCACUUUUCUUAAUAUUUUGAAGUGUGUAAUAAGGUAAGCAAUUUUUUAGUCCCUAAAUUUGUUUUGUUGAUGAAUUGUUUCCUUUUUUUUCUCGGUUUUGUUUUCAGGUUUUCAUCAUUAUUCAUUUGGUGGCUAAAUAUUACUCAUGGAUAUUUGUUCGAUCUUAUUUUGUUGUGAUCAAUUGAUAUACAUAAUAUGCACUAUAAAUUUGUUAAAUUGUUGGAUUAUUUGCUUUUUUAAUAAGGUUGGAGGAACCUCAAGGUACGUUUUGUUAAAGCAUAUUUUAUAUUGAUAAAUUUGAAGUUGUCAAGUCUAUAACAAUGAUAAUGUUAAUACGAGUAAAUUUAUAGCAAAUUUAGUUGACUUAACUUAUUUACAUGCUGGUUGCUCGGAGUCUUGGAAAAACCUUACGUGCAUUUUAACCCACGAUAGAGAACUUAAGGUUGUUAUGACUUACAUAUCAGUUUUUGAGAUUUUCCUUUAUAACUUUUUCAUAGACCUUAUUGUAGUUUUUGUUCUUCAUUUUUGUUUGUAGGACGUUUCUAGAGAAUGCAAGACCAUGUUUGAGUGAGAAAUUGGUCUCGAUGAAAUUGAGAGUUCAAUGAACAGCACAUACAAUGCAAGUAAAUCUACCUACUCAAACCCAUAUUCUAUUUCUAAAGUAGAAGGGCUUUCGGUGGCUGAACCAAGUGAGUGAUUAAGUUUUUAUCACUCGUAUUAUUUGUUAUCACUAGGGAAAGAAAGUUGAGUAGAAAAAGUAGAAUGCCAAAUGGAAAAAAAAAGAUUAGUAAGCAUCGUUAUUAUUUUAAAAUAGAAAAAAAAAUUAACAUGAUUGUUAAACCGAGCCAUUCUCGAGAACAUGAAAUAGAAUUGGAUAGCUACCAUACAUCGUGUCUAUGAAUGUUAAGAAUGAAACUAUCGGUAGGGUUAUAGAAUAAUCAUUCUAUCAGCCUCAAUUAUGAUACAGGGUUUAUGAAAUAUAAUUUUUUUAUGUACUGUAAUAGUAGAAGAUUCUUCGUUAGGAAGCAAAGCUUAUAGCUUUGAAGAGUAUCUAAAGGUUACAGAAGAGCAACUGAAAGCUUACAAUCAGCUCCAAACCAAUUUUCCAGCACAAAGCCAGAGUGGAUCCCAAGUACAACGGGAAGGUUGUUAAAAUCAAAUCUCUUAUGUCUUAUUUCAUAACUAUUUAGUUUUGAUCUUAACUACAACAAUUUUCAUUUUUUUCUAGGUGAACAUUGUAUGUGCUUAGAUAUUAAGUGUUUUGAAAAUUAGAGGUGAGCAAUCACACUUAGAAACUAAUUGUAGAACCAUAGAAAUGUUACCCCAUUGGUUCUAGCAACGCCUAGUUACCGCAGUUCAUAACAAAGAAAGAAAAGAGGCUCGUAAAUGCAGACCAUAAAAAAGUGAGACAAUCAACAAUUAUAAAAAAAAACAUAUGCAAUAUGCAUUAAAAAAAGCUCAUAAAAAAUAUAGAGUCAAGUCGGUUAGGUCAAGUAGAACCUGUUGAGUUCCUAGCUAUUAGAGCUUUUGGGGGAAAACAUCGCUUUUGGCCUAACCAAAACUAGACCAUCUAUUUUUAGUGUUUUAAACAUAACGUCAAGUUUGAUUGAGGACUUUGAAAAGAGGAGGAAUCCUCCUCGAUCCACAGUAGUAGGAGAAAACGAGGCUUGUUGUCACUCCGAAGGAGAAGUCAAACUUAGAAACUAAGUCUAGAACCAUAGAUAGGUUACCCCACCGGAUCUAGGAAGACCUAGUUACCACAUUGUACGUACCAAAGAAAGAAAAGAGAGACUUGCAAAUGUAAAAUGUAAAACAAUGAGACAAUUAGGAACUAAAAUAUAUAUAUAUAUAUAUGCAAUAUAGAUCAGAAAAAAACGCAUAAAAAAUGAGUAGAAACUUCACUUUUGGAUAGUUAUGUUGUUAUGGUUUCAUCACUCGCAUAUUUGUUGGAAAACUUCCAGUUUGGUUCUUUUACAAGAACAUCUAUUGAAUCGAUUAACCAUUCUAAUUGGGUCUUGGAUAAAUUGAGGAUUAAGUUUACAAGAACAUCUUGUAUAUGUAUUUCUUUAGUGAAUGCAAUAAGUUAUUUUGAUUCUCUCUCAAACCUCUAAGUAUUUUACGUAUCUAAAUCAUAUCCCCUCCCUAGAUUUUUGUGUAAUUUGUGUUACAUAUUGACGACCCAGAUCAGUUUAUUAGACAAGUUUGAUGCUUCAUUUAUUUCCUGGAUUGAUGGCUAAUGAAAAACUUCUGGUACUCUUCUUCAAUCCUCUUUAAGUUGUUUAAGAGACCUUAGCUUCACACAAUUUGUACAUUGAGAUGAUGGUCUAUUAAUUUGUGAAUUAUAUACAUAGCAUAACAAAUAUUAUUUCUUUCAGCAAUGGGAUAAUUGUUAUGCUUUAUAGAUAUAUAUAUUUUUUAAAGUUCAUUGUAUUUUCUUCUUCCAACUACAGGUUGACAUGAUUGUCUUGACAGAUGGAAGUCGUAUUCUUGGCCGGUGACCUUGGAGUUCAGGGAAUAGGAAUAUCUACAGGAAAGCUGGAUAUGUAUGUUGCUGUUGCUGGCAUAAACCCUCAAAGAGUAUGUUUUUCUUAGACAAGCUCAACGCCCCCCUUCAUCCAAUGGUUGUUUAUCCAACUUGAUUUCAAUCAGUUGUGGCUAUUUUUUAAUUGUUUAUAGGAUGUCUGCAUUCAGAUUGUUUUAUCUUCUCAUGUUGGGCUACUUCCAAGAAAUUUUUUAAGCGAAGGGUGGAUAAUAGCUCGCUUGUUUAGUCUAAACUUGGGGGAUUUCAAAUUUUGCCCAAAUUUAAAAUUUUUCAAAAGUUUUUCAUUACAAUAACGAGCAUCAUAACUUCUUAGAUCUUGCAUAAAAGGCAUGACUGUCAACCCUUGAGCAAAGCUCGGGUUUGUGACAUGAGAUUCUGAAUUUUGAGAAUAAGCUUAUGUCCUUUUUGUUUUUGCUAAGUUUCAACUAAUACACUCGUAUUUAUCUUUGUGCUUAUGUGAUAGAUUUGUUAUGCACUGUAGUGAUGUGGGGUGUUUCCUUAUUUUCUGCAUCUUAACUACCUUAUUUCCUGCAUUUAAUACCUUAUUUCCUGCAUCUUAAAUACCUUAUUUUCUGCAUCUUAAAUACCUUAUUUUCUGAAUCUUAGUUGGUACUGAAAUUUGGUUUGUUUCAGUGAAAGAGGCACUAUCAGCAUUGACAUGUACAUGUGAUUUUAGGCAUGAACCAGGAGAGUGAGAGUUUUAGUGUGCCGUGUUUAGAAUUUGCCGAUAUCUUUUUCCCGUUCCAGCAAGUAUUCCUGAUUGUGGGGGUAACUCUCAAGUCUGCAGUCUUUUCUUCAUGAAAUUUGUAGAUUAUCUAAGAAUACUAAUAUCAUUUAAUGUUGACAUUUUUUUAGCAACUUUUCUUAACCCCACUUUUUGAAUUUCAUUAAGUUUACUCUUGUUUAAUUGACAGAUUCUUCCAGUAAUGCUAGAUAUUGGUACUAACAACGAGAAGUUACUUAAUGAUUCUCUUUGUAAGUGAAAGGGAAACCUUCAUGUCGUUUAUCUCCAUAUUUUCCAUGUAAUAUAUUGUGCUUAUAUUGAUCUGUUUCUGUUGUCAAUGGCGAUAUAUUUGGGUUUUUGUUGUUGUUGGUGGUGGUGGUGAAAUAUUUUAUUUAAGUCUCUAGUUAAUAUUUAUGCUUACUUAACAGAAAAUUUGUUGCUUGAGCUUGCUUCAUUUGGUUCUUUUACUUGUUUAAGUCCUCCUCUAACUAAUUAUACAUUUCGUCCUUUUACUUGUUUAAGUCCUCCAAAAAGUAUUCAUUACUUUAAUAAAUUCCCUCACCAGCAUCAUCACCUCUUAUUCAACAAACUGUUUUUUCCCAAAAGCAAAAAAGGAAAAAAAAAAAAGAUAAAGACAAUCAAGAACAACCAUCAACUACAUGAAAAAAAAAAGAAAAGAAAAAGAUAGCUGCGAAAAACAUUACUACCCAUUUUCAUUAUCAUCAUCCUCUACUAUGCUUUUCCACCUUCUUCUAACCCAUUUUUCCAUUGCAGGAUUUAUUGGAGUUGAGGAGUCCCACAAUCUUUAUGUUCUGUUUGUUUUUCCAUCACUUUUUCAAGGCUGUUCAAUUGGAGUUCCAUCUUCAGGUAAUAUUAAUGUGUUUGUUUCUAAGAUAAUUUUGUUAAACACUUGUUUUUGUUGUCCCCAUCCACCAGCUGUUUGAUGAAAUGCCGCAUUGAAUAAUUUUGUGGGUUCUUGGGAAGCUGUGAUAUAUGUGUUGUGGAAUUUGUAUAAUUAGUUAGAGUGAUUUAGGAAAACUUUUGUAUUUGUAGUUGAAUAGAUAAUUCAUUCCAUAUUUAGAGCAUGAUUAAGAGUUAUUUUGAAAUUGUUAAAAUUACUUCAAAAGAUAUUUGGAUAAUUUAAAUGACUUUCUAUUGUAUGUUGAUCACGUUUGAUAGAUCGAAAACUUUUCUUCUUCUUCUUCUUCUCGUUUCUUCCUGCUGCCUAUUGACCUGCAACUUUGAGUGUAGUUGCUUGGCUGUCUAAUUGCCACCACUAAAGUCACUCCUUCGCCUUCUUAUCACUCUUAAUUUCUUGACAACAAAGUCAAACUGCUACAGAACAAUCGAAUUUUCGUUUGAUUAAUUUUCUAUCCACAGAGGCUUUUGUAUGUUGAUCACCCUUGUUUUCUUUGAAAAGUUUAAAAUUCCAUACACGAUAUAUUGGGAAACUUUCACAUUCCUCGGACAUUAAAAGCUCAAGAGCAUUGAUUUUGAGCAAAAUAAAAAUGAAAAUCCCUUUUAAUUUCCAGCAACACCAUAUUUGAAGUUCAUUGUAUUUUCUUCUUCCAACUACAGGUUGACGUGAUUGUCUUGACAGAUGGAAGUCGUAUUCUUGGCCUGGUGACCUUGGAGUUCAGGGAAUAGGAAUACCUAGAUUGGAGGGAGAAGAGUAUCUAUCUAUUGUUGAUGAAUUUAUGGAAGUCGUGCAUACAUGUUGGCCUAAAGCUAUUUUCAGGUUUAUUGGUUAAGAUAUCAAAUUUUUAACUGUGUUCACUGCCAGUAAUCAGUAUCGUAAUCUCGCAAUUUGAUUUUGAAUGAUGCCAGUUUGAGGAUUUUCAAAUGAAAUGGGCUUUUGAAACAUUACAACGUUAUCGUAAGAGGUUCUGCAUGUUCAACGAUGACAUACAAGUGGUAGUUCAUGUUGUAUUCAUGCAGUUGAUAAUUACUUAAAAGGACAUUCAUUUUGUUUAUUUCAUUUCAUAAAGGGAACUGCUGGUGUUGCUCUCGCUGAACUAUUGGAAAUGUGAGAGCUCAAGGGCGGCCAUUGAGUGAUUUUGUUAACCAAAAGAUAGUAGUGGUAGGGGUUGGAAGGCAUUGUCAGCUGUUUAACUUUAACAUUUUCUCCAAAUAGUAAUAUUGCUAACUCUUUAGGGAUCAUAAGCCUUGUCCUCUUUGUUGAAACAAAAGUGGUUGUUUGAAAGAAGAAUUACUAUUACUAUAACUAUUACUUGAUCACUAUUACUAUCACUAUUACUAUCACUAUUACUAUCACUAUUACUAUCACUAUUACUAUUACUAUUACGUGAAUAUAAGAGAAAUGAAAACUUUGGAAACUAUAGUUCAAUCCUUUUGGUUUAACCUUCAUUUGUUUCAACAUGCUGUUUUUUCUCCUCUUUCAACUUCAGUGGGGCUCGGUGUUCUUAACAUGGCUAUUCAGGCUGUUUUGAGAAUGGUAGGGAACAACGAUUCUACUGCAAGAAAUCGAUUUUUUUCUAAUAGACAAAGAUGUAAGAAUCUUUUUCAAACUUUCAUUUCUCAAUUUAUGCAUCAGUCUGUCCAAGUUUUUCCUUCCAUGAGAGUUACUGAUUUCAGAAACCAAUCGGAUGGGGUUUGGAAUUUGGGUAGCUUUAUUAUGGGUUAAUUUGUAUGACGCAGUUUCGUGUGAAAAGUAUGAGGCAGUUGAAGAAGUUAAAUGACUUGUGGUGGUAGUAAUCAGUGUCAAACUCAUGUGGUUUUUAACUUACAAAGAAAGAGGAAAAAUAUCAACUUAGUCCGAUGCAGAUUAGGUUUUAAGUCUUCUAUCUAAUUGUUUGUGUGAUAAAUGCAGUUACUUUAUCAAAAACAAAGAAGAAAAGGAAGGGACCACAAGAUUCUUUAGUAUUUUAAUUUUAUUGCAUUACAUUAUAUUCAAUCUUCAUUUUUCUUGGUUGUGCUGCAAAUGGUGUUUCUUCUAUUAUGGAUUUGCAUUAUACAACAUUGCCAUAUUAAGUCAUAAAGUUAUGAAAAUUAGAAACACACCCUUUGUAGGAGAGAACAUGAUCCUUCCUUUGAAGUAAAUUGAGAGAAUUUCCUCUACUGCCUCAAUUUUAAGGCUUGAGGUUUGAAGAACAAGGAUGAAUAAUCAACGAAAAAGGAAUGAAGAGGUUUCUCGUUUAGGGAAAAUAGCGAUUUUUCGUUUUUCAUACUUCCAAAACGACACAAGUAUGAACUUAUUGUGUAUUAAAUUGAUCGAGAGGCCUUCCAAUUGUUUGUUAAUCUAUAGUUUCUGUCUCUAUUUUAAUUAACUGCUACAUGUAGAAGCCUAACUAACUUAGUUAGAGUUCUAUCAAAAAAAGGAAAGAAAAAAAGGAAGAAGAAAGAUCAUGUGAUAAAUUUAUAGAAAUGCCAUGCAAUUAUUUUCUAACUAUUAAUUUAUGUUUCUGUGGUAAAUUACUGCUACUAGAAAUCUAAUUGUGUUCGGUUAGUUAGACUUCAUGGGUUUGAUUUUUUUUUUUUUUUGUUAAAGAGGUUCCAUAAGUAUACCGAUGGUUUUGAAAUUUUGAUUUGAUGCAUGUCUGAGAAAUUUCAAGGCUAAAUUAUACAGAAUACCCAUAAACUUUGUACUUUAUAUAAAAAUACCAUUGAAAAUACACCAAAACAUAAACUACCAAAAGUGUUAAAAAUACAGUUAAUAUAAUUAUCCUAAUUUUAGUAAUAAAUGAAAUUGAGAGAACUUUCUUUGAUUUUCAGGAACAAGGAUGAAUAAUCAAUGAAAAAGGAAUGAAGAGGUUUAUCCAUGCAAGCUUCAAACCAAAGCCAAGGAUGUCGAUCCUUCCAGGGGAGUCCAAAGUUCUCCCUUAUUUUUCUCCCUUUAUUUUGAUUUUCAAAAGUUUGCAAUUUUUUAAGUGGGGGUGGGCAAUUGCUUGCAUGUUUAGUCUAAACUUGGAGGUUCAAAUUUUGCCCUUCAAAAUUUCUAAAAAAAAUUUCCUUACAAUAAUGAGCACUAUACCUUCUUAGAUUACUUAGAUCUUGCAUAAAAAGCAUGACUAGCAACCCUUGAUCACUGAGCUUGGGUUUGUGAUGUAAAAUUCUGAAUGUUGAUGAGUAUAUGUGCUGAAAUUUGAGAAUAAGCUGCCAGUGUUUUUUGGUUUAAGCCCAUUUUUAGCGAUAUCUUAUGGAGAUGUGAAUGCAUGAUUGAGAAAAUGGUAUGUGUGUUGUGAAUGCUUGAUUGCAUGCAUAUAAUAAAUAAGUGCAUGGAUACUUUUCUAGCUUUGUCUUCCUUUGUUUCUUUGCCAUGACUUACCUAUGAUGCGCUUAGUCCAAACCUAGCCUAGAUAGAGUUAAAAAAGGAUAGGAGGUACUCUUUAGAAAUUGAGAUGGUUUUAACAAAUUUGUCUUGUCAAACAUGAGUUUGGAGCCUCUUCUCUAGCCACAAUGAACUAAAUCCCUUUAGAAAGGGUGGGCAUUAACAAAUCUUGUUGUCACUUCGAAGGGAGCAGUCAAACUUAGAAACUAAGUGUAGAACCAUAGAAAGGUUACCCCAUCGGUUAUUGUGUGCGUACCAAAGAAAGAAAAGAGAGAUUGCAAAUGUAAAACUUAAGACAGCGAGACAAUUAAGAGCUAAAAAAAACAAAGAACAUAUGCAUUAUACAUCAGAAAAAUCCCAUAAAAAAAUGAAGGGAAACUUCACUUUUGGCCUAACCAAAAGCAGACCACCUACUCUUAGCGUUCUAGACAUAGCAUUGAGUUUGAUGAGGGCUUUGAAAAUAGGAGGAAUCCUCCCCGUUCCACACUAGGGGAAAAACGAGACUUGUCACUCCGAAGGGAGCAGUCAAACUUAGCAUUGAGUUCAAGGUAUCCUUCUUAGAUUCUUGAAUCAUGACUACAUUAGGACUACAAUAGUUGAUGAAUUUUUUAAGUGCACGUUUAGAGGGUCGUUCAAACUCCUAGUGCUCCAGGAGACAACCUUCAUAAUGACUGGGAGGAGGAAAAGGCAGUUGCACAUCUAAUUUAAGCCAUAAUGAUUCCACAAUCACCGACUAUAGACACUAAAUCAUUAGGCAAAUCCAGGGGAAUUUUAAUAGGGAGAAUAUCUUCAUCAUUGAACAAGACAUUCAGAUCCAUCCCAUUAAUUUCUUGGACUAAUUUAGGGUCAACUUCAGUGUUGGGGACUGCCAAUUUAACUGAUCUCACAGUAAGUUGAUUAAGUUGGGGAACACGAGACAAGGCAUCUGCUGCUUUGUUUUCUAGUCCCGGUUUAUACACGACAUCAAAAUUGUAGCCAAGAAGCCUAGCAAUCCACCUCUGAUGUCGAGGUUGGAUAACCCUUUGUUCCAAUAAAAGUUUCAAUGAUCGUUGAUCAAUUUUCACUACAAACCUCCUGCCCAAAAGAUAAGGUCUACAACAUUGCACAGCCAAAACUACAGCCAUAAAUUCCCGUUCAUAAACUGGUUUAGCACGACCCCUCAUAGCUAAUGUCAGGCUAAAAUAAGCAAUUGGCCGAUGAUUUUGAAUUAAGACAGCAUCUACCCCGUAUCCAGAAGCAUCGGUCUCUAUUUCAAAUGGUAAGGAAAAAUCUGGCAGUGCUAAGAUUGGGAGAGUCAUCAUAGCCAUCUUUAAAUUCUCAAAAGUUUCAGCAGCACAGUCCAUUCAUAAGCUCCUUUCUUCAAUAAUUGAGUCAAAGGAGCAGCCACACUUCAUAAUUCAUUACAAAUCUUCGAUAAUAUCCUGUCAACCCAAGAAAUCCACGAACUUCACGGACAUUAGUGGGCACGGGCCAUUCUUUGAUAGAUCUAAUUUUCUCGGGAUCACCCUCUACACCCUUGCCCGAAAUUAUAUGGCCAAGAUACUCCACUUUCAUUUUGGCAAACCCACACUUGUGCAUAUUAGCAUAUAAUUUAUUCUCUCGCAGCACCUCUAACACCCAUUCUAAAUGUUGAAGAUUUUCAUCCAAACUUCUGCUGUAAAUUAAAAUAUCAUCAAAAAAGACUAAGACAAACCUGCGUAGGUAAGGUUUAAAGAUACUAUUCAUCAAAGCUUGAAAUGUUGAUGGUGCAUUGGUGAGCCUAAAAGGCAUGACAAGAAACUCAUAAUGCCCCUCGUGAGUUCUAAAAGCUGUUUUCUCCACAUCCUUUUUACACAUUCUAAUUUGAUGAUAUCCCGCCUUGAGAUCAAUCUUCAAAAUAAUUAGCCCCAUUAAGUCAUCAAACAAUUCCUCUACUACUGGAAUAGGAAACUUGUCUGAACGGUCACACUAUUCAACGCACGGUAAUCUACACAAAACCGUCAACUACCAUUUUUUUCACCAACAAGAACGGCAAUAUGGACUAGUACUAGGUUUUUAUGCCAGAUGCCAUCAUUUCAUCAACCAAUCUUUCCGUCUCAUCCUUUUGCUGGUAUGCAUAUCUAUAAGGCCGAACAUUGACUGGAUUAGUCCCCUUUUUAAGAUGUAUAUGAUCUUCAAUGGUACAUUGUGGUGGCAACUCUCCAAGCCAAUCAAAAACAUCUUCAUACUUAGCUAACACGGCUAGAAUAGACUCAUGAAUGGUAGGCACUUCAUCAACCCCAUACAACGCUGCAAAUGCCAUUCCACCUUCCAAAGAUCUACACUCAAUCAGAAAUCCCUAAUCAAGUUAUGUCCUUGUCUUCAUCAUGUGCUUCAAACUCACCCUAGCCUUCGUAAGACUCGAAUCUCCCCUUAAUACAACCUUCUUCCCAUUUUGUAUGAAUGUCAAAGUAAGUUUUCGCCAAUCUACUUCGGUUACUCCUAAUGUACGUAGCCAUUGCAUACCAAGAAUGACUACAUACUCAAGUUCUGUCCUUCGGUUACUACUAAUCAAGUUCUGUCCUUGUCUUCAUCAUGUGCUUCAAACUCACCCUAGCCUUCGUAAGACUCGAAUCUCCCCUUAAUACAACCUUCUUCCCAUUUUGUAUGAAUGUCAAAGUAAGUUUUCGCCAAUCUACUUCGGUUACUCCUAAUGUAUGUAGCCAUUGCAUACCAAGAAUGACUACAUACUCAAGUUCUGUCCUUCGGUUACUCCUAAUCAAGUUUUGUCCUUGUCUUCGUCAUGUGCUUCAAACUCACCCUAGCCUUCGUAAGACUCGAAUCUCCCCUUAAUACAACCUUCUUCCCAUUUUGUAUGAAUGUCAAAGUAAGUUUUCGCCAAUCUACUUCGGUUACUCCUAAUGUAUGUAGCCAUUGCAUACCAAGAAUGACAUCCACUCCCCCCCCCCCCCCCAAAUUCCAAUGGCAGAAAAUUAUCUACAACCUUCCAUUCACCAAUAGCAGUUCCACUUGUUUACAAAUUCCCUUCCCUUUUACAGCAGAUUCAGACCCCAAAAUAACCCCAUAAUGAGAAGUUUCUUCCAAUGACAACAACAAUUGAGUUACUAAAUUUUCAGAUAUAAAAUUAUGGGUCGCGUCGCAAUCUAUCAAUACUACUACUGACCUUUCUCGAAUCAUACCUUUAAUUUUCAUAGUUCCGGGGUUUGUUAAUCUCACAACCAAAUUUAUUGAUAAUUCGAUCACGAGUUCUUCUUGUUUAACAACUUUAGUCUCCUGUAUUUCAGUUUUUGAAUCCUCUUCUUCAACUACUUCUAGUUCUUCCCCAUUUUCCCCAACAACUAAAACUCUAAGUUCCUUAUGAUCUUUCACUUUACACUUAUGUUAUGGCCCACAAAAAAUCUUUCCUCACAACGAAAACAGAGACCUUUCUCAUGUCUAGCCUGAAAUUCAACAUCAGAAAGUCGUUUUAGUGGUCCUUCUCGUCGAUUAGGUUCACCAGCCACUCCUCGAAGUGUAAUCGUCCGCAUUGGAACAAUCCCUCCUGACUUAUUACCAUUAGAAAUCACAGGAAUUUUUGGUUUAAAAGAAGAAACCUGAAGUUUUCCAUCCGCUGCAUGUUUGAAACUUGAUUCUCCCCUUAUCACUUCUCGGUCCUCAAUCUUUUGGGCCAACUUCAUCAUUUGAGCAAGCCCCAUAGGUUCCCAACAUUCCAUAUCUGCCUUAAUCCAUGGUUUCAAACCAUUCAUAUAUGUUUCUUCUAAGACAGCCUUUUGUAGAAUAGGCAAUGGUGCUACUGAUUUAUCAAAUAAAUUUUGAUAUUCUUCCACUGUAGUUUCUUGCUUGAUCUUUAAAAAUCUUCCCAGAAUUGAUCCCUCACGACCCGAUCGAAAUCAGACAAUAAGUCUCUUCUUUAAAUCGUCCCAAUUAACAAACGGUUCACGAUCUUCAUGAGAUCUAUACCAAUCCAAAGCUGCUCCAUCAAAACUAAUAAUGGACACAGUCAUUUUCUCUGACUCACUCCAUUUGUGUAUCUGAAAGUAUCUCUCAGCCCUAAACAACCAAGAAUCAGGAUCAUUUCCCACAAAAACUGGCGUUUCAAUUUUUUAAAAUUUGCUUCGGUCGUGCAGCGUCUUCACCCUCCAACUUGGUAUGUUUUUCCUCAAAUUUUCCUCCCAUCAUCGUUGAAAAUCAACCAUGCUAUCAACUUUACUUGAUGAUCCUUCUAGUACUUUUUCCAUCGUUGUCUUCCCUUUGAUCAUUCCUUCAAUAUAUUUCAACAGUGUUUCUAGUUAAUGUUGUAGCUUCUCAGCUUGUACUCCUAACCUCGCAUACUCUUCGCCAAAGAUGAAUGUUUUCCUUGAUUGUUGGCAGAUCAUUUAAUUCUGCUCGAAUGCCGGAUAUUUCUUGAUCUACCAUUUCCAACUUUUCCUCAAUUUGCUUUUGAGCCAUGAUAUAGAACUUCACAUAUUCGAUUUCUUUGAUGCCAAAAUGAUAGAACACCAAAUAGUGUGUUCUACUAAUUUAUUAAUCAGCCAAACUUUUACAGAAAACAGGUUCUAACACAGUCUCGAAAACAAAGUACAACACAAGAACUAAUACAAGGAUAAACCAUGUUCAACAUAAAACAUCAAAACAGUAAAGUACUUCACGAUAAUGGAUAUAACUUGCUCCAGACUACAGAAACUGAACACUUUCUGCAUUCCCUGCUCUCUAGGAAAUUACAGCCCUCCACUUCCAGAAACAGACUAACCACCCUCUCUUCCCUCCAUUCUUUCCCUUUUAACUCUCUCCAUGUAACUAACUAUGGUCCCCACCAAGGUGGUUUCCACUUCUUUUUCCACUUCUCUCUAUUUCCCUUCUCUUGUUCACGUGCAACUGCUCCCUUUUCCUCCUACUAUAUUGUAAAAUAAUUGGUGGUCUAUCACAUUACUUGUGUGAAUGUGAACCAUUAUUUUGUUUGAAUUUGAAACUGAUCUCUCUCUCUCUCUCUCUGUUUUUUGUUUCUUUGGUUACCAGCUAGUGCUUAUGUGCCUGCCUGGGGGCCUUCAAAUGUUUCAAGUAUGCACUUUUUCUAAUCCAAUUCCUUCAUGUUUUUUUGUUCUUGAAGAGGAGGAAUAGUGUGAAGAAUCAAAUUCAAGUUUGUGGCUGUACAGGAACAACUAUGUGAAAGAGACCACCUAUUCAUGAACUGGAAAGGAGAAUAGAAGAUAAAGAUAGAGAAUUGCAAUCAAUUACAUUAGACAACGAAGCGGUCUGUUGUUUUUUCCUCAUGCUUGAUUUGCUUGCAUAAGAAUGUUUUUAAAUAUUUGUUUUUUUCUUCACGAACCCUUUUAUUCUAUAAUUUCUUCACAGGCUUGGGUCAAGGAUGAUCUUCUGCGUGAAAAAGAAAAAAAUUAGCAACUUACAGGUUACAUUUUUUGUUGAAGUCAUUCAAUUUUUCUCUUCUUUAGCCAUUGAUUUUACUUUUUGCUUACGCUCACAUCCUAACACAUUCUUUAGUAUUUUAAUUUUAUUGCAGUACAUUAUAUACAAUCUUCAUUUUUCUUGGCUCUGCUGUAAAUGGUGUUUAUUUUAUUAUGGAUUUGUAUAUUAUACAACACUGCUAUAUUAAGUCAUAAAGUUAUGAAAAUUAGAAACACACCCUUUGUAGGAGAAAACGUGAACCUUCCUUUGAAGAAAAUUGAGAGAUUUUCCUUUGAAGAACAAGGAUGAAUAAUCAAUGAAAAAGGAAUGAAGAGGCUUAUCCAUGCAAGCUUAAACCAAAGUCAAGGAUGUUGAUCCUUCUAGGGGAGUCCACCGUUCCCCCCCUUAUUUUUCUCCCUUUACUUUGAUUUUCAAAAGCUUUGAGGACGAAGCAAUUUUUUAAGCGAGGGUGGAUAAUAGCUCGCUCGUUUUGUCUAAACUUGGGAUUUCAAAUUUUGCCCAAAUUUCAAAAAUUUCAGAAGUUUUUCAUUACAACAAUGAGCAUUAUAGCUUCUUAAAUCUUGCAUAAAAGGCAUGACUAUCAACCCUUGAGCACUAAGCUCGGGUUUGUGACGUGAGAUUUUGAAUUUUGAUGAGUAUAUGUACUGAAAUUUGAGAAUAAGCUUCUGUCCUUUUAAGCCCUUUCACAACUUGUAUAUAUCUUUCUUUUUUCGUUAGUUGGGGCUUACUUCAGUUUUGUUAGUUGGAUGAAGCAAUUUGGAGUUUCAAAGUUCUUGAAAAGGUUAAAUUUUUUGUUUGAAAUUGGGCUCUCGUACUAUUGAUACAACAGUCAAACAGUAGUAGUUGAGACGUGAAACCUCGUGAUUACCUGCAUUCUAGUGUUUGCAGUCUGUGAAAAAGCAGAGAACUGUUGACAACUCCUUUUUUUUUCUUCACCAGGGUAAUAAGAAGCAUUGGAACUUCCCUAUUAAACGAUAGAGUCUUACUUGCUGUCUCACAUGGUAGUAAAAUAUUGUUUACUUCAUCUCUUUAGCCGUCUGCAUCUUAAAUGCAAAAGCUCACAAUAUAUGGGUGACAUGAGUCAAAGGGAUCUAAGACAAGGAGACCCCCUGUCCCCAUCCUUUUUACCCUCCGUGGUGAUGCUUUCAACAGAUUAGUUUACUUCUAUAUGGAGAAAUAAGCUCUUGAAGGUUGGGAAAUCAGUAGAAAAAAGGUGGCUAUCCUUCAUCUUCAGUAUGCUGAUGACACUUUUUUUUUUUGUCCAGGGGAUGUUCAUUCUUUAAUUUGAAUAUGGCGAAUUUCUUCCUAAUUUGGAUUAAUAUGAAGGAGCAUAAGGUGUUUGAUGGAACUCCAAUUGGUAUUAACGUAGGAAUUUUAUUGAUAGUAGCAAGGGAAUGAAUUCCCAAAUACAAGCUAACACUCAUACCUUCUGCAACCUAUCUUUCAAGGGAACAAAAAGGUACUCUUUACUUGAAUCUCUAACUAACUUUCCCACCUUUCUAUUUCAUCUAUUUAUACUAGUCUCUCCUUCCCUCCUACUAACUAACUCACACGUGCUUCUCACGUAUUAAUUCUUUUUUUUCUCUUCUACUAUAUUGAUAUAAGAUAGGAGGUCCUAGGCUUGCGGUUGAGUUGGGUUGUAAGAUGGAACCUCUCACCCUUAACUCGCUAGGCUUUCCUUUGGGUGGUAAGCAUUGGUUUCUGGCUUUCUGGAUGUGACAAAAUUAGAAGUAAGAUUGCUAAAUGGAAGAAUUUGUUUCUUUCCAAAGGUGGCUGGUAAUCAUUGAUUGCUCCGUUGCUCAAUGGUUGCCUUUGCAUUUCCUUUCCCUCAUCAAAGCUCCUUACAGGAUGAUUAAAAGUAUAGAGAAACUGUUUAGUAUUUCUUCUGGGGUGGUGAAGACUACAACUCAGGGAGUCAUCUUGUUAUAGGAAAGUUCCAGCACUGAUUGAGAAAUGGAAAAUUUAUGGAAUCAGUUACUUGGUUCUCUGUGAAUGAUAUGUUUAAAAUUUUUCAUUCAUAAUCUAUAAUUUUGUACCCCAUAUAUGGUUCUCAGGUUUUAGCAAGUCAUUUGAUUUAACAACAUAUUGGUAAUAACUUUGACUUUUAUUUUGCAGCCUUUUUACUGUAUGCAGCAUCGGUUAUGACAGCUGUGUUUAUUGUGGUUAUAUUGCUCUGUUUUUGUUGUCAAUGGCAUAUAUCUGGGCUUUUUGUUUUUGUUGUGUUGUUUUGGUGGUGAUGGUGGUGAAAUAUUUUAUUUAAGCCUCUAGUUAAUAUUUAUGUUUACUUAACAAAAAUUUGUUGCUUGAGCUUGCUUCAUUUUGUCCUUUUACUUGUUUAAGUCCUCCUCUAGCCUGUCAGUUUAUUAGACAAGCUUGAUGCUUCAUUUAUUUCCUGAUUGAUGGCUAAUGAAAAACUUCUUGUACUCUUCUUCGUCUUCCUCAAAAUCACCGAUUCACGACCAUCUUCUUCUCCUAGCCCUAACAACGCCAGAUUUCUCAACUAUCGAUCGACGUGACAAUCAUGCCUGCCUGCUUGACAAAGCCUUUUUCGGUCUACCAAUAAAGGAAAAAGGAUUGCUGGUGACACGAAAGUUGGCUCGACGCUCCUUUUCCUAUUCCACUGCGCGUCGUGGUCUUUCCCUUGCUGGCUUGGAUGACUACUAUGGACGAUGAUCACAACUACUUCCAGUCUCUACUCGAUAAGUACCCAAGGAUGCCCUGGAGAGCUCCUUAGUGGAUCACAAAUGCUUCCAAAUUCUUUGUUCGUAGACUAAUUUGAAAUCCUUCCAAUUUUAGGGUUCUAAAAGGUAGAAUUUGACCACAAAAUCCAAAAUUUUUCUUUGAUUAUUAAUUUAUUGUAUUCAACUUUUGUCGGUUAUUUACAAUAGCAUUAUAGUUUAAAGAUAUUGAAGUAGCUUUACCUCACCUAUAUAACUACAUUUAAAUCGAAUAUUUGUGGUUUCAUGGAGAUACUUUUAUUUUUUUUACUUAAGGUCUUGUAGUAAUAACUUUACUUUCUUUUAACAUCACAACAUUCCUCUAAACUUGAAUCAUGUGUUAAAUUCUUACUUCAUUCAGGAAAAUAUGGAUCCAUGUUGUCUUUGAUAUCCAUAAGAUACCAAUUAGAUUGUGUUAAUUAUUGUUUAUAAGAAAAUAUUUGUGUGCAGAGUUGCAGUGGGUAAAUCUUAAUGGCUGGCAGAGCAGAAAAUUGGUCCGGGAUAUAUUACUCUCAAGACAAAGUAUUUUUUAUCAGUUUACUUCCCAUGGGGUAUUUGUUCUUCCUAUGCUUUAUCCUUAUCCCAUCUUUCUCCGAUGUAGUCUUCAUAGGAUGAUUUCUGUGGUGUAAAUUUAUUCAUCUAGUUUGUUGAUUUAUGUUGCAUUUAGGGAGAAGGUAAAUUACAUAAGCCGAAGUAGUUAUGGAAACAUCUCCAAUUUACAGCAAGUUAAAGCAAAAAAAAAAAAAAAAAAAAAAAGAGAAAAAUAGCAGUUAAAAACAACUGGAUCUGCUUCUUCUUAUUGAAAGUUAUGUCGUUUCUUUCAAGUCAAAUUGACCACAAAAUGCUCAAAUGAGAUUCUUCAAUAGGAAUAUGUAAAAAAAUAUAAUAUGUAAAAUAAUUUUUUAUAUUGAAUUGCAGAUGGCUGAGGGCCUUCGUGAAACGUGGGAGAGAAGCGAUAACAUUAUCCUUCAAAAAAUUCAGGAGUAAAUAUUUAUGUGAAAGGCCAAUUAUUUAGCCAUUGACCUUAUUUAUUAUUAAAUUAUUUGGUUGGAAAUGAUAAACUACACAUUAUUGUUUCCUUCAGUUGUGAUCUUGAUUAUGGGCUAUUUGGUAUUUUGCCUACAAACUGUAUAGUUAAUUAUCUAUUAGCUUUUGUUUUACUGUCAGAACUUUAUGUUUAUGUGGCUAAUAAAGCCAAAAGUUUAUUAUCGAUCUUAUUUUUCACAGCAUAAAUGAAAUUGUGUUUCAAGAACCAGAUGCUGCUACAAUCAUUUAAGGAAAUUCGCGUAGAGGUCCGUAAGUUUUUGCUUUGGAGCUGUGAUACUAACCUGUUUGAAUAAAGGAAUUUGACUUGGUCUUUUCCUCUUUAACAUUAUGAUAGUCUUCUUUUACCAGAUUUCAUAGCUGAAGUUUAUGAAGUAAUCAAACGGUGUUAACUUCUUUACAAAGGUUAGUGCUAACUCUAAGCUUAUUUCUAAGGUGAAAGAUGCUUUUAUACCCUCCCCAAAGAAUAUCAUUACUAUUUAUGUUGUAUUUCUGAUAACUAAUUCUGCAUAGCAUCUUCGGUUUGAUAAUUAAAGUGAAGUUUCUGACAUGGAGGUUUUCAAGUUGUAAUAUAUGUUUAUGUUUUAGGUAGAUUCCCAAACUUUGAAGAAACAUGCAAUACUGAGGUAAUGGAACGUUGUAAGGCAGAGCAUCGGGCUUAUUAGAGCCAAGGUAUCUUCUUCGAUAACAAGUAAGGAUAGUCCUGAUACUACAUUUCUUUUGUUAUUGAGUUUAGUGUUCCUUUUGUUGGGUGCUUGGUGGUGUGCACCUAUAUUAUUUGUACUUCUGUUAAUUAAUUAUAGUCCUUCUCUCUGUUGAGUAAUUAUUGUCUACCAUCUUGUUAGCAAAGGCUUCCCAUGGAAAUUCAGUUUGUUGUGCUGCAUGUCCACGCUGAUUUUCGUGAUUUUAGUUUUAGAUACAUAAAAGGGUCUUUGCAUCACACAAUGAAUGACUAUUUUUAAUAUGAACCUACAAUACCCAAAUGAAUGCUGGAUAAAUUGGAUACAAGGCAAUAGAGAGUGAGAUGGAGAGUGUUUGUGUGCUUUAGAGCCAUCUGUCUCUAAAACAUAGUUUCUUCCCCCCCACCCCUAUAAGAAGUAAUUUUAUUGAUGUAUGAAAUUUACAAAAGGUUUGGUGAAACCCACAACAAUCUUUUGAACUUUUUGAGUUAUGAGUUACGAACUUGUAUUGAAUUUGUUAGGUCAUUUUAAUAAUUCAAGUGAUACUUAGAAAAUGCAACCGAGCUAAACAAUUCUACACAUUUUUCUAAAAUUUUAGUUUAACCUCUUUAAUAAAACGAUGAAAUUAUUGUUUCUUUUUGUAGGAAUAAAGGAAAAUGAAAUAUAACCAAACUUGGGAUCUUUGCAAGCAAGCUUCCAUGAAGAAACUAGGUUACAAGGGGAGGUCUUCUGUUCUCCUUUUUUUUUCCAUCCGUAUAAUCUUGCUUAAAAUGCUUGAGGACAAUGCAAAUUUUUAAGUGGGUUAGGUUGUAGCCUUGCACAUUCCAUGUCCUUUGGGAAAUUUUCAUUUUGCAAAUUUCGCCUAAAAUGUCAAAAUUUAGAAACUUUUGCAAUGCUCUAUGCUUAGAAUAAGUACCAUGUCUACUUCGCUUUUAGCAUAAAAAUGCAUGUAUGCCUAACCCAUGAGAAUGGAGCUCGGAUUUGUGAUUGUAUUUGUUAUUUGAAUAUGUUACAUAUGUUGAAAAUGCAUAUAUUGAUAGCUUAGAAAUGAGUAGAACACUUGGUUCAUUUUCUGAAUAUUGAAUUAUGUACAUAAUAAUAUGUGUGGUUGUCUUUUUUAUCUCAAUUUUAAUCCCCUUUUUUGCCAUAUUCUACUGCCUUUUAUAUUAAUUUUAAAUCCCUCUGUGGCCAUAACAUUUGUAUAAGAUUGUUUGAAAGCAAAAUACGAUUGUUAGGUCAAGUAGAAAGCAAAGCCGGCAAGUUCUUAGAGUUCUUCACCCAACAUAACAGUCGAUAAAAACAAAACAAGAACCCUAAACCCUAAACCCUAAACAAAACAUGACUGGCAACCCUUGACCACUAAGCUUAGGUUUGUGAUGUAAAAUUCUGAAUGUGAUGAUUAUAUGUGCUGAAAUUUGAGAAUAAGCUUGCCGUCUUUUUUGGUUUAAGCCCCUUUUUAGCACAUCUUACUGAGAUGUGAAUGCAAUGAUUGAGAAAAUGGUAUGUGUGUUGUGAAUGCUUGAUUGCAUGUAUAUAAUAAAUAAGUAUGGAUACUUUUCUAGCUUUGUCUUCCUUUGUUGCUUUGCCUGACUUACCUAUGAUGCACUUAGUCCAAAUGUCCAAACCUAACCUAGAUAGAGUUAAAAAAGGAUAGGAGGUACUCUUUAGAAAUUGAGAUGAUUUUAAACAAAUUUGUCUUGUCAAACAUGAGUUAGGAGGCUCUUGUUUAGCCACAAUAGACUAAAUCCCUUUAGAAAUGGUGGAUUAACAAAACUUGUUGUCACUUUGAAGGGAGUAGUCAAACUUAAAAACUAAGUGUACAACCAUAGAAAGGUUAGCCCACCGGUAGCAAGACCUAGUUACCACAUUGCAUUCCAAAGAAAAGAAAAGAGAGACUUGCAAACGUAAACAGUGAAACAAUUAGAGAUAAAAAAACAAACAACAUAUGCAAUAUACAUCAGAAAAAAGGCCAUAAAAAUGAGAGGAAACUUUACUUUGCCUAACCAAAACCAAACCACCUACUCUUAGCGUUCUAGACAUAGCACCGAGUUUGAUGAGGGCUUGAAAAGAGGAGGAAUCCCCAUGUUCCACACUAGGGAAAACGAAGCUUUUCUUCUUCUUCUUCUUCUUCUUCUUUGUUUCUUCCUACUGCCUAUCGACCUGCAACUUUGAGUAGUUGCUUGGCUGUCUAAUUGCCACCACUCAAAGUCACUCCCUCGCCUUCUUAUCACUCUAAUUUCCUUGGCAACAAAGUCAAACUGCUAGAGAACAAUCGAAUUUUCGUUUGAUUAAUUUCUAUCCACGGAGGCUUUUGUAUUUGAUCACCCUUGUUUUCUUGAAAAGUUUAAAAUUCCAUACACGAUAUUGGGAAACUUUCACAUUCCUCUGGACAUUAAAAGCUCAAGAGCAUUGAUUUUGAGCAAAAUAAAAAUGAAUCCCUUUUAAUUUCCAGCAACACCAUAUUUGAAGUUCAUUGUAUUUUCUUCCAACUACAGGUUGAUGUGAUUGUCUUGACAGAUGGAAGUCGUAUUCUUGCCUCGGUGACCUUGGAGUUCAGGGAAUAGGAAUACCUAGAUUGGAGGGAGAAGAGUAUCUAUCUAUUGUUGAUGAAUUUAUGGAAGUCGUGCAUACAUGUUGGCCUAAAGCUAUGUUCAGUUUUUGGUUAAGAUAUCAAAUUUAACUGUGUUCACUGCCAGUAAUCAGUAUUGUAUUCUCGCAAUUUGAUUUGAAUAAUGCCAGUUUGAGGAUUUUCAAAUGAAAUGGGCUUUUGAAACAUUACAACGUUAUCGUAAGAGGUUCUGCAUGUUCAACGAUGACAUUACAAGUGGGUAGUUCAUUGUUCAUGUAUUCAUGCAGUUGAUAAUUACUUAAAAGGACAUAUAUUUUCAUUUAUUUCAUUUCAUAAAGGAACUGCUGGUGUGCUCUCGUGGACUAUUGGAAAUGUGAGAGCUCAAGGCGGUCAUUGAGUGAUUUUGUUAACCAAAAGAUAGUACUGUAGGGCUGGAAGUAUUGUCAGCUGUUUAACUUUAACAUUUUCUCCAAAUAGCAAUACUGCUAACUAUUUAGGGAUCAUAAGCCUUGUCCUCUUUGUUGAAACAAAAGUGGUUGUUUCAAAGAGAAUUACUAUUACUAUUACUAUUACUAUUACGUGAAUAUCAGAGAAAUGAAAACUUUGGAAACUAUAGUUCAAUCCUUUUGGUUAACCUUCAUUUGUUUCAACAUGUUGUUUUUUCUCCUUUCAACUCAGUGCAGAGCUCGAUGUUCUUAACAUGGCUAUUCAGGUUGUUUUGAGAAUGGCAGGGAACAACGAUUCUACUGCAAGAAAUCGAUUUUUUUUUCUAAUAGACAAAGAUGUAAGAAUCUUUUUCAAACUUUCAUUUCUCAAUUUCUGCAUCAGUCGUCUAAGUUUUUCCUUCCAUAGAGUUACUGAUUUCAGAAACUAAUCGGAUUGGUUUGGAAUUGGAUAUCUUUAUUAUGGGUUAAUUUGUAUGACGCAGUUUCGUGUGAAAAGUAUAGGCAGUUGAAGAAGUUAAAUGACUUGUGGUGGUAGUAAUCAGUGUCAAACUCAUGUGGUUUUUAACUUACAAAGAAAGAGGAAAAAUAUCAGCUUAGUCUAAUGCAGAUUAGUGUUUUAAGUCUUCUACUAAUUGUUUGUGUGAUAAAUGCAGUUACUUUAUCAAAAACAAAGAAGAAAAGGAAGGACCACAAGAUUCUUUUAGUAUUUUAAUUUUAUUGCUACAUUAUAUUCAAUCUUCAUUUUUAUUGUUAUGCUUGCAAAUUGUGUUUCUUCUAUUGUAAAACCCGAACUCUAAGCUAAUUGAUUUUAAUCAGAUUGCUCUAUUUUAUUUUAAUUUUUUUGGAGUGUUAUUUUAUUUCUUUAGGCUUGGACAGAAAUUUAAUUAUUGGGAAGAAAAGAAGUGUAGAUGAAAAGGUAAUAUAAUAAUAAUAAUAUAAUAAUAUUAUUAUUAAUAUUAAUUUAUAAAAAAAGAAGGAAAUUAAAAUUCUCUUCUUCUUCCUCUCUCGUGACCCUUCCCGUCUUCUUCCUUCUUUUUUUUUUUUUUCUUCUUCUCCUACUUCAUCCAAUACCCUAGCCUCCAUAGCCUCCCCCAUCUUUCUUUCUUUUCUUUUCUUUCCUUUCAGAUCUGCAGUCGACCGCCGAUCGUCUCGAUCUUCCAUUGAAGUUGAAGUCGUCGUCGUCGUCGGUUGGUUCAUGCGUCACGUCCCUCUCUUCUCUUCUCGGCUACGUCUACACCGGUCUCCAUUCGUGAAGUCCAGCCGCCCGUAUUUUCGUCACAUUUCGUUCACCGAAACUGAAACCUCGCCACAUUUCUUCUUCUGAAUCUAAACCGCCGCGCCCAUCCGCCUGUAACGCCGUGUCUCUCCUGCCAGAUCUGCAACGCCGGUCCCCAUCGGUAGCCCCGUCCCAACGCGUGUCCCACCCGUAGCCCCGUCCAUAGUUUUCGACGCUCGUCGUUCAGAUACGAGCCGUGUAGCAUCCAACAGUUGUGCAUCGUGAAGUCCUCUUCGCGCAACUCCCCGUUUUCCCAGUCGCGGUCUGACGUCCAUCUUUAUUGUAGUGCAUAUCUGUUUUGCACGCAUCAAUUUCAUUCGAUUGUCGCUGAUUCUAUUUUAUUGUCAAUCGCAAAGUUAUGUUGUGAUUUCAUUGGUAAGGAGAAAUUGUGGAUUUAGUAGUAUUGUUCUUGGCUAGCGUAAGUUUUAAAAUUGAUUAAUUGAUUUGGGUAUUGCUUGAUUUUAAGGUGAUAUGGAGAGUCGUGCUUGGAUAUCUAUGUUUCGAAGUGAGCUUCAUUGGAAUUGUUGUUUCAUUCUACUUGAAUUUAAUUUAUUGGAUUUAGUACGAUUAAAGAACUUUACCGUAAACUUGAGGUAAGGGACUUUCUACUGGACUCACCUAAAGUUUUCAGUUGUGUUGGACGAUAUCCUUAUAUCGAAACUUAGUAAAGAUGAUGGUUAUGAUAUACACAUUUGGUUGCAGAUUAAAUGUUAGUGUAUUGUGUUUAACUGGAAAUAUAUAUAUAUAUAUAUAAUAUAUAUAUAUAUAUAAUAUACAUAUAUUUAUGAAUGGAUUGAUGUGGAUUGUUGAAUGUACUGUGAAUGACUGAAAAUUAUGCAUAUACAUAAAUUGACGCAGAUUUGAUGUUGAAUAUAUAUGGAGAUUGUCUUGGGAUUAAACAUGCAGGUGUGGAUGUAGAUAGGAUGAUAUGUAGACUGUGCUGUAUAAAAUUUUGGAUGUGAAUUGGUGAAUUUGUUUCAGUUGGGUGUGCUUAUAAUGAACUGUGUUGCGCUGGUAAAAUGAGGGGUGUUGUGACUUUGUGGUUUACUUGACGGAUGUAUUAAAAUUUAUCAACGACCUUCGAACUUAAGUGAUAGGUUGACUGUUAGAAUGUUGAGUGAAAGAACUUGAUAUUUUGAAGUAACUGAAAGAUGUCAUAAAUUAUCGUAAAGAUAGUUAGAAUGGAUGAGGGGAAAAAUUGUUAGUUUUAUUGGGAUGUAUGCCUUGUAGGUGUCCUACGGGAUCACCAAUUUUUAUGCCGACCUUCGGGAGCAUUAGAACUGAUAUGUGUUUCUGCAGAACACUAGACUGAAAUGUACGUCUCUCGGGGCGUUAGACUGAAAUGUGCAUCCUACGGAUCACAAGACUGCGACUGUGCAGGGUGUCCAAUAGAAUGUUAACAAUUUAUUUUUCCCUGACGGGACCAGUAGAGGUCGCUUACUGGGUAUUUUUAUAUUCACCUCUUAUUUUUAAUUUUUCAGGCAAAGGUAAUAAAGGCGGCAAACCGGCGAGGGGCAGGAAGGAAGCGUGAUCGCCACAGGGACACUUUAAAAUUUUGCUUCCGCUUAGUGAUUUAUUGUAUAUAUUUGUAUCGAACGUGAGACUGUUAGAAAUUUUGAGGUUUUAAAGUAUUCAAGAUUUGAAACUUUUUAGUUUUAAAUUUUUACGUGAAUUUUAGUAAUUAAAACUGGGCCCAAACAAACAAAUAAAUUUCGUUCUUUUCGGUUUUAAAUUUUAUUUAAACUCGGUCUUUUGUCAAAAUUAACGAUUUUGACAUAGUUAGAAAAGUCGGGUCGUUACAUCUAUUAUGGAUUUGCAUUAUACAACACUGCCAUAUUAAGUCAUAAAGUUAUGAAAAUUAGUAACACACCCUUUGUAGGAGAGAACAUGAUCCUUCCUUUGAAGUAAAUUGAGAGAAUUUCCUCUACUGCCUCAAUUUUAAGGCUUGAGGUUUGAAGAACAAGGAUGAAUAAUCAACGAAAAAGGAAUGAAGAGGUUCUCGUUUAGGGAAAAUAGCGUUGAGUUUGACGAGGGCUUUGAAAAGAGGAGGAAUCCUCCCCGUUCCGUAGUAGGGGAAAAACGACGCUUGUUGUCACUCCGAAGGGAGAAUUCAAACUUAGAAACUAAGUCCAUACCCCACAAGAAACUUGUCCAAUGAACCUUAACACUACGAGGAUGAAUAGUAUCCCAUGCACUAGCAAUCAAAAAACCACUAUGACGACCAAGAACCCAAUAAAGUUUAUCAAGAAAUUAAAAUUUCAAGAUGAGCAACCCUACUCUGAUACCAAUUGUUGCAACCCUAGAGGGGGGUGAAUAGAGGGGGGUGAAUAGGGUUUAAAUAAACUUUUUGACAAAUAAAAAGUAAAAUCAACUAAUUAGAUAUUUUUAAUUUAAAUAAAGAACUUUGUAAACUUUGUUAAAUAACAAGAUUGAUAAAAAGAUAUGAAUGGAAGUAUGCAAUCAAACUCAACCAAUAAGAAUAUGUAACUAAAAUUAAAUUAAAAAAUAAUUAGAAAAGAGUUAGAGAAGAAGACACCGUAAUUUUAUAGUGGUUCGGUUAAACUCAACCUACAUCCACUUUCCCAAGCACCUCUUGGGAUUUUGAUUGAAAAUCUUCUUUGGACUCUUUCCACGGAUUUGAGCCGAACCGAUUCUUGCUCCUUUUUCGGGUUCAAGAGCAAACCCGAUCCUUUCCACGGGUUAGGAUCCAACCGUUACAAUAUGUUGAAAUUUUUAAAUCACACAAAAGAAAACUCUCUAAAAGAGUGAGUAUACAAUUUGAAGCUCACAAAUUUAAUCCUCACAAUACAAUAAGAAGCUCUCAAGAAUAAGAUGAAAAGAAUAAAAAUUGGAAGCUUUAGAGAGAAUAACAAUGUUGGCUUUUUGCUUGAGGAUUGUAAAGAUUUUAAUGAUCUUGUGUAAAUGUGAAGUAUUUAAAAAGAGAGGAAAGAUAAAUUCAAAAUCAUUUGGGUCAUUAGAUAUAAGUAAAAGAAAAAUGAAUGGUUGAGAUUUAAACUUAAUUAGCCGUUAGACACAAUACAAAUAAUAAUAUAAUAAUAUGUCUUUUCAAAAUAUUUUGUUUAAAAAGAAAUCAAUAAAGCAACUUCACCCUCUUUUAAAAAAACUAGCCGUUAGACACAAGAAAAAAUAAUAAUAUUAAAAUCAUUUUCUUUUAAAUUCAUUUUCUUUAUAAAAGCCAAUAAAACAUAACAAAAAGCCACAUUUGUUACUCCUUCAUUGCUCCAAGUGGCUUUCUCUAAUUGGUUCAAAUUGAAUGCUUGGUCGCCACGUCACCAUCUCGGGUAUUUUUUCGUUAAGCUUCUUUUAGCAAUAUUUUCUUCAUUUGAACUUCGAUUUGGGUGAUUCAAGAGGCGUUAGAAUCAUUUUUCCAAGCUCUACGAUAUGGUCUAUUCAAAUUAAUAAAAUUGUCAAUAAAAAAAAUCAGAUUUGUUAUCAUCAAAACAUAAAUUAAUUGAAUAAUUAAAAUAAAUUAAUUUGAGAUUAAGGGCCAAAAAGCCAACAAUCUCCCCCUUUUUGAUGAUGACAAAUCAUUGAAGAAAAAUAACUUGAAACACACAUGAUCAACAAGUAAUUCUAUUAUCAAGAUGUAUAACCAUAAAGCUCAUGUAUAUAUUUCACCACAAAGAACAUACUUGAAAACAAUUGAUAAGAGAACCUUCUUUGUCCUUAAUUAAUUUUUUUCUCUAAAAAAAUAUGCAUUAUUCAAUAGAAACAAUUAUGCAACAAAUUGAUAAAAACAUAUUUUUCUUAUACUUCUCCCCCUUUGGAAUCAUCAAAAACAAUACCAAUGAAGUUAGCUCUCCCAAAAAAAUGAACACAUACAAAAUGUCUAAUUCUCCCCCUAUCAAUAUGCAUUACGGUAACAAUAUCAAGUAAGAUAUAAAAUCAAGAUGCAUCACAACGAAUAAUUCCAAGCUCAAGCCUAUUUUUACAAAAGCUUUCUUCACUCAAAGGUUUGGUAAAUAUAUCCGCUAAUUGAUUAUUGGAACUUACAAACUCAAGAGUAAUAUGACCAUUUUGUACAUGCUCUCUAAUAAAGUGAUGCCUAAUAUCUAUAUGCUUAGUUCUAGAAUGAUGAAUAGGAUUCUUAGUCAAAUUUAUGGCACUAGUAUUAUCACAAAAUAUAGGCACAUUAUCAAAUUUUAAUCCAAAAUCACAAAGAGUUUGUUUCAUCCAAAGAAUUUGUGCACAACAACUAGCAACCGCAAUAUAUUCCGCUUCGGUAGUGGAUAAGGCAACCGAAUUUUGCUUUUUACUAAACCAAGAUACUAAGGAACUACCAAGAAAUUGACAAGUCCCACUAGUACUUUUACGGUCAAGUAAACUACCGGCAAAGUCCGCAUCGGAAUAUCCUACCAAAUUAAACUCAACAUUUCUAGGAUACCAUAAUCCAACAUCAAUAGUUCCAAGCAAAUAUUUAAGUAUUCUUUAGGAUGAAAUGUGAUUCUUUAGGACAAGAUUGAAAUCUAGCACAAAGACAUACACUAAACAUGAUAUCGGGUCUACUAGCGGUCAAAUAAAGUAAAGAUCCGAUCAUACCUCGAUAAGUCUUUAUAUCCACACACUUACCUUUUUCAUCUUUGUCAAGCUUAGUGGUAGUGCUCAUAGGAGUUUUUGCAACUUUACCUUCAUUUAAUUUGAAUUUCUUGAGCAAAUCCCUUGUGUAUUUUUCUUGACUUAUGAAGAUGCCAUCCUUGAGUUGUUUGAUUUGAAGACCAAGGAAGAAACUAAGUUCUCCCAUCAUACUCAUCUCAAACUCAUUAUGCAUACACUUGGAAAAUUCUUCACACAAAGAUGAAUUAGUAGAACCAAAUAUAAUAUCAUCCACAUAAAUUUGUACUAUAAGCAUGUCAUUAUUUUUAACUUUAAUAAAUAGAGUAUUAUCAAUUUUUCCCAUCUUAAAGUCAUUCUCAAGUAAAAACUUGCUAAGUCUAUCAUACCAAGCUCUUGGAGCUUGUUUUAAGCCAUAAAGAGCCUUUUUCAACUUAUAAACAUGAUUAGGUAAAUCAAAACUUUCAAAGCCCGGAGGUUGUUCUACGUAAACUUCCUCCACAAUAUAACCGUUUAAAAAAGCACUUUUUACAUCCAUUUGAUACAAAAUGAAAUUUUUAUAAGAAGCAAAAGCAAGCAACAUUCUAAUAGCUUCUAAUCUAGCAACCGGUGCAAAAGUCUCUUCAUAAUCUAUACCUUCUUCUUGACAAUAACCUUGAGCUACAAGUCUAGCUUUAUUUCUAAUGAUAUUUCCAUUUUCAUCCAUCUUAUUUCUAAAAACCCAUUUAGUUCCGAUUAUAGAUGCAUUAGAAGGCCUAGGGACUAAUUUCCAAACUUUGUUUCUUUCAAAUUGAUUUAAUUCUUCUUGCAUAGCUAAAAUCCAAAACUCAUCACAUUCGGCAUCUUUAAAACUUCUAGGUUCAAUUUGAGACACAAAAGCAAGAUUACUAAAUAAAUUAAGAGAAGAACGAGUUUUGACACCUUGUUCGGGAUUGCCAAGAAUUAGAUCCUUGGGAUGGGAUAGAGCAUAUCUCCACUCUUUAGGCAAGGAUGAAGAACCCUCUUCUUUCUUUCUAUGAUGUUCACAUCUUGCAUACUUGGAACAAUUUCUUUGCCUUUGUCAUUAACAAGUAAAUCUCCAAAAUCUUUUUCUAAAUCAUCACUACAAAUAGACUCAUUAGAAACAUUAUUCCAAGAUUCAUCAAAUACAACAUGAAUAGAUUCCUCAAUAACUAAAGUUUUCUUAUUGAAAACUCUAUAAGCUUUACUAGUAGAGGAAUAUCCUAGAAAAAUACCAACAUCCGUCUUAGAAUCAAAUUUUCCAAGUUUUUCUUUGUUAUUCAAAAUAAAACAUUUACAACCGAAAACUUUGAAAUACCCAAUAUUUGGAAUUUUUCCAUGCCAAAGUUCAUAAGGAGUUUUAUCUAAAGAGGUCUAACUAAAACUCUAUUUGAAACAUAGCAAGCGGUGUUAACGGCUUCCGCCCAAAAAUAUUUAGGUAAACCAUACUCAUUCAACAUUGAUCUAGCAAAUUCUUGCAAAGUACGAUUUUUCCUUUCAACUACACCAUUUUGUUGAGGAGUUCUUGGAGAGGAAAAAUUAUGGGAAAAACCAUUUUCUUCACAAAAAGCUUUAAAAGCAUCAUUAUCAAAUUCUCCUCCGUGAUCACUCCUAAUUUUGGAAAUAAAAAAUCCUUUUUCAUUUUGUACUCUUUUUGCAAAACUAAUAAAACUUUUCAAAGCAUCAUCCUUAUGUUUUAUCAUCAAAACCCAAGUAAAUCUAGAAAAAUCAUCAACUAUCACAAAAGCAUAAUAAUUUCCUCCAUAGCUAGCAAUUCUAGAAGGGCCAAAUAAGUCCAUGUGUAAUAGUUGUAAGGGUCUAGUAGUAGAGAUCACAUUUUUAGAUUUGAAAGAGGACUUAGUUUGCUUACCCAUUUGACAAGCAUCACAAACUUUGUCUUUUUCAAAUUUAAAACUAGGAAGACCUCUAACCAAACAAUUUUUAGAAAUAUUUGAAAUUAAGUGCAUGCUAGCAUGUCCUAGUCUUCUAUGCCAUAACCAAGAAUCAUUAUGCAAAACCGAAAGACAUUUAUCAAUAAUAGGAUAAUCAUUCAAAUCAAGAGUGUACACAUUUUCAUCCCUAUUUCCAACAAACAAAACUUUUCUAUCACUAACAUUUUCAAUUAUGCAAUUUUUUUAUCAAAUAUUACUCUAAAUCCUUUAUCACACAAUUGACUAAUACUAAGCAAAUCAUGCUUUAAACCAUCAACCAAAUGAACAUUUUCAAUCAAAGUAGAUGAAUCAUUUCCUAUAUUACCCUUACCAAUUAUUUUACCUUUCUUGUUGUCACCAAAGGUUACCAUGCCUCCAUUCUUUUUGGAGAAAGAGAUAAGCUUGGAUCGGUCUCCCGUCAUGUGUCUUGAGCAACCACUAUCCAAGUACCAUUUGUUUUUCUUGGAGGCUUUCAAACAAACCUAAAAACAACUAAUUUCAAGUUUGAUCCUUUGGUACCCAUACUUGUUUGGGUCCUAGAAUGUUAGCAUUUACAUAUUUAGGGAUCCAUUUCAUUUUUUCAUAGACAUUACAAGCACUAGAUCUAGAUAGGUAACAAGAAUAAGCUUUAUGUCCAUACUUGCCACAAGAAAAACAAACAACAUUAUGCAAAGAUUUAUUUUUCAUAACAAAUUUAUGUACUCUACUUUUAUUGGAGAAAUUCUUCCUUGGAGCAAUGUAAAACUUUGCUCUUUGCGAAAAAUUUCUUCUUGAAUAAGUAUUUUGAGCAUACUUCAAUUUAAAGCAUUUAGGUCUAAUGUGACCUUCAACACCACAAUUAUGACAUAUGGGUACAAAACUAGAUUUAACAUGAUUAGACACAUGAUUAGACAUGUUAAACUUAGGCACAAUAGGUGAUGCUUUAACGAAUGUAGUUUUAGAACUUGAAGGAGUAGAUGAUUCAUCAAUAUAGCCUAAACCUCUCUUAUCACCAUAAGAUUUUCCUACUUCAAUAAUUUUGUCCAAUCUUUGAGCACCUAUUGUCAACUUUUUAAUAGUUUCUUUAGCUUUAUCAAGUUCUUGUAAAACACUUAGUUCAUUUUCUUUAAGCACUUUAAUCAAGUUAUCUUUUUCACAACUAUCAUGCUCAAGAAAUCUAACUUUAUCAAGCAAAGCAUCUUUCUCAAUACAAACAUGCUUAUCACUAGAGACAUUCAAUUCUUCAAUUUGCUCAAAAUUUUCAUUCUCUUUAAAGCAAGCAAUUGUAUCAAGUAAAGACUUAUUUUCACUAAUUAAAACAUUGUAUUUCUUCUUAAGCACAACAUACUUAGAACUAAGUUUUUCUAGGUCAUUUUGCAUGCUUUCAAAAUUUUCAAAUAAUUCAUCAAUAGAAAGAGGUUCUAGAGUUACCUUAUCAUCAUGUUCAUCAUCUUUGUCACUAUGAGCCAUGAGACCAAGAUUUGCCAUUUCUUCAACUUCACUUUCACUUUCACUACUAUCAUCCCAUGUAGCCUUCAUUGCCUUCUUCUUGGAUUUCUUAGAUGAUUUGAGGAGAGGACAAUCCGUUCUUAUAUGACCCGAUCUUUUGCAUUCAUAACAAAUCACCUCAUCCUUUUUGCUUUUCUCACCUUUUGACUCUUUUUGGGUUGAUAGGUGUUUCUUGAAAUAUUUCUUUCUUUUUAUGAAAUUUUUGUACUUACGUGAGAAAUAAGCAAUGUCAUCUUCAUCAAGGCCAUCCUCAUCUUCGGGAUCAACUUCCAAGGAGAUAGUCUUUAAUGCAAUGCUCUUCUUCUUUUUGGACUCAUCCUCCAAGUGCUCCUUCAUGAUGAUCUCAUGAGUCAUGAGUGAGCCAAUAAGCUCCUCUAGUGGAAGUUUGGUGAGAUCCUUUGCUUCUUGAAUCGCCGUUACCUUAGCUUCCCAAGUCUUAGGUAGAGACCUUAGAAUUUUUCUAACAUUUUCGGAAGUUGUAUAAACUUUACCAAGACCCUUCAAAGCAUUUAUGAUGUUAGUAAAUCUAGUAAACAUAUCGGUGAUAGUCUCAUUAGCAUCCAUCUUAAACAAUUCAUAAUUAUGAACAAACAUGCUAAUUUUAGACUCUUUAACUUGAUUUGUUCCUUCAUGAGUAAUUUCAAGAGUAUUCCAAAUUUCUUGAGCGGAAGAACACAUGGAUAUUCUAUUAAAUUCAUCUUUACUCAAGGCACAAUACAAACAAUUAAUAGCCUUAGCAUUAAAUGAACACUUUUUCAUUUCAUUUUCAUCAUACUCUUCUUCUAAUUUAGGCGUAUCAACAUUAUCAACAUUUUUCAUGGGUACAUAAGGACCUUUAGCAACAAUUAACCACAAAUUAUAGUCAAUAGAUUGCAAAUAAAUUUUCAUUCUAGCUUUCCAAUAUGCAUAAUUUGAACCAUCAAAAUAAGGAGGUCUAGAAGUAGAUUGACCUUCAACAAUACCAUUUGCCAAUAGGUUUGCCAUAAUGCUCUAACAAUAAAGUUUAUCAAGAAAUUAAAAUUUCAAGAUGAGCAACCUUGCUCUGAUACCAAUUGUUGGAUCGGUAUGGCAACCCUAGAGGGGGUGAAUAGGGUUUAAAUAAACUUUUUGACAAAUAAAAAGUAAAAUCAACUAAUUAGAUAUUUUUAAAUUUAAAUAAAGAACUUUGUAAACUUUGUUAAAUAACAAGAUUGAUAAAAAGAUAUGAAUGGAAGUAUGCAAUCAAACUCAACCAAUAAGAAUAUGUAACUAAAAUUAAAUUAAAAAAUAAUUAGAAAAGAGUUAGAGAAGAAGACACCGUAAUUUUAUAGUGGUUCGGUUAAACUCAACCUACAUCCACUUUCCCAAGCACCUUGGGAUUUUGAUUGAAAAUCUUCUUUGGACUCUUUCCACGGAUUUGAGCCGAACCGAUUCUUGCUCCUUUUUCGGGUUCAAGAGCAAACCCGAUCCUUUCCACGGGUUAGGAUCCAACCGUUACAAUAUGUUGAAGUUUUUAAAUCACACAAAAGAAAACUCUCUAAAAGAGUGAGUAUACAAUUUGAAGCUCACAAAUUUAAUCCUCACAAUACAAUAAGAAGCUCUCAAGAAUAAGAUGAAAAGAAUAAAAAUUGGAAGCUUUAGAGAGAAUAACAAUGUUGGCUUUUUGCUUGAGGAUUGUAAAGAUUUGUGAUCUUGUGUAAAUGUGAAGUAUUUAAAAAGAGAGGAAAGAUAAAUUCAAAAUCAUUUGGGUCAUUAGAUAUAAGUAAAAGAAAAAUGAAUGGUUGAGAUUUAAACUUAAUUAGCCGUUAGACACAAUACAAAUAAUAAUAUAAUAAUAUGUCUUUUCAAAAUAUUUUGUUUAAAAAGAAACCAAUAAAGCAUUGCUGGGUCGUUUGGAAAAUUCAAGUGAUACUUAAACACGUUUUGAAUACAUUUUAGGUUAGAUUGAGUUUGUUGCACUUACACACAUGGUUGUGAGUUACGAACUUACACUUAGGAUUUGCUUGGUCGUUUUGAAACUCAAGUAAUACUAGACACGUUUUGAGCACGUUUUAGGUUUUUGAACUAAGUUUGUUGCACUUACACACUUGGUUGCCAUUUUGGGUCUUGUAGUGCUUUUUUCACAAUAUUUGAACUUUUUUCGUAGGUUAUGAGUUACGAACCUGCACGUAAGCUGUUUUAGGUCGUUUUGAAAGUUGCAGUGAAAGUUAGACACGUUUUGAGCACGUUUUAGGUCGUUUUGAGCAUGUUUUAGGUCGUUUUGAGUAAAUGGUAUGUAUGUUGUGAUUGUUUGAUUGCAUGUAUAAUACCUUAUUGAGAUGUGUAUGCUUGAUUGAGAAGCUGAUAGAACACCAAGUAAUGGUUCUUAUUUGUUCAUUAAGCAACCAAACUAUUACAGAAUACAAUACUCAAACCAGUCUUGAAAACACCGAACAAACAAGUACUAUUACAGACAAUAACCAAGUAUAAAAUAAAACAUUCAAACAUCAAAAGUAGUUUAGGAUAAUGGAAAACACUUUCUAAGAUUAAAGUAACUGAACAACUUCUGUAAUUCUGCUCUCCAGAAAAUACAGCCCCUCCACUUCCAGAAACUGAUUAACCAACCCCCAUCUUUCCUUCCAUCUCUCCCUUUUAACCUCCCCCUGUAACUAACUGUUGUCCCCACUAAGGUGGUUUCCACUUCCUCCAAUUCCAUCACCUGUGCACGUGCAAUUCCACUUGUCUUUCUUCUGCUAUAUUGUAUUGCAAUUGGUGGUCUAUCAUUACUCUCCCUCUCCAAAGACACCUUGUUCUCAAGGUGGGAAAUGAGAAGCUUUUGUGUAAAAUCAUCACAAUUCUCCAUGUAGCCUCAUGAGGUGGUAUUCCUUUCCAACUAACAAGCACUUCCCACUUCUUUGUUGCUGGAUUUUUAGGAUAGCCAAAAUUGUCUGUGGUAGUAACUCUUGAAAUGUAGGAACAUCAUCAAUUCCAUAUAGUUCGGUAAAUGUCAUUCCUCCCUCCAUAGCUCGACAUUUUGUCAAGAAACCUUAAUCAGAUGGUGUCCAUGUCUCCAUCAUGUGUUACAGACUCACUCUAGUCUUUGUCAAACUCGGGUCACCCCUUAUAACAACAUUCUUUUCAUUUUGUAUGAAAGUUAAAGUGAGUUUCCGCCAAUCCACUUCAGUUACCCAACGUGUGCAGCCAUUGCAUUCCAAGGAUGACAUCCUGAUAGAACACUAUGAGUGUUUCUAUUAUAUUGAUAAUUCAAACACAACUUACAACAUAAGCAAACCGUGAACCUCAGAAAUGAGUCACGUUACAUAUAAUUCACAAACAUCAAACAAAGAAAACCUCCUAAUCCAAAAUUCUAAACAACAAAAUACUAAUAAGCAAACCAGAAUAUAGAACACCAAUCUUCUGCUUCCCCGUCUUUCAAGGAGUAUUGCAGACCUUUUCCUUCACUCCAAAAACUCACUUUAACAAAUAGGCAGCCACAUUUUUCAGGUAUAGAAAAUAAAGUAGGUAGUAUGUAGGAAGGCUAACCAAACUGAGUUGCAUAAGGUUUGUCUUCCGCCUCUAGAGAUGUUAUAUCUUUUCCACCUUUCAAGUUUCUUGUGAAUUCGAUCAAUGACUGGUUGCCAAAAAGACUUUUGUCGAGGCCAAAGGGAGACCUAAAUAUAUAAUCAGAAGCUUUUCUACCUUGCACCCUAUCAGAUUUGUUGUUUGAAACAAAUCUUCCUCUCCCACAUUAACGCCGCUAAGGGCUGAUUUUUCCCAGUUUACUUUCUGCCCCAAACACCAUUCGAAUAAUCUAAUGACGUUUUAAAGUUUAAUGAGCAUCUUCACAUCAUACUUACAAAAGAGAAGAGUAUCAUCGACAAAUUGAAGCAAAGGGAGGUGGAUCAAGUCUUUGCCAACAAGGAAACCUUCAAACUGGCUGUUAAUAUGAAGCUUGUUUAUGAUUUCUCCUAAAACCUCACUUACUAGGAGGAAUAAAAAGGGGAGAGGGGGUCCCCUUGGCGGAUACCUCUAGAUGCUGUUAUCCGGCCUCUAGGCUUACCAUUGAUGAAGACUGAAUACUUUGGGUUUUUAGGCAGCCCAUUAUCCAUAUAUCCAUUUGGAACUAAACUUUUUCAAAGAUAAUUUUUUUUCUAAAAAGUUCCAAUUCACCCUAUCAAAGGCUUUUUCCAAGUCAUGUUUUAAAAUCCAUCCUUUUUUCCGUUUUGCCCUAUAAUCUUCACGGCCUUGUUAGCAAUUAAUAUUGGGUCAAGAAUUUGCCUACCUUCAAUAAAGGCGCUUUGAGUGGGGCUUAUAAUUGCAUCCAUAACUUGUUUUAGACGUUCAGAUAAAACCUUUGCAACGACCUUGUAUGCUAACGUAGUAAGGCUGAUUGGACGGAAAUCCUUGACUAGAGUCACAUUCUCUUUUUUCUGCACUAAACAAAUGAAGUUUUCUUGAUGCAAGCAUUUAAUCGUCCAUUUAUGUGGAAAUCAGACAUUAGUGAUUUGAACAUAUCCUUGAAAAUAGACCAUUGGGUGAUUAGGAACUUCACUGUGAAGCCAUCCGGGCCCAGAGCUUUAUUUUGCCAAGUGCCUUUAAUGCCUUAAAGAUCUCCUCCAUUGAAAACUGGGCAACAAGAGCCUCAUUCUGAAUUGAGGAAACACAAGACCAAUUACUGUUAAUAGGGAUGAAUCUGUCCCCGGAAUUCUAGUAUAAAGUGACUCAAAAAAUUCCAGCACCAGCCUUUCAUUGUCGCGGAAUGAAGUCGAGACAACCCCAUCAUCAUCUUUUAAUUCAGUUAUGAGGUUCCUUCUUUUUUCGCAUUUAGAAAGCGGUGGAAGAAGCCGUAUUCUCAUCACCCAAAGAAAGCCAAUUGAGUUUACUCUUCUGAAUAAAAUUUCGCUCUUCAUUUUGAUAAAUACUAAGUAAUUUCGCUUGCAAAGCAGCUCUAGAAUUCAACUCUUAUUUAUUUAAUCCAAUCAACUCAGCCACAGAAUCAUAUUUUUCUAAUUUUGACAUCAAGGAUUUCUCUAUUUUUUUUUUACCUUAGCUUGUGCAGCAAUAUUCCAAGCUUUUACUGCCAAUUUAAUUGAUCUCAACUGCUCAUGAAGAAUGAAACCAGCCCAUCCCUGGAAGUUAGAGUUGCUCACUGUUUCAACAAUAAUCUGAUUAGAAUCACUGGACACCAACCAGCUGUUACAAAACGAAAAGGUGAGGGACCCCAAAGAAAAAACCAGCCUCAAGAAUAAAGGAAAGUGAUCCGAGAAGAUGCGUGCUUUUCGAGAACUCGAGAAUUUUCAAAACAAACAUCCCACAUCUGAUUUAUGAAGAAUCUGUAUAAUAAUGAUCUUCAAGGAGAAUUACCGUCUCUAGACAAGUGAACCUUCCAUUUUGCAAUGGAAUUUCCAUGAGAGAAACCAUGUCAAUAAACAUAUUGAAUAAUGACAUUCCUCUAGUCUUUGCCAAAAGGAAAUCUUUCCCGGCCCAACGAGUGAUAUUAAAAUCCCCACCUAUGCACCAGGCCACGACCGAACAAUCAGCUAAGGAAGACAAUUCGGGCCAAACCAAUUUCCUUUCUCUGCAACCACAAGGGCCAUAGACAUUUGUGAUCCAACAAACUUUUUGCACAAAGUGAGGCAUUUGAUUGACAAAGAGAAGCGUCUUUUAAUGACCUCUGUUACAGAUAUUUUACUGCUGUCCCACAUGGUAAGAAUUCCCCCAGAAGAUCCAACAGAAAGCCACAUAAUUCCAGCAAUAUCCUUAGAACUCCACAAUGAUUUUAUAAAAGCUGAGUUCAAGGUAUCCUUCUUAGAUUCUUGAAUCAUGACUACAAUUGUUGAUGAAUUUUUUUAAGUGCUGCACGUUUAGAGGAGUCGUUCAAACCCUUAUGUUCCAGGAGACAACCUUAAUAAUGACUAGGAGGAGGAAAAGGCAGUUGCACAUCUAAUUUAAGCCAGAAUGAUUCCACAAUCAUCGACUAUAGACACUAAAUCUUUAGGCAAAUCCAAGGGAAUUUUAAUAGGGAGAAUAUCUUCAUCAUUGAACAAGACAUUCAGAUCCAUCCAUUAAUUUCUGGGACUAAUUUAGGGUCAACUUCAGUGUUGGGGACUGCCAAUUUAACUGAUCUCAACAGUAAGUUGAUUAAGUUGGGCAGUAGGAGGGACACGAGACAAGGCAUCUGCUGCUUUGUUUUCUAGUCCCGGUUUAUACACGACAUCAAAAUUGUAGCCAAGAAGCUUAGCAAUCCACCCUUUGUUCAAUAAAAGUUUCAAUGAUCGUUGAUCAGUUUUCAGUACAACCUCCUGCCCAAAAGAUAAGGUCUACACGUUGCACAGCCAAAACUACAACCAUUAAUUUCCGUUCAUAAACUGGUUAGCACGAUCCUCAUAGCUAAUGUCUGGCUAAAAUAAGCAAUUGGCCGAUGAUUUUGAAUUAAGACAGCACCUACCCCGUAUCCAGAAGCAUCGGUCUCUAUUUCAAAUGGUAAGGAAAAAUCUGGCAGUGCUAAGAUUGGGAGAGUCAUUGUAGCCAUCUUUAAAUUCUCAAAAGUUUCAGCAGCUGCAACAGUCCAUUCAUAAGCUCAUUUCUUCAAUAAUUGAGUCAAAGAGCAGCCACACUUCCAUAAUUCAUUACAAAUCUUCGAUAAUAUCCUGUCAACCAAGAAAUCCACGAACUUCACGGACAUUAGGGCACGGCCAUUCUUUGAUAGAUAUAAUUUUCUUGGGAUCAACCUCUACACCCUUGCCCGAAAUUAUAUGGCCAAGAUUACUCCACUUUCACUUUGGCAAACCCACACUUGUGCAUAUUAGCAUAUAAUUUAUUCUCUCGCAGCACCUCUAACACCCAUUUAAAUGUUGAAGAUUUUCAUCCAAACUUCUGCUGUAAAUUAAAUAUCAUAAAAAAGACUAAGAAAACCUGCGUAGGUAAGGUUUAAAGAUACUAUUCAUCAAAGCUUGAAACGUUGAUGGUGCAUUGGUGAGCCCAAAAGGCAUGACAAGAAACUCAUAAUGCCCCUCGUGAGUUCUAAAAGCUGUUUUCUUCACAUCCUUUUUACACAUUCUAAUUUGAUGAUAUCCCUUGAGAUCAAUCUUCGAAAAUAUAUUAGCCCCAUUAAGUUCAUCAAACAAUUCCUCUACUACUGGAAUAGGAAACUUGUCUGGAACGGUCACACUAUUCAACGCACGGUAAUCUACACAAAACCGUCAACUACCAUUUUUUUUUCACCAACAAGACCGGGCUCGAAUAUGGACUAGUACUAGGUUUUUAUGCCAAAUGCCAUCAUUUCAUCAACCAAUCUUUCCAUCUCAUCCUUUUGCUGGUAUGCAUAUCUAUAAGGCCGAACAUUGACUGGAUUAGUCCCCUUCUUAAGAUGUAUAUGAUGUUCAAUGGUACAUUGUGGUGGCAACUCUCCAGGCCAAUCAAAAAAUCUUCAUACUUAGCUAACACGGCUGGAAUAGACUCAUGAAUGGUAGACUUCAUCAACCCCAUACAUCGCUGCAAAUGCCAUUCCACCUUCCAAAGAUCUACACUCAAUCAGAAAUCCCUGAUCAAGUUCUGUCCAUGUCUUCAUCAUGUGCUUCAAACUCACCCUAGCCUUCGUAAGACUCGGAUCUCCCCUUAAUACAACCUUCUUCCCAUUUUGUAUGAAUGUCAAAGUAAGUUUUCACCAAUCUACUUCGGUUACUCCUAAUGUAUGUAGCCAUUGCAUACCAAGAAUGACAUCCACUCCCCCCCAAUUCCAAUGGCAGAAAAUUAUCCACAACCUUCCAUUCACCCAAUAGCAGUUCCACUUGUUUACAAAUUCCCUUCCCUUUUACAGCAGAUUCAGACCCCAAAUAACCCCAUAAUCAGAAGUUUCCUCAACUGAACAACAAUUGAGUUACUAAAUUUUCAGAUAUAAAAUUAUGGUCGCGCCGCAAUCUAUCAUACUACUACUGACCUUUCUCUAAUCAUACCUUUAAUUUUCAUAGUUCCAGGGUUUGUUAAUCCACCACCGAAUUUAUUGAUAAUUCGAUCACGGUUCUUCUGUUUAACAACUUCAGUCUCCUGUAUUUCAGUUUUUUUGAAUCCUCUUCUUCAACUACUUCUAGUUCUUCCCCAUUUGCCCCAACAACUAAAACUCUAAGUUCCUUAUGAUCUUUCACUUUACACUUAUGGCCCACAAAAAAUCAUUCCUCACAACGAGAGACCUUUCUCACGUCUAGCCUGAAAUUCAGCAUCAGAAAGUCGUUUUAGUGGUCCUUCUCGUCGAUUAGGUUCACCAGCCACUCCUCGAAGUGUAAUCAUCCGCAUUGGAACAAUCCCUCCUGACUUAUUAUCAUUAGAAAUCACAGGAAUUUGAGGUUUAAAAGAAGCAGAAACCUGGAAUUUUCCAUCCGCUGCACGUUUGAAACUUGAUUCUCCCCUUAUCACUUCUCGGUUCUCAAUCUUUUGGGCCAACUUCAUCAUUUGAGCAAGCCCCAUAGGUUCCCAACAUUCCAUGUCUGCCUUAAUCCAUGGUUUCAAACCAUUCAUAAAUGUUUCUUCUAAGACAGCCUUUUGUAGAAAAGGCAAUGGUGCUACUGAUUUAUCAAAUAAAUUCAUAUUCUUCCACUGUAAUUUCUUGCUUGAUCUUUAAAAAUCUUCCCAGAAUUGAUCCCUCACGACUCGAUCGAAAUCAAACAAUAAGUCUCUUCUUUAAAUCGUCCCAAUUAACAAACGGUUCACGAUCUUCAUGAGAUCUAUACCAAUCAAAGCUGCUCCAUCAAAACUAAUAAUGGACACAGUCAUUUUCUCUGACUCACUCAGUUUGUGUAUCUGAAAGUAUCUCUCAGCCCUAAACAACCAAGAAUCAGGAUCAUUUCCCACAAAAACUGGCAUUUCAAUUUUUUAAAUUUGCUUCGGUCGCCCGCAGAAUCUUCACCCUCCAACUUGGUAUGUUUUUCCUCAGAUUUUCCCCCAUCAUCGUUGAAUCACUGACAUCAACCAUGCUGUCAACUUUACUUGAUGAUCCUUCUAGUACUUCUUCCAUCGUUGUCUUCCCUUUGAUCAUUCCUUCAAUAUAUUUCAACAGUGUUUCUGGUUGAUGUUGUAGCUUCUCAGCCUGUACUCCUAACCUCUCAAUACUCUUUGCCAAAGAUGACAUGUUUUCCUUGAUUGUUGGCAGAUCAUGUAAUUCUGCUCGAAUGCGGAUAUUUCUUGAUCUACAUUUCCAACUUUUCCUCAAUUCGCUUUUGAGCCAUGAUAUAGAACUUCACAUAUUCGAUUUCUCUGAUGCCAAAAUGAUAGAACACCAAAUAGUGUUUCUACUAAUUUAUUAAUCAGCCAAACUUUUACAGAAAACAGGUUCUAACACAGUCUUGAAAACAAAGUACAACACAAGAACUAAUACAAGGAUAAACCAAGUUCAACAUAAAACAUCAAAACAGUAAAGUACUUCACGAUAAUGGAAAUAACUUGCUCCAGACUACAGAAACUGAACACUUCUGCAUUCCCUGCUCUCAGGAAAUUACAGCCCUCCACUUCCAGAAACCGACUAACCACCCCUCUCUUCCCUCCAUUCUUUCCCUUUUAACUAUCUCCCAUGUAACUAACCUUGGUCCCCACCAAGGUGGUUUCCACUUCUUUUUCCAUUUCUCUCCAUUUCCCUUCUCUUAUUCACGUGCAACUGCUCCCUUUUUCCUCCUACUAUAUUGUAAAAUAAUUGGUGGUCUAUCACAUUACUUAUGUGAAGGUGAACCAUUAUUUUGUUUGAAUUUGAAACUGAUAUCUCUCUCUCUCUCUCUCUCUGCUUUUUGUUUCUUUGGUUACCACCUAGUGCUUAUGUGCCUGCCUGGUGGGCCUUCAAAUGUUUCAAGUAUGCACUUUUUCUAAUGCCAAUUGCUUCAUGUUUUUUUGUUCUUGAAGAGGAGGGAUAGUGUGAAGAAUCAAAUUCAAGUUUGUGGCUGUACAGGAACAACUAUGUGAAAGAGACCACCUAUUCACGAACUGGAAAGGAGAAUAGAAGAUAAAGAUAGAGAAUUGCAAUCAAUUACAUUAGACAACGAAGUAGUCUGUUGUUUUUUUCCUCAUGCUUUAUUUACUUGCAUAAGAAUGUUUUUAAAUGAUUUGUUUUUUUCUUCACUAACCCUUUUAUUCUAUAAUUUCUUCACUGGCUUGGGUCAAGGAUGAUCUUCUGCGGGAAAAAGAAAAAGAAUUAGCAACUUACAGGUUACAUUUUGUUGAAGUCUUUCAAUUUUUCUCUUCUUUAGCCAUUGAUUUUACUUUUUGCUUACGCUCACACCUUAACACAUUCUUUAGUAUUUUAAUUUUAUUGCAGUACAUUAUAUACAAUCUUCAUUUUUCUUGGCUCUACUGUAAAUGGUGUUUAUUUUAUUAUGGAUUUGUAUAUUAUACAACACUGCCAUAUUGAAGUCAUAAAGUUAUGAAAAAGGAAUGAAGAGGCUUAUCCAUGCAAGCUUCAAACCAAAGUCAAGGAUGUUGAUCCUUCUAGGGAGUCCACCGUUCCCCCCCUUAUUUUUCUCCCUUUACUUUGAUUUUCAAAAGCUUUAAGGACGAAGCAAUUUUUUAAGCGGAGGGUGGAUAAUAGCUCGCUUGUUUUGUCUAAACUUGGGGGAUUUCAAAUUUUGCCCAAAUUUCAAAAAAUUUCAGAAGUUUUUCAUUACAACAAUGAGCAUUAUAGCUUCUUAAAUCUUGCAUAAAAGGCAUGACUAUCAACCCUUGAGCACUAAGCUCGGGUUUGUGACGUGAGAUUUUGAAUUUUGAUGAGUAUAUGUACUGAAAUUUGAGAAUAAGCUUUUGUCCUUUUAAGCCCUUUCACAACUUGUACAUAUCCUUUCUUUUUUUCGUUUAGGGCUUACUUUAGUUUUGUUAGUUGGAUGAAGCAAUUUGGAGUUUCAAAGUUCUUGAAAAGGUUAAAUUUUUUGUUUGAAAUUGGGCACUCGGUACUAUUGAUACAACAGUCAAACAGUAGUAGUUGAGACGUGAAACCUCGUGAUUACCUGCAUUCUAGUGUUUGCAGUCUGUGAAAAAGCAGAGAACUGUGACAACUCCUUUUUUUUUCUUCACCAGGGUAAUAAGAAGCAUUGGAACUUCCCUAUUAAUUGAUAGAGUCUUACUUGCUGUCUCCACAUGGUAGUAAAAUAUUGUUUACUUCAUCUCUUUAGCCGUAUGCAUCUUAAAUGCAAAAGCUCACAAUAUAUGGGUGACAUAGUCAAAGGGAUCUAAGACAAGGAGACCCCCUGUCCCCAUUCCUUUUUACCCUCCGUGGUGAUGCUUUCAACAGAUUAGUUUACUUCUAUAUGGAGAAAUAAGCUCUUGAAGGUUGGGAGAUCAGUAGAAAAAAGGUGGCUAUCCUUCAUCUUCAGUAUGCUGAUGACAUUUUGUUUUUUUGUCCAGGGGAUGUUCAUUCUUUAAUUUGAAUAUGGCGAAUUUCUUCCUAAUUUGGAUUAAUAUGAAGGAGCAUAAGGUGUUUGAUGGAACUCCAAUUGGUAUUAACGUAGGAAUUUCAUUGAUAGUAGCAAGGGAAUGAAUUCCCAAAUACAAGCUAACACUCAUACCUUCUGCAACCUAUCUUUCAAGGGACUGAAAGGAACUCUUUACUUGAAUCUCUAACUAACUUUCCCACCUUUCUAUUUCAUCUAUUUAUACUAGUCUCUCCUUCCUCCUACUAACUAACUCACACGUGCUUCUCACGUAUUAAUUCUUUUUCUUUUCUCUUCUACUAUAUUGAUAUAAGAUAGGAGGUCUUAAGCUUGCGGUUGAGUUGGGUUGUAAGAUGGAACCUCUCACCCUUAACUCGCUAGGCUUUCCUUUGGGUGGUAAGCAUUGGUUUCUGGCCUUCUGGCUUUCUGGGAUGUCGACAAAAUUAGAAGUAAGAUUGCUAAAUGGAAGAAUUUGUUUCUUUCCAAAGGUGGCUGGUAAUCAUUGAUUGCUCCGUUGCUCAAUGAGUUGCCUUUGCAUUUCCUUUCCCUCAUCAAAGCUCCUUACAGGAUGAUUAAAAGUAUGGAGAAACUGUUUAGAUAUUUCUUCUGGGGUGGUGAAGACAACUCAGGAGUCAUCUUGUUAUAGGAAAGUUCCAGCACUGAUUGAGAAAUGAAAAUUUAUGGAAUCAGUUACUUGGUUCUCUGUGAAUGAUAUGUUUAAAAUUUUUCAUUCAUAAUCUAUAAUUUGUACCCAUAUAGGUUCUCAGGUUUUAGCAAGUCAUUUGAUUUAACAACAUAUUGGUAAUAACUUUGACUUUUAUUUUGCAGCCUUUUUACUGUAUGCAGCAUCGGUUAUGACAGCUGUGUUUAUUGUGGUUAUAUUGCUGUUUUUGUUGUCAAUGGCGAUAUAUCUGGGCUUUUUGUUUUUGUUGUUGUUGUUUGGUGGUGAUGGUGGUGAAAUAUUUUAUUUAAGCCUCUAGUUAAUAUUUAUGUUUACUUAACAAAAUUUGUUGCUUGAGCUUGCUUCAUUUUGUCCUUUUACUUGUUUAAGUCCUCUCUACCUUGUCAGUUUAUUAGACAAGCUUGAUGCUUCAUUUAUUUCCUGGAUUGAUGGCUAAUGAAAAACUUCUUGUACUCUUCUUUCUUCCUCAAAAUCGCCGAUUCACGACCAUCUUCUUCUCCUAGCCCUAACAGCGCCAGAUUUCUCAACUAUCGAUCGACGUGACAAUCAUGCCUGUCUGCUUGACAAAGCCUUUUUCGGUCUACCAAUAAAGGAAAAAGGAUUGCUGGUGACACGAAAGUUGUGCUCGACGCUCCUUUUCCUAUUCCACUGCGCGUCGUGGUCUUUCCCUUGCUGGCUUGGAUGACUACUAUGGAUGAUGAUCACAAUGGAUCACAAAUACCCAAGGAUGCCCAAGGAUGCCCGAGAGAGCUCCUUAGUGGAUCACAAAUGCUUCCAAAUUCUUUGUUCGUAGACUAAUUUGAAAUCCUUCCAAUUUUAGGGUUCUAAAAGGUAGAAUUUGACCACAAAAUCCAAAAUUUUUCUUUGAUUAUUAAUUUAUUGUAUUCAACUUUCUGUCGGUUAUUUACAAUACAUUAUAGUUUAAAGAUUUGAAGUAGCUUUACCUCACCUAUAUAACUACAUUUAAAUCGAAUAUUUGUGGUUUCAUGGAGAUACUUUUAUUUUUUUUACUUAAGGUCUUGUAGUAAUAACUUUACUUUCUUUUAACAUCACAACAUUCCUCUAAACUUGAAUCAUGUGUUAAAUUCUUACUUCAUUCAGGAAAAUAUGGAUCCAUGUUGUCUUUGAUAUCCAUAAGAUACCAAUUAGAUUGUAUUAAUUAUUGUUUAUAAGAAAAUAUUUGUGUGCAGAGUUUCAGUGGGUAAAUCUUAAUGGCUGGCAGAGCAGAAAAUUGGUCCGGGAUAUAUUACUCUCAAGACAAAGUAUUUUUUAUCAGUUUAUUUCCCAUGGGGUAUUUGUUCUUCCUAUGCUUUAUCCUUAUCCCAUCUUUCUCCGAUGUAGUCUUCAUAGGAUGGAUUUCUGUGGUGUAAAUUUAUUCAUCUAGUUUGUUUGAUUUAUGGUUGCAUUUAGGGAGAAGGUAAAUUACAUAAGCCGAAGUAGUUAUGGAAAACAUCUCCAAUUUACAGCAAGUUAAAGCAAAAAAAAAAAAAAAAAAAAGAGAGAGAAAAUAGCAGUUAAAAACAACUGGGCAUCUUGCUUUUUCUUAUUGAAAGUUAUGUCGUUUAUUUCAAGUCAAAUUGACCACAAAAUGCUCAAAUGAGAUUCUUCAAUAGAAUAUGUAAAAAAAUAUAAUAUGUAAAAGAAUUUUUAUAUUGGAAUUGGCAGAUGGCUGAGGGCCUUCGUGAAACGUGGAGCGAAGCGAUAACAUUAUCCUUCAAAAAAUUCAGGAGUAAAUAUUUAUGUGAAAGGACAUAUUAUUUGCCAUUUGACCUUAUUUAUUAUUGAAUUAUUUGGUUGGAAAUGAUAAACUACACAUUAUUGUUUCUUCAGUUGUGAUCUUGAUUAUGGGCUAUUUGGUAUUUUGCCUACAAACUGUAUAGUUAAUUAUCUGUUAGCUUUUGUUUUCUGUCACAACUUUAUGUUUAUGUGGCUAAUUGUAGCCAAAGUUUUAUUUAUCAUCUUAUUUUUCACAGCAUAAAUGAAACUGUGUUUCAAGAACAGGUGCUGCUACAUCAUUCAAGGAAAUUCGUCGUAGAGGUCCGUAAGUUUUUUCCUUUGGAGUGUGAUACUAACCUGUUUGAAUAAAGGAAUCUGACUUGGUCUUUUCCUCUUUAACAUUAUGGAUUAGGUCUUUCUCUUUACCAGAUUUCGUAGCUGAAGUUUAUGAAGUAAUCAAACGGUGUUAACUUCUUAUAUAAAGGUUAGUGCUAACUGCUAAGCUUAUUUCUAAGAUGAAAGAUGCUUUUAUCCCUCCCCAAAGAAUAUCAUUACUAUUUAUGUUGUUUCUGAUAACUAAUUCUUGCAUAGCAUCUGGUUUGAUAAUUAAAGUAAAGUUUCUGACAUGGAGGUUUUCAAGUUGUAAUAUAUAUUUUAUGUUUUAGGUAGAUUCCCAAACUUUGAAGAAACACUACAGUACUGAGGUAAUUGAAUGUUGUAAGGCAGAGCAUCGGGCUUACCAGAGCCAAGGUAUCUUCUUCGAUAACAAGGUAAGGAUAGUCCGGAUACUACAUUUCUUUUGUUAUUGAAGUUUAGUGUUCCUUUUGUUGGGUGCUUGGUGGUUGUGCACCUAUAUUGAUUUGUACUUCUGUUAAUUAAUUAUAGUCCUUCUCUCUUGUCUGAGUAAUUAUUGUCUACCAUCUUGUUAGCAAAGGCUUCCCAUGGAAAUUCAGUUUGUUGUGCUGCAUGUCCACGAUGAUUUUCGUGAUUUUAGUUUUAGAUACAUAAAAGGGUCUUUACAUCACAACAUGAAUGACUAUUUUUUAAUAUGAACCUACAAUACCCCAAAUGAAUGCUAGAUUAAAUUGGAUACAAGGCAGAUAGAUAGUGAGAUGGAGAGUGUUUGUGUGCUUUAGAGCCAUCUGUCUCUAAAACAUAGUUUCUUCCCCCCCACCCCUAUAAGAAGUAAUUUUAUUGAUGUAUGAAAUUUACAAAAGGUUUGGUGGAACACCCACAACAAUCUUUUUGAACUUUUUGGUAGGUUAUGAGUUACGAACUUGUAUUGAAUAUUUGUUAGGUCGUUUUAAUAAUUCAAGUGAUACUUAGAAAAUGCAACCGAACUUAAACAAUUCUGCACAUUUUUCUAAAAUUUUUAGUUUAACCUCUUUAAUAAAAUUAGAUGGAAAUUCUUGUUUUCUUUUUGUAGGAAUAAAGGAAAAUGAAAUAUAACCAAACUUGGGAUCUUUGCAAGCAAGCUUCCAUGAAGAAACUAGGUUACAAGGGGAGGUCUUCUGUUUUCCUUUUUUUUUAUCCAUCUGUACAAUAUUGCUGAAAAUGCUUUGAGGACAAUGCAAAUUUUUAAGUGGGGGUGAGGUUGUAGCCUUGCACAUUCCAUGUCCUCUGGGAAAUUUUCAUUUUGCAAAUUUCGCUAAACAUGUCAAAAUUUAGAAACUUUUGCAAUGCUCUAUGCUUAGAAUAAGUACCAUGUCUACUUCGCUUUUUAGCAUAAAAAUGCAUGUAUGCCUAACCCAUGAGAACGGAGCUCGGAUUUGUGAUUGUAUUUGUUAUUUGAAUAUGUUACAUAUGUUGAAAAUGCAUAUAUUGAUAGCUUAGAAAUGAGUAGAACACUUGGUUCAUUUUCUGAAUAUUGUGAAUUAUGUACGUAAUAAUAUGUGCGGUUGUCUUUUUUAUCUCAAUUUUAAUCCCCCUUUUUUGCCAUAUUCUACUGCCUUUUUUAUAUUAAUUUUAAAUCCCUCUUCUGGCCAUACACAUUUGUAUAAGAUUGUUUGAAAGCAAAAUACGAUUGUUAGGUCAAGUAGAAAGCAAAGCCGGCAAGUUCUUAGAGUUCUUCACCCAACAUAACAGUCGAUAAAAACAAAACAAGAACCCUAAACCCUAAACCCUAAACAAAACAUGACUGGCAACCCUUGACCACUAAGCUUAGGUUUGUGAUGUAAAAUUCUGAAUGUUGAUGAUUAUAUGUGCUGAAAUUGAGAAUAAGUUGCCGUCUUUUUUGGUUUAAGCCCCUUUUUAACCACAUCUUAUUGAGAUGUGAAUGCAUGAUUGAGAAAAUGGUAUGUGUGUUGUGAAUGCUUGAUUGCAUGUAUAUAAUAAAUAAGUAUGGAUACUUUUCUAGCUUUGUCUUCCUUUGUUGCUUUGCCGACUUACCUAUGAUGCACUUAGUCCAAACUAACCUAGAUAGAGUUAAAAAAGGAUAGGAGGUACUCUUUAGAAAUUGAGAUGGUUUUAACAAAUUUGUCUUGUCAAACAUGAGUUAGGAGCCUCUUGUCUAGCCACAAUGAACUAAAUCCCUUUAGAAAAUGGUGGGCAUUAACAAAACUUGUUGUCACUUCGAAGGGAGCAGUCAAACUUAGAAACUAAGUGUACAACCAUAGAAAGGUUAGUCCACCGGUUGUAGCAAGACCUAGUUACCACAUUGCAUUCCAAAGAAAGAAAAGAGAGACUUGCAAACGUAAAACAGUGAAACAAUUAAGAGAUAAAAAAACAAACAACAUAUGCAAUAUACAUCAGAAAAAGGCCAUAAAAAAUGAGAGGAAACUUCACUUUUGGCCUAACCAAAACCAAACCACCUACUCUUAGCGUUCUAGACAUAGCACUGAGUUUGAUGAGGGCUUUGAAAAGAGGAGGAAUCCUCCAUGUUCCACACUAGGGAAAACGAAGCUUUUCUUCUUCUUCUUCUUCUUUGUUUCUUCCUGCUGCCUAUUCGACCUGCAACUUUGAGUGUAGUUGCUUGGCUGUCUAAUUGCCACCACUCAAAGUCACUCCCUCGCCUUCUUAUCACUCUUAAUUUCCUUGACAACAAAGUCAAACUGCUACAAAACAAUCGAAUUUUCGUUUGAUUAAUUUUCUAUCCACGGGAGGCUUUUGUAUGUUGAUCACCCUUGUUUUCUUUGAAAAGUUUAAAAUUCCAUACACGAUAUAUUGGGAAACUUGAUUUUGAAUAAUGCCAGUUUGAGGAUUUUCAAAUGAAAUGGGCUUUUGAAACAUUACAACAUUAUCAUAAGAGGUUCUGCAUGUUCAACGAUGACAUACAAGUGAGUAGUUCAUGUUGUAUUCAUGCAGUUGAUAAUUACUUAAAAGGACAUUCAUUUUCGUUUAUUUCAUUUCAUAAAGGGAACUGCUGGUGUUGCUCUCGCUGGACUAUUGGGAAAUGUGAGAGCUCAAGGGCAGCCAUUGAGUGAUUUUGUUAACCAAAAGAUAGUAGUGGUAGGGGCUGGAAGGUAUUGUCAGCUGUUUAACUUUAACAUUUUCUCCAAAUAGCAAUACUGCUAACUAUUUAGGGAUCGUAAGCCUUGUCCUCUUUGUUGAAACAAAAGUGGUUGUUUGAAAGAGGAAUUACUAUUACUAUUACGUGAAUAUAAGAGAAAUGAAAACUUUGGAAACUAUAGUUCAAUCCUUUUGGUUUAACCUUCAUUUGUUUCAACAUGCUGUUUUUUCUCCUCUUUCAACUUCAGUGUUGGGUCUGUUCUUAACAUGGCUAUUCAGGCUGUUUUGAGAAUGGUAGGGAACAACGAUUCUACUGCAAGAAAUCGAUUUUUUUUCUAAUAGACAAAGAUGUAAGAAUCUUUUUCAAACUUUCAUUUCUCAAUUUAUGCAUCAGUCUGUCCAAGUUUUUCCUUCCAUGAGAGUUACUGAUUUCAGAAACUCGGAUGGGGUUUGGAAUUUGGGUAGCUUUAUUAUGGGUUAAUUUGUAUGACGCAGUUUCGUGUGAAAAGUAUGAGGCAGUUGAAGAAGUUAAAUGACUUGUGGUGGUAGUAAUCAGUGUCAAACUCAUGUGGUUUUUAACUUACAAAGAAAGAGGAAAAAUAUCAACUUAGUCCGAUGCAGAUUAGGGUUUUAAGUCUUCUAUCUAAUUGUUUGUGUGAUAAAUGCAGUUACUUUAUCAAAAACAAAGAAGAAAAGGAAGGGACCACAAGAUUCUUUAGUAUUUUAAUUUUAUUGCAUUACAUUAUAUUCAAUCUUCAUUUUUUUGGUUGUGCUGCAAAUGGUGUUUCUUCUAUUAUGGAUUUGCAUUAUACAACAUUGCCAUAUUAAGUCAUAAAGUUAUGAAAAUUAGAAACACACCCUUUGUAGGAGAGAACAUGAUCCUUCCUUUGAAGUAAAUUGAGAGAAUUUCCUCUACUGCCUCAAUUUUAAGGCUUGAGGUUUGAAGAACAAGGAUGAAUAAUCAACGAAAAAGGAAUGAAGAGGUUUCUCGUUUAGGGAAAAUAGCGAUUUUUCGUUUUUCAUACUUCCAAAACGACACAAGUAUGAACUUAUUGUGUAUUAAAUUGAUCGAGAGGCCUUCCAAUUUUUGUUAAUCUAUAGUUUCUGUCUCUAUUUUAAUUAACUGCUACAUGUAGAAGCCUAACUAACUUAGUUAGAGUUCUAUCAAAAAAAGGAAAGAAAAAAAGGAAGAAGAAAGAUCAUGUGAUAAAUUUAUAGAAAUGCCAUGCAAUUAUUUUCUAACUAUUAAUUUAUGUUUCUGUGGUAAAUUACUGCUACUAGAAAUCUAAUUGUGUUCGGUUAGUUAGACUUCAUGGUUUGAUUUUUUUUUUUUUUUUGUUAAAGAGGUUCCAUAAGUAUACCGAUGGUUUUGAAAUUUUGAUUUGAUGCAUGUCUGAGAAAUUUCAAGGCUAAAUUAUACAGAAUACCCAUAAACUUUGUACUUUAUAUAAAAAUACCAUUGAAAAUACACCAAACAUAAACUACCAAAAGUGUUAAAAAUACAGUUAAUAUAAUUAUCUAAUUUUAGUAAUAAAUGAAAUUGAGAGAACUUUCUUUGAUUUUCAGGAACAAGGAUGAAUAAUCAAUGAAAAAGGAAUGAAGAGGUUUAUCCAUGCAAGCUUCAAACCAAAGCCAAGGAUGUCGAUCCUUCCAGGGGAGUCCAAAGUUCUCCCUUAUUUUUCUCCCUUUAUUUUGAUUUUCAAAAGUUUGCAAUUUUUUAAGUGGGGGUGGGCAAUUGCUUGCAUGUUUAGUCUAAACUUGGAGGUUCAAAUUUUGCCAAAUUUCAAAAUUUCUAAAAAAAAUUUCCUUACAAUAAUGAGCACUAUACCUUCUUAGAUUACUUAGAUCUUGCAUAAAAAGCAUGACUAGCAACCCUUGAUCACUGAGCUUGGGUUUGUGAUGUAAAAUUCUGAAUGUUGAUGAGUAUAUGUGCUGAAAUUUGAGAAUAAGCUGCCAGUGUUUUUUGGUUUAAGCCCAUUUUUAGCGAUAUCUUAUGGAGAUGUGAAUGCAUGAUUGAGAAAAUGGUAUGUGUGUUGUGAAUGCUUGAUUGCAUGCAUAUAAUAAAUAAGUGCAUGGAUACUUUUCUAGCUUUGUCUUCCUUUGUUUCUUUGCCAUGACUUACCUAUGAUGCGCUUAGUCCAAACCUAGCCUAGAUAGAGUUAAAAAAGGAUAGGAGGUACUCUUUAGAAAUUGAGAUGGUUUUAACAAAUUUGUCUUCAAACAUGAGUUUGGAGCCUCUUGUCUAGCACAAUGAACUAAAUCCCUUUAGAAAGGGUGGGCAUUAACAAAUCUUGUUGUCACUUCGAAGGGAGCAGUCAAACUUAGAAACUAAGUGUAGAACCAUAGAAAGGUUACCCACGGUUCUGGUGUUCGCAUACCAAAGAAAGAAAAAGACACUUGCAAAUGUAAAAUUAAAGACAGCGAGACAAUUAAGAGCUAAAAAAACAAACAACAUAUGCAUUAUACAUCAGAAAAAUCCCAUAAAAAAAUGAAGGGAAACUUCACUUUUGGCCUAACCAAAACAGACCACCUACUCUUAGCGUUCUAGACAUAGCAUUGAGUUUGAUGAGGGCUUUGAAAAGAGGAGGAAUCCUCCCCGUUCCACACUAGGGGAAAAACGAGACUUGUUGUCACUCCGAAGGGAGCAGUCAAACUUAACAUUGAGUUUGACGAGGGCUUUGAAAAGAGGAGGAAUCCUCCCCGUUCCGUAGUAGGGGGAAAACGACGCUUGUUGUCACUCAGAAGGGAGAAUUCAAACUUAGAAACUAAGUCCCCACCCCACAAGAAACUUGUCCAAUGAACCUUAACACUACGAGGAUGAAUAGUAUCCCAUGCACUAGCAAUCAAAAAACCACUAUGACGACCAAGAACCCAAACCCACCUAUCACCAACAUUAGGACACGAACUUACAACUUGAACCCUAUCCCAUAAAGUAAUCAAAUACAAAGACACCCUCGACAACUCAUUCCCUUUCGAACCAAUAAACUUAGAGAGCCUAGCCUCCUAUCUACUCGUUACAUUAUAAAGCGCUCUCUCACCAACUUGUUGAAGGAUAGGACCACCCUGCAACCACGGAUCCAGGCACAGUUUACAAUGCCUACCAUCCCCAACCUCCAUCCGAACAUGCUCUUUUAGACUAGCUUGGCUAAUUCUGAUUUAUUAGAGGAAAGUUGUGUGAAGAUACAAAUUCCAAAUUCAGUUGCCAAAAGGUCAGUACUGCUUGUUGGAUCGAUAUGGCAACCCUAGAGGGGGUGAAUAGGGUUUAAAUAAUCUUUUUGACAAAUAAAAAGUAAAAUCAACCAAUUAGAUAUUUUUUUAAUUUAAAUAAAGAACUUUGUAAACUUUGUUAAAUAACAAGAUUGAUAAAAAGAUAUGAAUUGAAGUAUGCAAUCAAACUCAACCAAUAAGAAUAUGUAUCUAAAAUUGAAUUAAAAAAUAACUAGAAAAGAGUUAGAGAAGAAGACACCGUAAUUUUAUAGUGGUUCGGAUAAACUCAACCUACAUCCACUUUCCCAAGCACCUCUUGAGAUUUUUAUUGAAAAUCUUCUUUGGACUCUUUCCACGGAUUUGAGUCGGACCGAUUCUUGCUCCUUUUUCGGGUUCAAGAGUAAACCCGAUCCUUUCCACGGGUUAGGAUCCAACCGUUACAAUAUGUUGAAGUUUUUAAUUCACACAAAAGAAAACUCUCUAAAAGAGUGAGUAUACAAUUUGAAGCUCACAAAUUUAAUCCUCACAAUACAAUAAGAAGCUCUCAAGAAUAAGGUGAAAAGAAUAAAAAUUGGAAGCUUUAGAGAGAAUAACAAUGUUGGCUUUUUGCUUGAGGAUUGUAAAGAUUUAAUGAUCUUGUCUUUUAAAAUUUGAGAAAAGUGAAGUAUUUAAAAAGAGAGGAAAGAUAAAUUCAAAAUCAUUUUGGAUCAUUAGAUAUAAGUAAAAAAAAAUGAAUAGUUGAGAUUUUUAAUUAGUCGUUAGACACAAUACAAAUAAUAAUAUAAUAAUAUGUCUUUUCAAAAUAUUUUGUUUAAAAAGAAACCAAUAAAGCAACUUCACCAUCUUUUAAAAAAAACUAGCCGUUAGACACAAGGAAAAAUAAUAAUAUUAAGUCAUUUUCUUUUUAAAUUCAUUUUCUUUAUAAAAGCCAAUAAAACAUAACAAAAAGCCACAUUUGUUAUUCCUUCAUUGCUCCAAGUGGCUUUGUCUAAUUGGUUCAAAUUGAAUGCUUGGUCGCCACGUCACCAUCUCGGGUAUUUUUCCGUUAAACUUUUUUUAGCAAUAUUUUCUUCAUUUGAACUUCGAUUUGGGUGAUUCAAGAGGCGUUAGAAUCAUUUUUCCAAGCUCUACGAUAUGGUCUAUUCAAAUCAAUAAAAUUGUCAAUAAAAAAAAAUCAGAUUUGUUAUCAUCAAAACAUAAAUUAAUUGAAUAAUUAAAAUAAAUUAAUUUGAGAUUAAGGGCCAAAAAGCCAACACUGCCUUCCUCCUUAAGUAAUAAAUUUUCUCAAUCCUCCUCCAAACUUUCUGGUUCAUUCUUUAAUUUUGUGCAAGAUACUUCUUGUCUAAAAGAAGUUGAGAACUUAGAAGAUGAAUUCAUGGAAGUUGAAUCAGUCACCAGUGUAAGUAGUGUAGAAUUUGAGGAAGAAAUAAUUCAAUCAGAGACAGAGAAACGAGAGGACAGUGACUGUCUCGGUCCAGAUUUUAUUAAAUUGUUUUCCUCCCCAAAAAAAGAAAUUUUGUGCAGGUCGCAAGUAUCCUUCUCCCUCAAGAGUUGGUUCCUUUCUUGGCAGCAUGUGAAGUUGAAUUGAUAUAAGGCAGAGGUAGCAAAGAUGGAGAUUAUAUCAUGGAACGCUAGAGGAUUCAUGGGCCAUUCGAAACAAUUGGCUAUUAAAAAUCUUUUGAAGAAAGCUAAUCCAGAUAGAGCAUUGAUUCCGGAGACCAAAAGAGAAGAUAUUGCCAAUUGUAUUAUAAAGGCACUAUGUUGUUCAAAAGGAAUUGGUUCAGUCUUUGUUUGAAGCUAGUGGCAGAUUAGGAGUUUUGUUGAUUAUGUGGAUAAAUAUAAGUUGUCAAUUAUUGAAGUUCGGUCAAGAGAAGGAAGGUCAUUACAGUGUGGCUUAUAAGUUGUUUCAACAUUAAUUUAUAAGUUGUUUGGAAAGGUUCUCGCAGAAAGAUUAAAGAAAGUCAGGCCAAGUAUUACUUUGUAAGACCUCCUAUUAUCUAUACCUAUAAAAGGAAGGGUAGAAAGGGAAAUUCCUUAGCAACCAAUGAUGAGAGAAUAAUGGGAGAGGAUCGUGCAGGUGGGGCCCGUCAGGAGGGAUGAGAGAGAAGUAUAAAUAUGUAAUGUUGGGGUAGGGGAGGCUAGGUCUUUUUUUGGUUAUUUUAAGGAGAGUAAAGGUUGUUGUAGCCUGAGGGUAUCCAGCCUAGUAUAAAGGAGCUGGGUAAGUUUUCUAUGUUGUUCUUCCUUUAUUUUUCAGAUCUACUACUGUUGAAUGUGUUUUGGCUUUUACAUAAAUAAAAAUUACAGAGUGCUGCCUUGUUUAGCCAUUUGGUUAGGAUAUUUUGUGUUUUAUUGUUAGAAUCCUAACAGACUGGUAUAGGGAAUUUAUAGAAAUGGUCACUUGAAGAGUUAUUGGAUGAAUUGAAUGGGGCAACAAUUUUCUCGAAGUUGGAUAUGAAAUCAGGGUACCAUCAGAUCAGAAUGAGGGGGAAGAUAUUGAGAAGAUUGCAUUUCGUACCCACGAGGGACAUUACGAAUUCUUGGUAAUGCCUUUAGGCCUCACUAAUGCACUGCCACCUUCCAAUCUUUAAUGAACCAGAUAUUUAAACCCUUCCUAAGACGAUGAGUGUUAGUUUUCUUUGAUGAUAUAUCGUCUAUAGUACCGACAUUGUAGAGCAUGAAAAACAUUUGGGAAUGGUCUUUGCGGUUCUGAGAGACAACCAACUCUUUGCCAACAAAAAGAAAUGUGUCAUAGCACAUUCUCAAAUUCAAUACCUGGGUCAUCAAAUAUCUAAGAAAGGAGUGGAGGCAAUAGUGAUAAAAUCCAAAGUAUGGUAAAUUGGCCUCAACCGAAAGGGGUAACUGAACUCAGAGGAUUCCUAGGCCUGACUGGGUAUUAUCGGAGAUUUGUAAAAGGAUAUGGAGAGAUUGCAGCACCCCUAACCAGGCUGUUACAGAAUAACGCAUUUAAAUGGGAUGAAGAAGCUUCGGUAGCCUUCGAGAGGUUGAAGAGAGCAAUGACUACUAUUCCAGUAUUGGCUCUACCAGAUUGGUCUCUUCCUUUCACCAUCGAAACUGACGCAUCUGGAGUUGGUUUAGGAGCCGUGAUCUCCCAAAAUGGACAUCGAUUGCUUUCUUUAGCCAAACUAUCCCCAAGGCUCAAUUGAAAUCUACUUAUGAAAGGGAGCUUAUGGUUGGUGCUAUCAGUACAAAAAUGGAGACACUAUCUUUUGGGAGAAAAUUCACCAUUUUUCAGACCAGAAGGCCUUGAAAUUUUUGUUGGAACAGAGGGAAGUGCAGCCACAGUUUCAGAAAUGGCUAACAAAAUUGUUAGGGUAUGAUUUUGAAAUUCUCUACAACCGGACUUCAAAAUAAGGUUGUCGAUCCCUUUCGAGGAUGGAACCACUUGUGGAACUGAACACGAUAACGACCACUGAAUUGUUGAUAUGGAAGUUGUCAUUAAAGAGGUAGAAAAGGAUGAUGAACUUCAGAAGAUCAUAACAGAAUCGAAGAGAGAUACCGGGAAACACGCGAAGUACCAAUGGAGUGGGGGGAGAUUGUUUUACAAAGGAAGAGUAGUUCUAUCGAAGACUUCCUCUCUGAUUCCCACCUUGUUACACACUUUCCAUGAUUCCAUCUUGGGCGGUCAUUUCGAUUUUUAAGGACUUAUAAGAGAAUGAGUGGAGAAUUGUACUGCACGGAAUGAAGGAAGAGGUGAAGAAAUAUGUAGAAACAUGUGACACAUACCAAAGGAAUAAAUUUGAGGCCACCAAACCUGCAGGCGUGUUACAGCCCAUUCCAAUUCCUGAUCUAAUUUUGGAAGAUUGGUCUAUGGACUUUAUAGAAGGGUUACCUUUGGCGGAGGGAGUUAAUGUUAUAAUUGAGGUAGUAGACCGAUUGAGUAAAUACUCCUACUUUGUAACCUUGAAACACCCUUUUUUUGCCAAGCAAGUGGCUGGCGUAUUCAUUGACAGGGUUGUCAGAAAACAUGGAAUUCCUAAUCCAUCAUCUCAGAUCGUGACAAGGUUUAAUUUCCUUAGUAACUUUUUGAAGGGAAUUAUUCGAACCAUGGGUACAAACCUCAAGAGGAGCACACCUUCCAUCCCCAAGCAGAUGGGCAAGCUGAAAGAGUGAAUAGGUGUUUGGAAACUUAUCUGAGAUGUUUUUGUAAUGAACAACCUCACAAAUGAGACAAGUUCAUUCCUUGGGCAGAAUUAUGGUAUAACACAACGUUCCACACCUCCACCAAAACAACUACAUUCCAAGCAGUAUAUGGCAGACCUCCUCCUCCUCUGUUAUCCACGGACAUAAGAAGACCCCUAACAACGAAGUCGAAACUCUAUUACAGGAGAGAGACUUGGCACUUAGUGCCUUGAAGGAACACUUGUAUACAGUUCAGAAUAGAAUGAAAAAAAUGGCUGAUCUGAAAAGGAGAGAAUUGAAGUUUAAGGUGGGAGAUAAGGUUUACUUGAAGCUAAGACCCUACAAGCAACGAUCUUUCGCCCGAAAGAAAUGUGAGAAGUUGGCACCCAAAUAUUAUGGACCGUAUACCACAAUAAAAGGGAUUGGAGAAGUAGCAUACCGACUUCAGUUACCACCAGAAGCUCAUAUCCAUAACGUCUUCCACAUCUUCUAACUAAAAUUGAAACUUGGCAAGCGGCAAGAGGUAUAACUUCAACAUUCCAGCCUAACUGAAGACUUUGAAUUGCAAUUGUAUCCAGAAACAGUGCUGGGCAUACGCUGGAAUACAGAUCUGGGAGCUAAUGAAUGACUCGUGAUAUGGAAGGGAUUAGCAGAUAGUGAAGCCACUUGGGAGUCAGUUUAUCAAAUGAAUCAACAAUUUCCCACGUUUCACCUUGAUGACAAGGUGGAUUUAGAACCGAGGGGUAUUGUAAGACCUCCUAUUAUCUAUACCUAAAAAGGAAGGGUAGAAAGGGAAAUUCCUUAGCAACCAAUGAUGAGAGAAUAAUGGGAGAGGAUCGUGCAGGUGGGGCCCCAGGAGGGAUGAGAGAGAGAGGUAUAAAUAUGUAAUGUUGGGGUAGGGGAGGCUAGGUUUUUUUGGUUAUUUCAAGGAGAGUAAAGGCUGCUGUAGCCUGAGGGUAUCCAGCCCUGUAUAAAGGAGCUGGGUAAGUUUUCUAUGUUGUUCUUCCUUUAUUUUUCAUAUCUACUACUGUUGAAUGUGUUUUGGCUUUUACAUAAAUAAAGAAUUACAGAGUGCUGCCUCUGUUUAGCCAUUUGGUUAGGAUAUUUUGUGUUUUAUUGUUAGAAUCCUAAUACUUCUCCAUUACAAUGUGGCUUUCUGGAAGAGUGCCAAAUCUUGGAUCCUAUUUUAAUAGCAAAAGAAACUUGGAGGUAUAUAGUAUCGAAAAAAGAAAAGAUGGAUCAUUAAAUUAGACCUUGAAAAGGCCUUUAACAGAGUGGAUUGGAAAUUUUAGAAAAUGUAAUGCAAAAGAAGAUCUUCGACGUAGGAUAUUGUGUUAUAUUGGCCAGCCUUUACAGCAUCCCCACUUUGAAGUCUUUGAUGAUCAGGACUUUCGGAUCAGCCCUCUGCUUCAAACAGUUUUUGCUCAACCAAUCAAGGCUUAUUCUUCUUUGUUCUCAGCAUGCUGCCUUUGAUUAUGAUUUUGCUUUGGAAAGAUUCUUUUUAUCAUUUUGUUUGUCUUUGUUUUUGUGGCUUUUUGUUUUGAUCUUGUGUUGUCGCUUUUUGGAUGUUUUGAGGGCACUAAGGGGGUGUCAACCUAGUUUGAGAUGCCCGGAUGCGCCUGUUGAUCUUCCCUCUCCCCUUUUGCUCUUUGUAUAAUCCUCAUGUACAUUGAGCUUUGUCUCUUUCUUUAUAUUAAUAAUAGUGAGACUCGUAUCCUUUUUUAAAAAAGAAAGAAAAUUCAAUUAUAUAUCACCAACACUCUCCUCACUUGUGGGCUUGAAAUAUUUGAAAGGCCCAACAACUGGAAAUGGAUUUUAAUUGGGGAGGAAACGACAAUGCGAGGCUUGAACGAGACCUUCUUGGACCACCUGCUCGGAUACCAUAUUGAAAGGGAGACAAACAAACACACAACUUUACGUGGAAACCUGUGUACCAGGAGAAAAACCACUAUAUUUUUCUUCUUAUUAUUUUCUGAUGAAAAAUACAAUAGGUACAAGGGAGAAUAAAUAGAAUAUACAGAGGAAUAAAAAAGGAAAAUAUUUAGGAAUUAAGAAAAAUAUUCCCAUAAACUUUUCAUAAAUAUUCUAAGAUUCUAACAAUAAAAAGUUCUUUUAUUCCAAAUUGUGACUGCUCUAAUGUGCAGUUGUUUUCUGAUUUAGAUGAUUGAGGAGCUUGGUGGUUCUCUCACUGCUGAUGGGAGUACAAGCACUCAUGUCAUUACAGGAAAAGUGCGGAAAACUCUAAAUUUUUGUAUUGCUCUUUCUUAGUCUUGCAACCUUAGACGAACACUCUUCUAUGUGUCCUUUUGGCCUUUGAAUACCGAUAAUCAUCUCAUUUGCACCAAAGUUAGCGAUUCCAUGCACACAAGGCCUUUGCCGUUAUUCUUCCAUUGCCUCGUAGUUGUGCUUAGGCUGGAAAUUGUUGUGAACCUUCUAGAUCUAAAAGGGCAUAGUUUCUUAUUCUACUGCCUGUUUACUUUUAGUUAAACAUCAAAAUCAAUUCUUAUGUUUGAGUUGGAUUGUAUCAUGCUCUUCCUUUUCAGUUGUUUCUAUCGUGAUGGUGGGUAGUGGUUGUUAAGACAACCAUUAGGCUAAUUUGGGUUUCAGGCUUACUUUUCCCAUUUUACGUGUAAAAUGGCUCAAGCUCACUAAUGAAAGAUAUUUGUUGGCUAGCUAGUGUUUUUAUCCUCGAUUUCCUUCUUCCCCUAAUACAUUAUGUUAUGGAAUUUGUUAGAUACCUAGAUUAGUAUAGGGUUGGGGUAUAAGGGUAAUUAGAUAUUUAGGAAGUUACUAGUAGUUAUUGUGUAAGUGUGGUUACUAGUAGUUAUUAUGUAAAUUUGGUAACUAGGGUGGUUACAUCUUAUUAUAAAUGGAGGGAGGGUAAGUGGGGAGAAUUCUAGGGAGUGAUAUAAGGCUUGGGUGAGAGUACUCAAGAGGGAAGGUUCCAAAGCUUUAUACUUGGUUUUAUCUUGUAUUUUCUUAUAGUUACAUUAUAAUAAAUUCAGAUCUUGUUCUUGUUAGGAAGUAUCUGUCUCCAAUAUUAUUUAAAUACAGUAGAAGAAUUAAAAGGGUAAUAUUGUCCCACACGAGAAUAUAGGAGAGAUUAUAGGAGGAGAGAAUAUUGGAGGAGAUCUUUCCCAUUAGUUUGUUAGUAAAGCAAAAUAAAAUGGAGGAAAGAGGAGGGAGAAAGGGGAGAAAAUAUUCCAAAGAAGUAGAGGCUGCCGUCUUUCGGGAGAACUAGAGGUCCAAGUCAAGUUCUUUUUAUUGUUUGUUUUGUAAUUUUCAUGGUUGUGUUUGUUCUUAAUUUUUCUUGUUCUUUGUGUGAUCCUCACUAGAGUGAGCCUUUAGGAAGUAGAUGUGAGUGAUUUUCUAUUCUCUAUAUUGUAAUUCAUUGAGGUAAUUCAAUAAAGUAAGAUACACUUGCCAUAUAUUUACAGUAUCUUAACAAAUUGGUAUCAGAGCAUUUUUACUUGGGAGAACGAUAGAGCAGCACAAAAACGGAUCGAGGAGAAGUUGGAGACCUCUGAUAAGGAAAUCUCGGGGAUACAAGUGGAGUUACACAAGUUGCUGGCAACUGAAGAAAACUUGUUAUCCUUGCAAAAAGCAUCGAAAGACUGGUUAUCUAGUUGGAAAAACAAAACGGUUGCUAAAUGCAUCGAAGGAAGAGCAGAAGGAUAAUUCGACAAUCUCCGGAAGAAUGGAAGGAUCGUCGAGCAAGACCAACGAUUGAGAGUAUCAAUAAAGGUGGAGGUAAGACAUUGAAGGAAAUCAAGGUAGAAGGUAAAACAAACAAGUUUGAAAGGGAUGAAAAUCGAACGAUCAUAGCAAAUUCAAAAAGGUUGAAAUGUCUGUGUUUAGUGCACUGAUCUGGAUUGAGUUUAUUUAGAACAGAUUGGAAUCUUCAGGUCCAUAAAUCGAUGGAUUCCAAGAAGUUUCUGAAUCCAUAGAAGAAUCGAGGAAAACGCGAUUGCAACGGUUAUACAACGAAGGUGAAGAGGAUGGCAAAGAGUGACCAAGAAGAAACUAUAGAGGAAGGUCGACGAGGAUUACCUGUGAGGCUCGAAAUGAAGACUCGAGUGAAGAAAAAUUUGUUGCUCAAAGAAACAGAAAAUGGAUGGUUGCAAUGGAGAAAGAAGAAGUCGGCAGUUACCGGUCUACGGAGGCUCGAGAAGGUGGUCUGGAAUAGGGGUGAAUCACGUGACGAGGAAGAAGUUGCUGCACACGUGAUGGUGCCAAUGACGUGGUAGAAAUUGGUAUGAAAGAGGAUUAGGACAAAAGGUAUGAAGAUAUUAAAUUAAUUUUAAACUUUUCACGACGUUUGGUUUUUUGUGCAUCGUGGAAUGUCUUUUCGCCGACGCAUCCAAUGUGGCUUCGCCGAAAGGUGGUCAACACCGACGAAUCUUUCGCCGACAUUGUUUCUGGCAUCGUAAUUAUUCCAAUUUCUUGUCGUGGCUUUUUUUUUCUUCAGAAUUUCAUAUUUGCCCUUAUUGGUUUAUAACAAUUUUCAAUUCUGAUUUUUCUUUUUCUUGAUUUUUUUCACUUUCUUUUCGAGUUAUUCAUAUUUUUUUUAUAUAUUUUUCAUCUGGAUCUUUCUUUCUCUUAUUUAUCAUCUUCGACAAUAUUCUUUCUCUUCUUCGUCAUCUUCGUCAUCAAGAUUGUUUAUAUUACUCUGUCAAUAUCAUUGCAGUGAUAUUGUUUUGGUGAGAAUUCUAAAUAUUAUAGAAAAUUAUAACUGUUUAGACGAUUAUAAAAUUUUGUUUAGAAUUCUAUAUCUUUCCCUAUGAAGAUCAUUUUUGUUUUUGUUUGUGGUAAAAAUUGUAAAUUUUGUUUUUGUUUAAAUAUUUAGAAGAUUUAAUUAUUAUUGUAAGAUAUUCUAUAUUUCAUUAUGAAGAUCGAUAGUUUGAUGGUUCAUGAUUGUGUACAUUGAACUAAGAAAUUUAUAUUUCACUAUGAAGAUAGUUUUUGUUUUUUCUUAUUAGUAAGAAUUCUAAAGUUUGUUUUUGUUUCAAAUUUUUACAAAUUUUAAGUAUUAAUGUAAGAAUUAUGUACUUCAUUAUGAAGAUCGAUAGUUUGAAGUUUUUGACGAUAAUUUACAUGAAAUUAUACGAUGAGUUACCACUAUCAAUAGAAUUACUUACAAAUAUUAACACGAUCGUGUACCGAUAACAAGACGAUUGUUUACACUAUUCAAUACGAUCACCAAGAUCAUAUGAUCGUGUACCCAUGUCAACAUGAUAAUUUAUUUUAAUCAAUACUAUCAUUUACCAUUGUCAAAUGGUCGUUUAUCAUGGUUAAUAGGAUCGUUUAAUGUAUAUUAUUUCAUUGCACGAUCGUUUACUUAUUCUUGCAUUGUGUUUAGUAUUAUCAUUUUGUACAUUUUAUUCUUUCAUUCAGUAAUAAAUGUAUAUCUAUGUCUAUCUAUUUCUUUCUAUCACAAUUAAAUACUUCAUUUUAUUUUAUUUAUUUUUUUACAGAUUAUAAUGUCUUUUCCUAUUGUUGUUUUUUAUGGAAGUCAAUGGAAUGGAUGUAAAUAUUUAUAAGAAUUACUUAGUUGCUGGAAAUUUUGGUAGAUGUCCAAGUCAGCUUUAAUUCUCUAGUUGAUUUAAUAUGUGAACAGAAUUCAAUUGGAUGGAUAAGUAGAAUUAUCUGUUUUACUUGAUUUUGGUAAAAGCAAGGUCCAACUGUGGUGCCAGUAAAGAAAGACAAUGAUGUGGCUUGGUAUUUAUCUUUUGCUAAAGAUGCAACUGGUAUACAUCCAUUAGUUGCUCUAGUGUAUGAUAGAAUGUUGAUAUGUCAUUGAAUGUAGGUUCUCCUUCUUAUGUUUCAAAUGAUGAAUUUAUAAGAACAUCUCAUAUCAUGGUGAUUUGAAGGAAAAUAGUUUAUUUGAAAGUAAAGAAGUGCUUUCAAAGUGUUUUGGCAUAAUAGAGUGAAUAAACUUUCAAUUUAGAACUACAAUAUCAAAUUUGGGUCUCUUGAAUUUAGAUGUUUACUAGAAGGGUGCAAAUGGUUAUUAGGACAUCUCGUUAUAAGAAGAGCGAAUUGUGGAUGCUAUGAAAAUACAUUUAUGAACAUGACUGUUCAUUGAAUACUAGUUGUCACAUGCAAGUUUCUUCAACAGUAAUUGACAGUUUCUUGAUAGAUUAGUUCAGCUUCAUGUCUACUGAUCGUUUCAUUCCAAAACAAUUUUGCAUAAGCAUGUACAAAUCUUGGAGUUAAUAUAAGUUAGCAGAAAGCUUGGAGGGCAAAAGAACACAUAGUAAAGAUAUUAAAAGGUGACAUAGUUAAAUCAUACAUGUUGAUUCCAAUGUUUUUGAUAAAUUGGUUGAAUCUAUCUCAGGCAUAAUGAGUUUCAUAUAUCGAAUUUAAAUUCAUUUGAAGAUAGAUGGGGAUAGACAAAUGUUACAAUCUAUCUAGAUAGACAAAUAUCACAGUCUAUCUAGAUAGACAAAUGUUAGCAUUUAUCACAGUCUAUCUGUUUUUCUUAUUUUGGGUGUUGGAUACAUCCACUGCUUUUAGAGAUGGAUGAUAACAGUCACUUCAAGUUUUACUUUAUGACUUUUGGUGCAUCAAUUGAAGGGUGAAAAUAUUGUAGACCUAUCAUUUUUAUUGAUGGCACAUUUUGAAGUGUAAGUUUGGUGACGUCCUAUUAACAACCUCAUCAUAAGAUAACAAUCAAAUCUUCCCUUUGCUUUUGCUAUUGUAGGUUUGAAAAUGAUGUAUCAUGAACAUGGUUUUUGAGAAGAUACGAGGUAGUUUUUCAGAGCAAGCUAAUUCGGUCAUUGUUUCUUAUAGGCAUCUUAGGAUCCUUAAAGGAGUUUUAAGAGUGUUUCUUGAUGUUGAAUAUUGUGUGUGCACAAAACAUCUAUUAAGUAACUUGAAACUCCAUUUUAAGGAUCCACUACUUGAUAAAUACUUCUUUAGUUGUGCUUAUGCUUACACUGUUGAUGAAUUUGAGUACCACAUGAAAUGUAUGGAGUUAGUUUGUCCAAAUAUUAGAGAUUAUCUUAGCAGUGUUGGUUUGAGAAGUGGUCUCAGACAUAUUCACAAAGAUGAAGGUAUAGAAGGAUGACAUCAAAUUGUGUAGACAGUGUAAAUUUAGUUUUUAAAGAUCUUAGAGAACUACAUGUAGCUACCAUGCUUAGUUCAAUUAGAGAUGUAUUGCAAAAGUGGUUUUAUGAAAGAAGUAAAGCUACUUUUACAAUGAAGAGUUGUUUGACUUCUUGGGCUGAGAACGUGUUGCAUUUAGAAUAACAUGAAAAGUCAAGAAUUUUAUUGGUAAGGUUUUUUUUUUUUUUUAAUGUUUGUAUCUCAGGUAGAUAUAAAUAGACUGCUAUUUUUGUCUAUCCGAUAGAGAAAUAUAACAAUUUAUGUGUGCUUAUUUCAGAUAGAUAGAGAUAGAUAGCUAUCAAUGUCUAUUUGUCUCUAUUUGUGCAUGUUUUUUUUUUUAAUUUUUCUAUAUUUGUUUUAUGUAUUAGGUUGAUCCAAUUAGCAUGACUGAAGACAAAGUAAUGGAUGAUACAAAAUGAUAAUGUGAUUUAUUUAUAUUUGUUCUAAUUUGAAAUAUUCAAAUUUACUUUGGGAAUUAGUAUAAUUAGUAUAAUGUAUAGUGAUGCAUUAUAAUAUAAAGUUUAUAUGUUAAUGAAACUUUAUUAUAUAAAUUUAAUUUUGGAUAAAGUUCAAAAUUAAUUUAUGAGAGAUAAAAUAUUUAAAUGAGUUUAAAUAUUAAUUUAAUGUGGAUUUGUUUCAUAUUAAAAUUAUUAAUUAUGAGAUAAAGCUAUAUUUGAAUAUGAUUCAAAUUUAACUUAAGUUAAAUAUAAAAUAUUUAAUUUUGUUAUUAAUUAAUUGAAGAAUUAAUUAAUAGUUUAGUUUAAUAUUAUUUAAUUAAAUUAAUAUAAAAAUAAGAUAUUGGAGAGAUAUUCAUUCAAUAAGAUUUAAAUGAAAUAUUAAUUAAAUAUGAUUAAUUAAUUAUUAACUAAUUGAUUAAUGGUUAAUUAGUUAGUUGAUUUGAAACUUCUAUUAAUUUAAUAUUUUUUAAGUUAAUAGAAUCCUAUGAUUCUCUCCUACCCCGUCUCCUACUCAAUGAAAGAAAGAGAGUUAUAAAUAUUUAGAAGAAAAACAGCUUUUCUUAACCAAAUAAAACAUAUGAUUUUCUUUUCUGCAAAAUAGAUUGUAACGACCUAAUUUUUCGAAUUAAGCUGAAGUUAUUACUUUAAGACUAGAUUCGUCCUUUAACCAUAAGACUUUAUAAUUUAAAAAAAAAAAAAACUUAACAACAUUAAAGAAUUUUUAUUCGGGUUCUAUCUCAAAUAAAAUUUUGAAAGUUUAAAAGUAUCGAUAAUAAAGAAAAGUUCAAGAACAUAAAAGUUGUUCAAUCAUGAAACCCAAAACAAUCUCAAUUACUAAAGAAAACCAAAAUAAAAAAAAUAUAAAGCAGAAGCAAUUUGAAGGACAUUUCCCUAUGGCAGUUUCGUGGAAAAAGAUUAAACAUAAAAGGGUGAAUAUAAACAUACCCAGUAAGAGACCCACUACUGAUCCUAUUAGGAGAAAAAUAAAAUUGUUAACUUCCUAUUGGAGGUGCCCUGCACUUUAAUAGUCUUGUGAUCAUGUGGGAAUACACAUAAUUAGUUCAAUGCCCUAAAGGACACAAUAUUAGUUUAGUGCUCUGCAGAAAGCAUGGCUGUAUGUAAAACUAACUUAGUUUGUAACUCAUAACUUACCAAAAAUUUCAAAAAGUGUGAAAAAAAUCUUUCAAGACUCAAAGUGGCAACCAUGGCUGUAUGUAAAACUAACUUAGUUUGUAACAACCUAAAAGGUGUUCAAAAAAUGUUUAAGUAUCACUCGAACUUUAAAAACGACCUAAUAAUGCUUUAGUGUUACUUCAUAACUCAUAACCUACCAAAAAGUUCAAAAAAUGUAGAAAAAACACUGCAAAAUUCAAAAUGGCAACCAAGUGUGUAAGUGUAACAAACUUAGUCUCAACUUUAAAAUUAGUGCGAGUUGGGAAAUGUAUUAACUCAAGCAUGAUGUACAAACUUGAAACGACUUAAAUAUUUAUUCACCAUCACAUAAAAAUAGUAAUUAAAUAUAGAUAACAUGUGUAGAUAAAGGGAGAAUCACCUUUCUAGCAGUAGCUUUAGAGUAAGACCAAACACCAUCUUCCUACUUGUAAAUCUGCUCGAUUGUCUACUUUGUUCUACACUCGUCAUUUCACCGUCUCAAGCCAUCCAGCCUUGGCAUACAAUAGUAUGUCUCCGCCUGUUAACAAAUACCACUAAAACUAAGCAAGACAAAGAAAAAAGUUUUAAAAAAAUUACCUAACUUUUAGGUCUUCAUGUGACCUUUAAGUUCUUCUGUCUUCUCCUUCAACUCUUUGACAGAUUGCUGAAAUUAUGUGUUUCUGCAAUGUUUACCAGAACAUGAAAGAUUCAUUACGAAAAAACAGUCAAUACAAGAAGAAAAAAGUUCACUUGAAAACGACCUAAAACAGUAUCACUUGAACAAAAUGUGUCUAAGUAUCACUUGAACUUUCAAAACGACCUAAAACAAAAUGAGUUACGAACCUACACGUAAGCUUUUUUAGGUCGUUUUGAAAGUUCAAGUGAUACUUAGACAUGUUUUGAACUCGUUUUAGGUUGGUUUGACACUAAGUUUUAAACACAUUUGAUUGACAUGUUGGGUCUUGAAGUACUUUUUUCACACUUUUUGAAAUUUUGGUAGGUUGUGAGUUACAAACUUACACUUAAGCAUUGCUGGGUCGUUUUGAAAAUUCAAGUGAUACUUAAACGUUUUGAAUACAUUUUAGGUUAGAUUGAGUUUGUUGCACUUACACACAUGGUUGUCAUUUUUGGUCUUGAAAUGCUUUUUUCAACCUUUUUGGUAGAUUAUGAGUUACGAACUUACACUUAGGAUUUGCUAGGUCGUUUUGAAAACUACAAUAAUACCUAGACACGUUUUGAGCACCUUUUAGGUUGGUUUGAACUAAGUUUGUUGCACUUACACACUUGGUUGCCAUUUUGGGUCUUGUAGUGCUUUUUUCACAAUAUUUGAACUUUUUUCGUAGGUUAUGAGUUACGAACCUACACGUAAGCUGUUUUAGGUCAUUUUGAAAGUUCUAGUGAAACUUAGACACGUUUUGAGCACGUUUUAGGUCGUUUUGAGCAGGUUUUAGGUCGUUUUGAGUAAAUGGUAUGUAUGUUGUGAUUGUUUGAUUGCAUGUAUAAUACUUAUUGAGAUGUGAAUGCUUGAUUGAGAAGCUGAUAGAACACCAAGUAAUGGUUCUUAUUUGUUCAUUAAGCAACCAAACUAUUACAGAUACAAUACUCAAACCAGUCAUGAAAACACAGAACAAACAAGUACUAUUACAGACAAUAACCAAGUACAAAAUAAAACAUUCAAACAUCAAAAGUAGUUUACGAUAAUGGAAAACACUUUCUAAGAUUAAAGUAACUGAACAACUUCUGUAAUUAUGCUGCUCUCAGAAAAUACAGCCCUCCACUUCCAGAAACUGAUUAACCAACCCCCAUCUUUCCUUCCAUCUCUCCCUUUUAACUCCCCCUGUAACUAACUAUUGUCCCCACUAAGGUGGUUUCCACUUCCUCCAAUUCCAUUGCAAUUCCACUUGUCUUUCUUAUGCUAUAUUGUAUUGCAAUUGGUGGUCUAUCAUUACUCUCCCUCUCCAAAGUCACCUUGUUCUCAAGGUGGGAAAUGAGGAAGCUUUUGUGUAAAAUCAUCACAAUUCUCCCAUGUAGCCUCAUGAGGUGGUAUUCCUUUCCAACUAACAAGCACUUCCCACUUCUUUGUUGUGGAUUUUUAGGAUAGCCAAAAUUGUCUGCUGGUAGUAACUCUUGAAAUGUAGGAACAUCAUCAAUUCCAUAUAGUUCGGUAAAUGUCAUUCCUCCUCCAUAGCUCGACAUUUUGUCAAGAAACCUUAAUCAGAUGGUGUCCAUGUCUCCAUCAUGUGUUACAGACUCACUCUAGUCUUUGUCAAACUCGGGUCACCCCUUAUAACAACAUUCUUUUCAUUUUGUAUGAAAGUUAAAGUGAGUUUCCGCCAAUCCACUUCAGUUACCCAACGUGUGCAGCCAUUGCAUUCCAAGGAUGACAUCCUGAUAGAACAUUAAUGUAGUGUUUCUAUUAUAUUGAUAAUUCAAACACAACUUACAACAUAAGCAAAUCGUGAACCUUAGAAAAUGAGUCACGUUACAUAUAAUUCACAAACAUCAAACAAAAGAAAAACCUCCUAAUCCAAAAUUCUAAACAACAAAAUACUAAUAAGCAAACCAGAAUAUAGAACACCAAUCUUCUGCUUCCCCAGUCUUUCAAGGAGUAUUGCAGACCUUUUUCUUCACUCCAAAAAACUCACUUUAACAAAGAGGCAGCCACAUUUUCAGGUAAGAAAAUAAAGUAGGUAGUAUGUAGGAAGGCUAACCAAAACUGAGUUGCAUAAGGUUUGUCUUCCGCCUCUAGAGAUGUUAUAUCUUUUCCACCUUCAAGUUUCUUGUGAAUUCGAUCAAUGACUGGUUGCCAAAAAGACUUUUGUCGAGGCCAAAGGGAGACGGAGACCUAAAUAUAUAAUCGGAAGCUUUUCUAGCUUGCACCCUAUCAGAUUUGUUGUUUGAAACAAAUCUUCCUCUCCCACAUUAACGCCGCUAAGGGCUGAUUUUUCCCAGUUUACUUUCUGCCCCAAACACCAUUCGAAUAAUCUAAUGACGUUUUAAAGUUUAAGGAGCAUCUUCACAUCAUACUUACAAAAGAGAAGAGUAUCAUCGACAAAUUGAAGCAAAGGGAGGUGGAUCAAGUCUUUUGCCAAACAAGGAAACCUUCAAACUGGCUGUUAAUAUGAAGCUUGUUUAUGAUUUCUCCUAAAACCUCACUUACUAGGUGGAAAAAAAGGGGGAGAGAGGGUCCCCUUGGCGGAUACUUCUAGAUGCUGUUAUCUGGCCUCUAGGCUUACCAUUGAUGAAGACUGAAUACUUUGGAUUUUUGAGGCAGCCCAUUAUCCAUGAUAUCCAUUUGGAACUAAACUUUUUCAAAGAUAAUUUUUUUUCUAAAAGUUCCAAUUCACCCUAUCAAAGGCUUUUUCCAAGUCAAGUUUUAAAAUCCAUCCUUUUUUCCGUUUUGCUCUAUAAUCUUCCACGGCCUUGUUAGCAAUUAAUUUGGGUCAAGAAUUUGCCUACCUUCAUAAAGGCGCUUUGAGUGGGGCUUAUAAUUGCAUCCAUAACUUGUUUUAGACGUUCAGAUAAAACCUUUGCAACGACCUUGUAUGCUAACGUAGUAAGGCUGAUUGGACGGAAAUCCUUGCUAGAGUCACAUUCUCUUUUUUCUACACUAAACAAAUGAAGUUUUCUUGGAUGCAAGCAUUUAAUCUUCCAUUUAUGUGGAAAUCAGACAUUAGUGAUUUGAACAUAUCCUUUAAAAUAGACCAUUGGGUGAUUAGGAACUUCACUGUGAAGCCAUCUGGGCCCAGAGCUUUAUUGUUGCCAAGUGCCUUUAAUGCCUUAAAGAUCUCCUCCACUGAAAACUGGGCAACAAGAGCCUCAUUCUGAAUUGAGGAAACACAAAGACCAAUUACUGUUAAUAGGGAUGAAUUGUCCCCCGGAAUUCUGGUAUAAAGUGACUCAAAAAAUUCCAGCACCCCAGCCUUUCAAUGUCGUGGAAUGAGUCGAGACAACCCAUCAUCAUCUUUUAAUUCAGUUAUGAGGUUCCUUCUUUUUUUCGCAUUUAGAAAGCGGUGGAAGAAGCCCGUAUUCUCAUCACCCAAAGAUAGCCAAUUGAGUUUACUCUUCUGAAUAAAAUUCCGCUCUUCAUUUUAAUAAAUACUAAGUAAUUCCGCUUGCAAAGCAGCUCUAGAAUUCAACUCUUCUUGAUUUAAUCCAAUCAACUCAGCCACAGAAUCAUAUUUUUCUAAUUUGACAUCAAGGAUUUCUCUGUUUUUUUUUUUACCUUAGCUUGCGCAGCAAUAUUCCAAGCUUUUACUGCCAAUUUAACUAAUCUCAACUGCUCAUGAAGAAUGAAACCAACCAUCCCUGGAAGUUAGAGUUGCUCACUGUUUCAACAAUAAUCUGAUUAGAAUCACUGGGACACCAACCAGCUGUUACAAAACCAAAAGGAGAGGGACCCCAAAGAAAAUAAGCAACCUCCAAGAAUAAAGGAAAGUGAUCCGAGAAGAUGCAUGCUUUUCGAGAAACCUGAGAAUUUUCAAAACAAACAUCCCACAUCUGAUUUAUGAAGAAUCUGUAUAAUAAUGAUCUUCAAGGAGAAUUACCGUCUCUAGACCAAGUGAACCUUCCAUUUUGCAAUGGAAUUUCCAUGAGAGAAACCAUGUCAAUAAACAUAUUGACUAAUGACAUUCCUCUAGUACUUCUACCAAAAGGAAAUCUUUCCCAGACCCAACGAGUGAUAUUAAAAUCCCCACCUAUGCACCAGGCCACAGCCGAACAAUCAGCUAACGAAGACAAUUCGGGCCAAACCAAUUUUCCUUUCUCUGCAACCACAAGGGCCAUAGACAUUUGUGAUCCAACAAAACUUUUUGCACAAAGUGAGGCAUUUGAUUGACAAAGAGAAGCGUCUUUUUAAUGACCUCUGUUACAGAUAUUUUAUUGCUGUCCACAUGGUAAGAAUUCCCCCAGAAGAUCCCAUAGAAACCACAUAAUCCCAGCCAAUAUCCUUAGAACUCCACAAUGAUUUUAUAAAAGCCGAGUUCAAGGUAUCAUUCUUAGAUUCUUGAAUCAUGACUACAAUUGUUGAUGAAUUUUUUAAGUGCUGCACGUUUAGAGGAGUCGUUCAACCCUUAGUGUUCUAGGAGACAACCUUAAUAAUGACUGGGAGGAGCAAAAGGCAGUUGCACAUCUAAUUAAGCCAGAAUGAUUCCACAAUCAUCGACUAUAGACACUAAAUCUUUAGGCAAAUCCAAGGAAUUUUAAUAGGGAGAAUAUCUUUAUCAUUGAACAAGACAUUCAGAUCCAUCCAUUAAUUUCUGGGACUAAUUUAGGGUCAACUUCAGUGUUGGGGACUGCCAAUUUAACUGAUCUCAACAGUAAGUUGAUUAAGUUGGGCAGUAGGAGGACACGAGACAAGGCAUCUGCUGCUUUGUUUUCUAGUCCGGUUUAUACACGGCAUCAAAAUUGUAGCCAAGAAGCUUAGCAAUCCACCCUUUGUUCCAAUAAAAGUUUCAAUGAUCGUUGAUCAGUUUUCACUACAAACCUCCAGCCCAAAAGAUAAGGUCUACAGCGUUGCACAGCCAAAACUACAGCCAUUAAUUCCCGUUCAUAAACUGGUUUAGCACGAUCCCUCAUAGCUAAUGUCUGGCUAAAAUAAGCAAUUGGCCGAUGAUUUUUGAAUUAAGACAGCACCUACCCCGUAUCUAGAAGCAUCGGUCUCUAUUUCAAAUGGUAAGGAAAAUCUGGCAGUGCUAAGAUUGGGAGAGUCAUCGUAGCCAUCUUUAAAUUCUCAAAAGUUUCAGCAGCUGCAACAGUCCAUUCAUAAGCUCCUUUCAUCAAUAAUUGAGUCAAAGGAGCAGCCACACUUCCAUAAUUCAUUACAAAUCUUCGAUAAUAUCCUGUCAACCCAAGAAAUCCACGAACCUCACGGACAUUAUGUUGGAAUUUUUUGUCCUAAAACUCGUAGUUUGUAAAUCAUAUUCUAUUCAAUAAAGUUGUUAUUGAGAAAUUAAAUAUUAUAAUCUUAAAUCCAAUAAAUCAAAGUUCCAAGGCUAUUUUUUGAAUAAACUUGAACUUUAGUGUAAACAUAAACGUGGAUCAAGUUCGAGUAUAUAGCCUAAAUAGUCUAUAGUGUAUGAAAUAAAGGUUGCGGCGCUUAUUUAGAGAAACUAUGGAUGCGGCCCACUUUGUAGUACAAACGAGGUGAUCCUAAUCGUUCAUGUAGAGACAUGAAAGUGGGGGCAUCCUAUGUAAAAUGUUUACAUAAGACUGAACCAUGAAUAGUCAUUUUUACGUUAUAACACCGUUUACUGUUUAAAACUGACUAUCUCAAUUAUUGAUGACCUAGGUAACUUAGUCUUAAUCCUGAGUUAACUAUGAACUCCUGUUCAUACGAGAUUAUCCUUAGAUCUGCAUAGGUGAGGGCAGCUCAUCAGCGUUGGCCCAAUAAGCCUCCCAUUUCAGGGGUAAGAUCGGGUGGAUAGCUGGGAACAUAGGGUACAAGAUGGAAUUCACUCCUACCCGCUUUAGGGUUAGUAGAUAGGUUGCUCUCUUAAGCACUGAAUCCAAGUCUUGAACAAGGGGCCCCACCCUCUCACUGGCCCGAGAGGGAUUAAGUUUAUAGGUUGAACCUUAAACCAAUUGUUCAAUAGUGGAUUAGUGGGACUUAAGGAGCAAGAUGUAAUCUUGGGGGUAAAACGGUAUUUUGACCCAGCCAAGGUUACGAGCAACCUGUGAAGGAUUAACUUACUGAUUAUGGUUUUAUCAAAUGGACACAAAUAUAUCUAUAGUGAGGGGAGUGCAACUACGGGACUUUAGUGGAAUGACCCGUUAGUUAACGAAUGUUGAUUAACUCGGUUUAAAAGAGUUUAGCUAGUUAAUCUUGAAUCGUUGGAGCCCAUGAUCUAUAGGUCCAUUAGGUUCCUCUGCUAGCUCAUAUGGAUUAAACUUAGAACAGUGUGAUGAAAUAAGUCGAAUUGUUCGAAUAGGCGAGAAGAAAGGAAAACCGACAUAUACAGUGAUAUAAUCGUCGGUCUUCUAAUUAGAAAUAGAGCUUUAUGUUUUACAUACUAUAAGUAUGAAUGCAGAUUCAUACUAAGAAGCUCGGAAUUGGUCAAAAAUAGUAAAAAAGUCAAAAUGUUGACUUUUGACUUUGAAAAGUCAAACUUUGACCGGCCUUAUAUUCAAAUGUGAUUUGAAUUUUGGAAAAAUGAAUGCGGAUUCAUGCUCGGGAGGUUGGAAUUAGUCAAGACGGACAAAAUGGAAAAAAGUCAAAAUAUUGACUUUUGACUUAGAAAAGUCAAAGUUUGACUUUUGACUAGAAAAUCUAAUGACCAUUUUUACCCUUGGACUAAGUUAGUGGGAAAAUCCAACAUUUUGUUGGAUAAUCCCACUAACUCUUAGUGGGAUAUGUGGCUAUAUGAGAUAUAGACACCUAGCCCACUAAGUUCCACUAAUUGUUAGUGGAAUAUUAGGUGUUGAGAUUUGGCAAUUGAAUUGCAUGCAUUUUUGCAUGUAAUUAGGCUAUAAAUAGAGAUGUUUUCAAAUGUUGAAGGACUUUUGCCUCUUUUAUCAUUUUCAUAAUCUCAACAAAAGAAAAAAGAAAGCUUCCAAUCUCAUUUUAUCUCCAUUACUUUCUACACCAAAAUUGGGUCCCACAACCCGGUUCUUUGUCUAGAGGAUAGCAGUUGAGUACUAGUGGUGGUCUCGGGUAGAAUUGGUAAGAAGACAUCAAACCUUUUGAAAGCUUCAAAGGUAAUACUUCUUAAAACCCUAAUUUGAUUAGUUUAUGGUUAGAUGUUAAUUGUGGCAAUUAGGGUAGAAAUUCGAUUCUUUUUCCGCUGUGCAUGACUUAGUUCUAUCACAUUAGUGGGCACGGGCCAUUCUUUGAUAGAUCUAAUUUUCUCGGGAUCAACCUCUACACCUUCGCCCGCGCGCCUUCGCACGACCCGUGUGCGCCUGGGCCGGUUCAAGCCAAUAAAUUUGGUUUUUGGGCCGGUUCAAGCGGUUUCGGUUGGUUUUUUAGCCGGUUCGAAUUUUUGGGAGUGGUUCUGUACUACACCAAAUUAAUUAUGUAAUAAUUUAGCACUUAGCUUAAUUUAGGAGCCAAAAAUCAGUCCAUUUUAGGGUGUUUUUUUUUAUUUAUGCAUGUGAUGUAUGAUUAAAUUACUUUAAAUUUGUAUGUGCAUUUUGAAUGUCAUAUAGAUUUAAAAUCCCACCAUAGGUUAACAUGUUCAUGCAUUAAAAUGUAUGAUAUAAAGGUUAUAUUGUAUUGUAUGCAUGUUAAUUGAUUAAUAUGGAAAUUAAUUAAUAUGAUUAAUUAAUUAUUUAAUUAAUUAAGUUAUUCUUGAUUAAAUAUGAUUUAAUCAAAUUAAUUAAUUAUUGUUUGAUUUAAUUUAAUUAAAUAUGAUUUAAUUAAAGUUAAAUAAAUUAAAAUCCAUAUUAAUUGAUUGUUUUUAUUAUAUAUUGAUAAAAUGAUUGAUUAAGUUUAAAAGUUUUUAUAAGUGUUAUAAAAUAAAUUAGACUUUUAAAAUCAAUAACAAAGAUUAAAUGCAUGCUCACUUAGGUUAAACAUAUCUUCCAUUUUUCAUAGAAAUAGGUCGAUAUCUUGUAAAACUGGUUACAAAAGGCUCACCUGGUUCAAUCUUGUCAACAAGUCAGAUAAGAUGACUAAGGUUGGAGGUUCUUAAGUUGACGGUUUACGGAACACCUCCUACCUGGAGAUCGUAAUCAGUUCUUGAGCCUAGUUAACCUAGUUUUAUGAGCAUUCGUGAGAGGUGUGAGGUAAUAAAAAUGGUUUUUCACCUAGACAUCAUAGGUUAAAAUCCUGUAUAAUGGUUAUACUUGGAUGUUUUAUCUAGACUUAAGAUUUGUUUAAGUUAGCCUAAAUAUAAAUCUUGAAGUUUGGAUUACCCUAUUUUUUCUUUUAGAACACUUCAACUAGAGAAAAAUAAUGUAUUUUAGCUCUAGUGUCCCUAAGAGUUCACACCGUGAGGUCCAUGCAGGGCUUUGUGCCGUGCAUAGGAGCGGCCUCCCUUCGGAGAGUGUUUGCAUGGAUCAAAAUCAAGGUGAAUAGGGGAAGUAGUUCAUAGUAAGUGGGUGAGGGAUUUGUGGCAGCACAUCCCACGGUCUCUUCCAUUAGGUCGCACCGUGAGAUUUCUAUAAUAUGCCUGCUUGUCUGCCCUGGAGCGACGUUCCCUUCGGAGGGUUGUAUUAUAGGAUUCGGAACACCGCGAACUCCAAACUGGAUAGGAUUUCUUAGAUUAGUUUUCAUAAAUGAUUCUAAUCUAUGAAAUCUGAAAAUGGUGGGUAACACUUACAAGAAUUACUAAGUUGUUAGUAUAUUCUUGACUAAAGUAGCGAUAACUAAGUGCUAUAAAGAAUAAAGAGUUAUUCUGAGAUAGCAUCUAGUCAAGAUUGUCUUGGUUCAAAGGAGGAAUAAUCAACUACCCUUCGGAGAAGGUUGUUCUAAACCUUUGAAAUAUUGUUGCAAAUACAAAAUAAUGAAAGGGUACAUUAUUAGUAAUUGCUAAAUUAGAUUGGAUAUUUUUUAUGAUUAUAGUUUUUUCCUAAAAGGAAUAUGUUUGUUUUUCAGCAUGAAUAGCUCAAUAGUUCGACUUUUAGCUUCCGAAAAACUUAAUGGCGAUAAUUAUGCGGCUUGGAAAUCAAAUCUUAACACAAUACUAGUGGUUGGUGAUUUAAGAUUUGUCUUAACUGAGGAAUGUCCUCAAAACCCUGCCUCUAAUGAUAACCGAACUAGUCGGGAUGCAUAUGAUCGAUGGAUAAAAGCUAAUGAAAAAGCCGUGUCUACAUUCUUGCCAGCAUGUCUGAUGUAUUGGCAAAGAAACAUGAAUCCUUAGCCACGGCUAAAGAGAUUAUGAAUUCAUUAAGGGGAAUGUUUGGGCAACCAGAAUUGUCCUUAAGACACGAGGCAGUCAAAUACAUUUACACUAAGCGUAUGAAGGAAGGGACCUCUGUUAGAGAACAUGUUCUGGACAUGAUGAUGCACUUCAACAUCGCUGAAGUGAAUGGUGGUCCCAUCGAAGAGGUUAAUCAAGUUAGUUUUAUCUUAGAGUCUCUUCCGAAGAGCUUCAUUCCAUUCCAAACGAAUGCGUCUUUGAACAAGAUAGAAUUUAACUUGACAACCCUUCUGAAUGAACUCCAGCGAUUCCAAAACCUUACUAUGGGUAAAGGAAAACAAGUGGAAGCAAAUGUUGCUACCACAAAAAGAAAAUUUAUAAGAGGAUCGUCCUCUAAAACCAAAGCUGGACCCUCAAAACCUAAUGCUCAAAUAAAAAAGAAGGGAAAGGGAAAGACUCCCAAACAGAACAAGGGUAAGAAAGGUGCAGAAAAAGGUAAGUGUUACCAUUGUGGCCAAAACGGGCACUGGUUAAGAAACUGCCCAAAAUACCUUGCAGAAAAAAAGGCAGAGAAGGAAACACAAGGUAAAUAUGAUUUACUAGUUGUAGAAACAUGUUUAGUGGAAUAUGAAAAUUCUACCUGGAUACUAGAUUCAGGAGCCACUAAACCAUAUUUGCUUCUCAUUUCAGGAAAAUAGUUCUUGAAAAAGCUUUCAGAAGGCGAGAUCACUCUCAAGGUUGGAACAGGAGAGAUGGUCUCAACUUCAGCAGUGGAGAUUUAAAGUUGUUUUUUAGAGAUAGAUAUGUCAUACUUAAGAAUGUCUUAUAUGUACCUCAAAUGAAAAGAAAUUUAAUAUCUAUCUCUUGUAUUUUGGAACAAAUGUAUAGAAUAUCUUUUGAAAUUAAUGAAGCGUUCGUUUUCUAUAAAGGUAUUCUAGUUUGUUCUGCUAUACUUGAAGACAACUUAUAUAAGUUAAGACCAACUAGAGCAAAUUUUGUCUUAAAUACUGAAAUAUUCAGAACAGCUGAAACUCAGAAUAAAAGACAAAAAGUUUCUUCUAAUGCCUAUUUAUGGCACUUAAGACUUGGUCACAUAAAUCUCAAUAGGAUUGGGAGAGUUAAAAGUGGGCUUCUAAGUCCGUUAGAAAAUAACUCUUUACCUCCUUGUGAAUCUUGUCUUGAAGGAAAAAUGACCAAGAGAUCUUUUACUGGAAAAGGUCUAAGAGCCAAAGGACCCUUAGAGCUCGUACAUUCGGACCUUUGUGGACCAAUGAAUGUCAAAGCUCGAGGUGGAUAUGAAUAUUUCAUUAGCUUCAUUGAUGAUUAUUCAAGGUAUGGUCAUAUUUACCUAAUACAUCAUAAGUCUAAUAGUCUUGAAAAGUUCAAAGAAUAUAAGGCUGAAGUAGAAAACGAAUUAGGUAAAACAAUAAAAAUACUUCGAUCAGAUCGAGGUGGAGAGUAUAUGGACUUACGAUUCCGAGACUAUUUAAUAGAAAAUGGAAUCCAGUCACAACUCUCUGCACCUAGUACACCUCAACAGAACGGUGUAUCAGAAAGAAGAAACUGGACCUUGUUAGACAUGGUUCGCUCUAUGAUGAGUUUUUCUCAGAUGUCAGAUUCUUUUUGGGAUAUGCUUUAGAAACAGCUGCUUAUAUUUUGAAUAAUGUUCCCUCUAAAAGUGUUUCAGAAACACCUUAUGAGCUAUGGAAAGGGCGUAAAGGCAGUUUACGUCAUUUUAGAAUUUGGGGUUGUCCAGCACACGUGUUGGUACAAAAUCCAAAGAAAUUGGAACAUCGUUCAAAAUUAUGCUUUUUUAUAGGUUAUCCAAAAGAAUCAAGAGGUGGUUUGUUUUAUGAUCCUCAAGAAAAUAAAAUAUUUGUGUCAACAAAUGCCACAUUCUUAGAGGAAGACCACAUCAGGGAUCAUCAACCUCGUAGUAAACUAGUAUUAAAAGAAAUUUCCAAAAGUGCUAUAGAUAAACCUAGUUCAUCCACUAAGGUAGUUGAUAAGACUAGGAAAUCUGGUCAAUCACAUCCUUCUCAACAGUUGAGAGAGCCUCGACGUAGUGGGAGGGUUGUUCAUCAGCCUGAUCGCUAUUUGGGUUUAAUUGAAACUCAAGUCGUCAUACCUGACGAUGGCAUAGAGGAUCCAUUAACCUAUAAACAGGCAAUGAAAGAUGUAGAUCGUGACCAAUGGAUCAAAGCCAUGGACCUCGAAAUGGAGUCUAUGUACUUUAAUUCUGUCUGGACUCUAGUAGAUCAACCAAAUGACGUAAAACCUAUUGGUUGUAAAUGGAUCUACAAGAGAAAACGAGACCAUGCCGGUAAAGUACAGACUUUCAAGGCUCGACUUGUGGCAAAGGGUUAUACCAGAGAGAGGGAGUAGACUAUGAGGAAACUUUCUCUCCUGUUGCCAUGUUAAAGUCAAUUAGAAUACUCUUAUCCAUCGCCACUUUUUAUGAUUAUGAAAUUUGGCAGAUGGAUGUCAAGACAGCUUUUUUGAACGGUAAUCUUGAAGAGAUCUAUAUGUCUCAACCAGAGGGGUUUAUAAAACAAGAUCAAGAACAAAAGGUUUGUAAGCUUAAAAAAUCCAUUUAUGGAUUAAAACAAGCUUCUAGAUCCUGGAAUAUAAGAUUUGAUAUUGCGAUCAAAAUCUUAUGGCUUUGAACAAAAUGUUGACGAGCCUUGUGUUUACAAAAGGUCGUCAAUUCCAUUAUAGCAUUUUUUAGUCUUAUAUGUAGAUGAUAUUCUACUUAUUGGAAAUGACUAGGAUAUCUUCUGAUAUCAAGAAAUGGCUAGCUAUGCAAUUUCAAAUGAAAGAUCUGGGAGAUGCACAAUACGUUCUCGGAAUCCAAAUUGUUCGAAACCGUAAGAACAAAACACUAGCCAUGUCUCAAGCAUCUUACAUAGACAAAAUGUUGUCUAGAUAUAAAAUGCAGAAUUCCAAAAAGGGUCUGCUGCCGUACAGAUAUGGAAUUCAUUUGUCAAAGGAACAAUGUCCUAAGACACCUCAAGAAGUUGAGGAUAUGAGAAAUAUUCCCUAUGCUUCCGCUGUUGGAAGUUUAAUGUAUGCAAUGUUAUGUACUAGACCUGACAUUUGCUACUCAGUAGGGAUGGUCAGUAGGUAUCAAUCCAAUCAUGGACGUGAUCACUGGACAGCCGUUAAAAACAUUCUACAUGCUCAUGUAUCGUACAAAGGAUCUGAUCCUUACUGGAUACACUGAUUCAGAUUUCCAAACUGAUAAAGAUGUUAGAAAGUCUACAUCAGGAUCAGUAUUUACUCUAAAUGGAGGAGCAGUAGUUUGGAGAAGCAUAAAGCAAACUUGUAUAGCUGAUUCCACAAUGGAAGCUGAUCAUUUUACAAAAGCCCUCAUGGCUAAAGUGUUUGAGGGUCACCUACACAGUUUAGGUGUACGAUGUUUGUAAACUAGGACAAGUGGGAGACUUAUUGGCCAUGUGCCCUAGUUUCAUAUAUAUUCUCUCACACCACAUCUCUCAUACCACUAGGAAUUUUAGUCCAAGUGGGAGUUUGUUGGAAUUUUUUGUCCUAAAACUCGUAGUUUGUAAAUCAUAUUCUAUUCAAUAAAGUUGUUAUUGAGAAAUUAAAUAUUAUAAUCUUAAAUCCAAUAAAUCAAAGUUCCAAGGCUAUUUUUUGAAUAAACUUGAACUUUAUGUGUAAACAUAAACGUGGAUCAAGUUCGAGUAUAUAGCCUAAAUAGUCUAUAGUAUAUGAAAUAAAGGUUGGGCGCCUUAUUUUGAGAGACUAUGGAUGCGGCCCACUUUGUAGUACAAACGAUGUGAUCCUAAUCGUUCAUGUAGAGACAUGAAAGUGGGGGCAUCCUAUGUAAAAUGUUUACAUAAGACUGAACCAUGAAUUAGUCAUUUUUACGUUAUAACACCGUUUACUGUUUAAAACUGACUAUCUCAAUUAUUGAUGACCUAGGUAACUUAGUCUUAAUCCUGAGUUAACUAUGAACUCCUGUUCAUACGAGAUUAUCCUUAGAUCUGCAUAGGUGAGGGCAGCUCAUCAGCGUUGGCCCAAUAAGCCUCCCAUUUCAGGGGUAAGAUCGGGUGGAUAGCUGGGAACAUAGGGUACAAGAUGGAAUUCACUCCUACCCGCUUUAGGGUUAGUAGAUAGGUUGCUCUCUUAAGCACUGAAUCCAAGUCUUGAACAAGGGGCCCCACCCUCUCAUUGGCCCGAGAGGGAUUAAGUUUAUAGGUUGAACCUUAAACCAAUUGUUCAAUAGUGGAUUAGUGGGACUUAAGGAGCAAGAUGUAAUCUUGGGGUAAAACGGUAUUUGACCCAGCCAAGGUUACGAGCAACCUGUGAAGGAUUAACUUACUGAUUAUGGUUUUAUCAAAUGGACACAAAUAUAUCUAUAGUGAGGGAGUGCAACUACGGGACUUAGUGGAAUGACUCGUUAGUUAACGAAUGUUGAUUAACUCGUUUAAAAGAGUUUAGCUAGUUAAUCUUGAAUCGUUGGAGCCCAUGAUCUAUAGGUCCAUUAGUUCCUCUGCUAGCUCAUAUGGAUUAAACUUAGAACAGUGUGAUGAAAUAAGUCGAAUUGUUCGAAUAGGGAGAAGAAAGGAAAACCGACAUAUACAGUGAUAUAAUCGUCGGUCUUCUAAUUAGAAAUAGAGCUUUAUGUUUUACAUACUAUAAGUAUGAAUGCGGAUUCAUACUAAGAAGCUCGGAAUUGGUCAAAAAUAGUAAAAAGUCAAAAUGUUGACUUUUGACUUUGAAAAGUCAAACUUUGACCGGCCUUAUAUUCAAAUGUGAUUUGAAUUUUGGAAAAAUGAAUGCGGAUUCAUGCUCGGAGGUUGGAAUUAGUCAAGACGGACAAAAUGGUAAAAAGUCAAAAUAUUGACUUUUGACUUAGAAAAGUCAAAGUUUGACUUUUGACUAGAAAAAUCUAAUGACCAUUUUACCCUUGGACUAAGUUAGUGGGAAAAUCCAACAUUUUGUUGGAUAAUCCCACUAACUCUUAGUGGGAUAUGUGCUAUAUGAGAUAUAGACACCUAGCCCACUAAGUUCCACUAAUUGUUAGUGGAAUAUUAGGUGUUGAGAUUUGGCAAUUGAAUUGCAUGCAUUUUUGCAUGUAAUUAGGCUAUAAAUAGAGAUGUUUUCAAAUGUUGAAGGACUUUUGCCUCUUUUAUCAUUUUCAUAAUCUCAACAAAAGAAAAAAGAAAGCUUCCAAUCUCAUUUUAUCUCCAUUACUUUCUACAUCAAAAUUGGUCCCACAACCCGGUUCUUUGUCUAGAGGAUAGCAGUUGAGCACUAGUGGUGGUCUCGGUAGAAUUGGUAAGAAGACAUCAAACCUUUUGUAAGCUUCAAAGGUAAUACUUCUUAAAACCCUAAUUUGAUUAGUUUAUGGUUACAUGUUAAUUGUGGCAAUUAGGGUAGAAAUUCGAUUCUUUUUCCGCUGUGCAUGACUCAGUUCUAUCAUGUGGUAUCAGAGCAUGCUUCAUUUUUACCCAAUUGCAUGUGGUGGGUUCAAAUUUAUUAGAUAAAUUUUGGUUUGAACUAAAAUGGAUAUAUUAUGAUUUUGGCUCUAGAUUAAGUGUUUUUGUUCUAAUUAUUGUAAUUAGCCUUGUUAAUGGCUUAUUUUUAUUGUUGCAAAGUGUUUGUAAUUUUUUUAAAAAAUAAAAAAAGUCAUUAGAGUUGAAGCUAGGCUGUAAUUGGUUCAACCGGGUGAGAGAAUUGAAAAAUGAAGAAAAGAUGGUCACAGACCCGAAAACCCGGUUUUGACCCGCUUCGCGACCCGCACGCGCCCGCAUGCCCGCGCGCCCAUCCUGCGCCCGCGCGCCCUCCUGUGCCGCGCGCGCCCUGCGUCCCACCGGGUGCCCGCGCGCGCUCCUGCGCCCGCCUGCGCCCGCGCGCCUGCAUGCGCCCGUGCGCCCGCCUGCUGCCGCGCGCGCCACAUGCGCCUGCGCGCCCGCAUGCGCCCGCGCGCCGCGCCUUCGCCCGCGCGCCUGCCUUCGCACGACCCGUGUGCGCCUGGGCGGGUUCAAGCCAAUAAAUUUGGUUUUUGGGCCGGUUCAAGCGGUUUCGGUUGGUUUUUUAGCCGGUUCGAAGUUUUUGGGAGUGGUUCUGUACUACACCUCGAAGUUUCUUGCCCACAAAAGCCGAACGGAUGCGCCCAGACUCGGUUUCUUGGUUCCGUCCCAAAACGCCGAAGAAAGGCACAAUGGCCUAGAAAGGGAUAGUCGGACUUGGAACGGGGUCCGAGGCCUCGAAAGUCCACAUCUAGCUACUGGGUGGUCCGAUUCUGAGUGAUCUCGAACUUUCUUGUCCACAAAAGCCGAACGGUGACGCCCCAGACUCGGUUUCUUGGUUCCGUCCCAAAACGCCGAAGAAAGGCACAAUGGCCUAGAAAGGGACGGUCGGACUUGGAACGGGGUCCGAGGCCUCGAAAGUCCACAUCAAGCUACUGGGUGGUCCGAUUCUGAGUGAUCUCGAAGUUUCUAGCCACAAAAGCCGAACGGUGACGCCCCAGACUCGGUUUUUUGGUUCCGUCCCAAAACGCCGAAGAAAGGCACAAUGGCCUAGAAAGGGACGGUCGGACAUGGAACGGGGUCCGAGGCGUCGAAAGUCCACAUCUAGCUACUGGGUGGUCCGAUUCCGAGUGAUCUCGAAGUUUCUUGCCCACAAAAGCCGAACGGUGCGCCCCAGACUCGGUUUCUUGGUUCCGUCCCGAAACGCCGAAGAAAGGCACAAUGGCCUCGAAAGGGACGGUCGGACUUGGAACGGGGUCUGAGGCCUCGAAAGUCCACAUCUAGCUACUUGGUGGUCCGAUUCUGAGUGAUCUCGAAGUUUCUUGCCCAGAAAAGCCGAACGGUGUCGCCCUAGACUCGGUUUCUUGGUUCCGUCCCAAAACGCCGAAGAAAGGCACAAUGGCCCAGUAAGGGACGGUCGGACUAGGAACGGGGUCCGAGGCCUCGAAAGUCCACAUCUAGCUACUGGGUGGUCCGAUUCUGAGUGAUCUCGAAGUUUCUUGCCCACAAAAGCCGAACGGUGACGCCCCAGACUCGGUUUCUUGGUUUUGUCCCAUAACGCCGAAGAAAGGCACAGUGGCCUAGAAAGGGACGGUCGGACUUGGAACGGGGUCCUAGGCCUCGAAAGUCCACAUCUAGCUACUUGAUGGUCCGAUUCUGAGUGAUCUCGAAGUUUCUUGGCCACAAAAGCCGAACGGUGACGCCCCAGACUCGGUUUCUUGGUUCCGUACCAAAACGCCGAAGAAAGGCACAGUGGCCUAGAAAGGGACGGUCGGACUUGGAACGGGGUCCGAGGCCUCGAAAGUCCACAUCUAGCUACUGGGUGGUCCGAUUCUGAGUUAUCUCGAAGUUUCUUGCGCACAAAAACCAAACGGUGACGCCCCAGACUCGGUUUCUUGGUUCCUUCCGAAAACGCCGAAGAAAGACACAAUGGCCUAGAAAGGGACGGUCGGACUUGGAACGCAGUCCGGGGCCUCGAAAGUCCACAUCUAGCUACUGGGUGGUCCGAUUCUGAGUGAUCUCGAAGUUUCUUGCCCACAAAAGCCGAACGGUGUCGCCCCAGACUCGGUUUCUUGGUUCCGUCCCAAAACGUCGAAGAAAGGCACAUUGGCCUAGAAAGGGACGGUCGGACUUGGAACGGUGUCCGAGGCCUCGAAAGUCCACAUCUAGCUACUCCGUGGUCCGAUUCUGAGUGAUCUCGAAGUUUCUUGCCCACAAAAGGCGAACGGUGACGCCCCAGACUCGGUUUCUUGGUUCCGUCCAAAAACGCCGAAGAAAGGGACAAUGGCCUAGAAAGGGACGGUCGGACUUGGAACGCGGUCCGAGGCCUCGAAAGUCCACAUCUAACUACCGGGUGGUCCGAUUCUGAGUGAUCUCGAAGUUUCUUGCCCACAAAAGCUGAACGGUGACGCCCCAAACUCGGUUUCUUGGUUCCGUCCCAAAACGCCGAAGAAAGGCACAAUUUCCUAGAAAGGGACGAUCGGACUUGGAACGGGUCCGAGGCCUCGAAAGUCCACAUCUAGCUACUGGGUGGUCCGAUUCUGAGUGAUCUCGAAGUUUCUUGCCCACAAAAGCCGAACGGUGACGCCCCAGACUCGGUUUCUUGGUUCCGUCCCAAAACGCUGAAGAAAGGCACAAUGGCCUAGAAAGGGACGGUCGGACUUGGAACGAGGUCCGAGGCCUCGAAAGUACACAUGUAGCUACUGGGUGGUCUGAUUCUUAGUGACCUUGAAGUUUCUUAACCACAAAAGCCGAACGGUGACGCCCCAGACUCGGUUUCUUGGUUCCCUCCCAAAACGCCGAAGAAAGGCACAAUGGCCUAGAAAGGGACGGUCGGACUUGGAACGGGGUCCGAAGCCUCGAAAGUCCACAUGUAGCUACUGGGUGGUCCGAUUCUUUGUGAUCUCGAAGUUUCUUGACCACAAAAGCCGAACGGUGACGCCCAGACUCGGUUUCUUGGUUCCGUCCCAAAACGCCGAAGAAAAGCACAAUGGCCUAGAAAGGGACGGUCGGACUUGGAACGGGGUCCGAGGCCUCGAAAGUCCACAUCUAGCUACUGGGUGGUCUGAUUCUUUGUGAUCUCGAAGUUUCUUGCCCACAAAAGCCGAACGGUGACGCCCAGACUCGGUUUCUUAGUUCCGUCCCAAAACGCCGAAGAAAGGCACAAUUUCCUAGAAAGGGACGGUCGGACUUGGAACGGGGUCCGAGGCCUCGAAAGUCCAUAUCUAGCUACUGGGUGGUCCGAUUCUGAGUGAUCUCGAAGUUUCUUGCCCACAAAAGCCGAACGGUGACGCCCGAGACUCGGUUUCUUGGUUCCGUCCCAAAACGCCGAAGAAAAGCACAAUGGCCUAGAAAGGGACGGUCGGACUUGGAACGGGGUCCGAGGCCUCGAAAGUCCACAUCUAGCUACUGGGUGGUCUGAUUCUUUGUGAUCUCGAAGUUUCUUGCCCACAAAAGCCGAACGGUGACGCCCCAGACUCGGUUUCUUGGUUCCGUCCCAAAACGCCGAAGAAAGGCACAAUGGACUAGAAAGAGACGGUCGGACUUGGAACGGGGUCCGAGGCCUCAAAAGUCCACAUCUAGCUACUGGGUGGUCCGAUUCUUUGUGAUCUCGAAGUUUCUUGCCCACAAAAGCCGAACGGUGACGCCCCAGACUCGGUUUCUUGGUUCCGUCACAAAACGCCGAAGAAAGGCACAAUGGCCUAGAAAGGGACGGUCGGACUUGGAACGGGGUCCGAGGCCUCGAAAGUCCACAUCUAGCUACUGGGUGGUCCGAUUCUUUGUGAUCUCGAAGUUUCUUGCCCACAAAAGCCGAACGGUGACGCCCCAGACUCGGUUUCUUGGUUCCAUCCCAAAACGCGGAAGAAAGGCACAAUGGCCUAGAAAGGGACGGUCGGACUUGGAACGGGGUCCGUUGCCUCGAAAGUCCACAUCUAGCUACUGGGUGGUCCGAUUCUGAGUGAUCUCGAAGUUUCUUGCCCACAAAAGCCGAACGGUGACGCCUAGACUCGGUUUCUUGGUUUCGUCCCAAAACGCCGAAGAAAGGCACAGUGGCCUAGAAAGGGACGGUCGGACUUGGAACGGGGUCUGAGGCCUCGAAAGUCCACAUCUAGCUACUGGGUGGUCCGAUUCUUUGUGAUCUCGAAGUUUCUUGCCCACAAAAGCCGAACGGUGACGCCCAGACUCGGUUUCUUGGUUCCGUCCCAAAACGCCGAAAAAAGGCACAAUGGCCUAGAAAGGGACGGUCGGACUUGGAACGGGGUCCGAGGCCUCGAAAGUCCACAUCUAGCUACUGGUGGUCCGAUUCUUUGUGAUCUGGAAGUUUCUUGCCCACAAAAGCCGAACGG